AUCUACCAAGUAUCUAGGGUAAUUCCGCUCUAGUGGUUUGACAGCUCGACGAUGUCUCCCACGCCUUGAUCCAGCAAGGAGAGAGGGAGAGGUUGAGGAAGACUCCAUCCAGCAGCAGCACAAUGGCAUGGUGGUGAUGGAGGAGCGUGGCAAUCCUGCAGGGCUUCGCCAAGCACCUACGGGAGAGGAGGAGGUGUCACGGGAGGGAGGGAGGCGCCAAGGGCUCAGGUAUGGAUGCCCUCCCUCCCCUCCACUAUAUAUAGGGGCAGGGGAGAGGGGGGAGGCGCAGCCUUGCCCCUUCCUCCAAGGAAGGGGUGCGGCUAAGAGGGGGGGAGGAGUCCAUCCUCCCCAAGGCACCUCGGAGGUGCCUUCCCCUUUGAGGACUCUUCCCUCUAGGGUUCCCUAGGCGCAUGGGCCUCUUGGGGCUGGUGCCCUUGGCCCAUGUAGGCCAAGGCGCACCCCCUACAGCCCAUGUGGCCCCCCGGGGCAGGUGGCCCCACCCGGUGGGCCCCCGGGACCCUUCCGGUGGUCCCGGUACAAUACCGAUGACCCCGAAACUUGUCCCGAUGGCCGAAACAGGACUUCCUAUAUAUAAAUCUUUACCUCCGGACCAUUCCGGAACUCCUCGUGACGUCCGGGAUCUCAUCCAGGACUCCGAACAACAUUCGGUUACCACAUACAAGCUUCCUUUAUAACCCUAGCGUCAUCGAACCUUAAGUGUGUAGACCCUACGGGUUCGGGAGACAUGCAGACAUGACCGAGACGUUCUCCGGUCAAUAACCAACAGCGGGAUCUGGAUACCCAUGUUGGCUCCCACAUGUUCCACGAUGAUCUCAUCGGAUGAACCACGAUGUCAAGGACUCAAUCGAUCCCGUAUACAAUUCCCUUUGUCUAUCGGUAUGUUACUUGCCCGAGAUUCGAUCGUCGGUAUACCGAUACCUUGUUCAAUCUCGUUACCGGCAAGUCACUUUACUCGUUCCGUAACACAUCAUCCCGUGAUCAACUCCUUGCUCACAUUGCGCAUAUGAUGAUGUCCUACCGAGUGGGCCCAGAGAUACCUCUCCGUUUACACGGAGUGACAAAUCCCAGUCUCGAUCCGCAUAAAACAAUAGAUACUUUCGGAGAUACCUGUAGUGCACCUUUAUAGUCACCCAGUUACGUUGUGACGUUUGAUACACCCAAAGCACUCCUACGGUAUCCAGGAGUUACACGCUCUCAUGGUCAAAGGAAGAGAUACUUGACAUUGGCAAAGCUCUAGCAUACGAACUACACGAUCUUUGUGCUAGGCUUAGGAUUGGGUCUUGUCCAUCACAUCAUUCUCCUAAUGAUGUGAUCCCGUUAUCAACGACAUCCAAUGUCCAUAGCCAGGAAACCAUGACUAUCUGUUGAUCACAACGAGCUAGUCAACUAGAGGCUCGCUAGGGACAUAUUGUGGUCUAUGUAUUCACACGUGUAUUACGAUUUUCGGAGAAUACAGUUAUAGCAUGAAUAAAAGACUAUUAUCAUGAACAAAGAAAUAUAAUAAUAACACUUUUAUUAUUGCCUCUAGGGCAUAUUUCCAACAGUCUCCCACUUGCACUAGAGUCAAUAAUCCAGUUCACAUCGCCAUGUGAUUAACACUCACAGAUCACAUCGCCAUGUGACUAAUACCCAAGAGUUUACUAGAGUCAGUAGUCUAGUUCACAUCACUAUGUGAUUAACACUCAAUGAGGUUUAUGUUUGAUCAUGUUGCUUGUGAGAGAGGUUUUAGUCAACGGGUCUGAACCUUUCAGAUCCGUGUGUGCUUUACAAUUCUCUAUGUCAUCUCCUAGAUGCAGCUACCACGCUCUAUUUGGAGCUGUUCCAAAUAACUGUUCUACUUGGAGCUAUUCUAAAUUGUUGCCCCAUUGUACGUAUCCGGUAUCUCUACUUAGAGCUAUCCGGAUAGGUGUUAAGCUUGCAUCGACGUAACCUUUACGACGAACUCUUUUACCACCUCCAUAAUCGAGAAAAUUCCUUAGUCCACUAGUUACUAAGGAUAACUUUGACCGCUGUCCUGUGAGCCAUUCUUGGAUCACUCUUGUACCCCUUGACUGACUCAUGGCAAGGCACACUUCAGGUGCGGUACACAGCAUAGCAUACUGAAGAGCCUACGUUUUAAGCAUAGGGGACGACCUUCGUCCUUUCUCUCUAUUCUGCCGUGGUCGAGCUUUAAGUCUUAACUUCGUACCUUACAACUCAGGCAAGAACUCCUUCUUUGACUGGUCCAUCUUGAACACCUUCAAGAUCAUGUCAAGGUAUGUGCUCAUUUGAAAGUACUAUUAAGCGUUUUGAUCUAUCCUUAUAGAUCUUGAUGCUCAAUGUUCAAGUAGCUUAAUCCAGGUUUUCUAUUGAAAAACACUUUCCAAAUAACCCUAUAUGCUUUCUAGAAAGUCUACGUCAUUUCUGAUCCAUAACAAUAUGUCAACAACAUAUACUUAUCAGAAAUUCUAUAGUGCUCCCACUCACUUCUUUGGAAAUACAAGUUUCUCAUAAACUUUGUACAAACCCAAAAUCUUUGAUCACCAUCAAAGCAUACAUUCCAACUCCGAGAUGCUCACUCCAGUCCUUAGAAGGAUUGCUGGAGCUUUGCAUACUUAUUAGCAUCUUUUGGGAUUGGCAAAACCUUCCGGUUGUAUCACAUACAACCUUUCCUCAAGUAUAACGUCGAGGAAACAAUGUUUUGACAUCCUAUCUGCAAGAUUUCAUCAAUCAUGCAGUAACUGCUAAUCCAAUUCCAACAGACUCUUAGCAUCGCUACAAGUGAGAAAACCUCACCGUAAUCAACUCCUUGAACUUGUCGGAAAAUAUCUUAACGACAAGUCGAGCUUUCUUAAUGGUAAUUCUUACCAUCAUUGUUUGUCUUCCUUUUAAAAUCCAUCCGUACCCAAUGGCCUUACGACCAUCAAGUAUUUCUUCCAAAGUCAUGGAUCCAUUCUCGGAUUUUAUGGCCUCGAGCCAUUUAUCGGAAUCCGGGCCCACCAUCGCUUCUCCAUAGCUCGUAGGUUCAUUGUUGUCCAGCAACAUGACUUCCAAGACAGGAUUACGUACCACUCUGAAGUAGUACGUAUCCUUGUCAUCCCACGAGGUUUGGUAGUGACUUGAUCCGAAGUUUCAUGAUCAAUAUCAUAAGCUUCCACUUCAAUUGGUGUAGGUGCCACAGGAACAACUUCCUGUGCCCUGCCACACACUAGUUGAAGAGACGGUUCAAUAACCUCAUCAAGUUUCCACCAUCCUCCCACUCAAUUCUUUCGAGAGAAACUUUUCCUCGAGAAAGGACCUGAUUCUAGAAACAAUCCCUUAUUGCUUUCGGAUCUGAGAAAGGAGGUAUACCCAACUGUUUUGGGUGUCCUAUGAAGAUGCAUUUUAUCCGCUUUGGGUUCGAGCUUAUCAAUCCUGAAACUUUUCCACAUAAGCGUCGCAGCCCCAAACCUUUAAGAAACGACAACUUAGGUUUCUCUAAACCAUAAUUCAUACGGUGUCAUCUCAACGGAAUUACGUGGUGCCCUAUUUAAAGUGAAUGUGGUUGUCUCUAAUGCCUAACCCAUGGACAACAGUGGUAAUUCGAUAAGAGACAUCAUGGUACGCACCAUAUCCAAUAGGGUGUAACUAUGAUGUUCGGACACACCAUCAAACUAUGGUGUUCCAGGCGGUAUUUAAUUGUGAAACAAUUUCCACAAUGUCUUAAUUGUGUGCCAAAACUUGUAACUCAGAUAUUCAUCUCUAUGAUCAUAUCAUAGACAUUUUAUCCUCUUGUCACAAUGAUCUUCUACUUCACUCUAAAAUUACUUGAACCAUUCAAUAAUUCAGACUUGUGUUUCAUCAAGUAAAUAUAUUCAACAUCUACUCGAAUCAUCUGUGAAGUAAGAACAUAACGAUAUUCACUGCAUGCCUCAGCACUCAUUGGACUACACACAUCAAAAUGUGUUACUUCCAACAAGUUGCUAUCUUGUUCCAUCUUAUUGAAAACCGAGGCUUUUCAGUCAUCUUGCCUAUGUGGUAUGAUUUGCAUAUCUCAAGUGAUUCAAAAUCAAUUGAGUCCAAACGGCCAUUUGCAUGGAGUUUCUUCAUGCAUAUACACCAAUAGACAUGGUUCGCAUGUCUCACACUUUUCAAAAACGAGUGAGUCCAAAGAUCCAUCAACAUGGAGCUUCUUCAUGCGUUUUAUACCAAUAUGACUUACAUGGCAGUGCCACAAGUAAGUGGUACUAUCAUUACUAUCUUAUAUCUUUUGGCAUGAAAAUGUGUAUCACUACGAUCGAGAUUCAAUGAACCAUUCAUUUUAGGUGUAAGACCAUUGAAAGUAUUAUUCAAAUAAACAGAGUAACCAUUAUUCUCCUUAAAUGAAUAACCGUAUUGCGAUAGACAUAAUCCAAUCAUGUCUAUGCUCAACGCAAACACCAAUCUCGAUGGUAGAGGGAGCGUGUGAUGCUUGAUCAUAUCAACAUUGGAAACACUUCCAACACAUAUCGUCAUCUCACCUUUAGCUAGUCUCUGUUUAUUCCGUAGCUUUUAUUUCGAGUUACUAACACUUAGCAACCGAACCGGUAUCUAAUACCCUGGUGCUACUAGGAGUACUAGUAAAGUACACAUCAACACAAUGUAUAUCCAAUAUACUUCUAUCGACUUUGCCAUCCUUCUCAUCUACCAAGUAUCUAGGGUAAUUCUGCUCUAGUGGUUGUUCCCCUUAUCACAGAAGCACUUAGUCUCGGGUUUGGGUUCAACCUCGGGUUUCUUCACUGGUGCAGCAGCUGAUUUGCCGUUCCAUGAAGCAUCCCUUCUUGCCCUUGCCCUUCUUGAAACUAGUGGUUUCACCAACCAUCAACAAUUGAUGCUCCUUCUUGAUUUCUACUUUCGUGGUGUCAAACAUCACGAAUAUCUCAAUGAUCAUCAUAUCUAUCCCUGAUUUGUUAUAGUUCAUCACAAAGCUCUAGCAGCUUGGUGGUAAUGACUUUGGAAAAACAUCACUAUCUCAUCUGGAAGAUCAACUCCCACUCGAUUCAAGUGAUUGUUGCACUCAGACAAUCUGAGCACAAGCUCAACGAUUGAGCUUUUCUCCCUUAGUUUGCAGGUUAAGAAAAUCGUCGGAGGUCUUAUACCUCUUGACGUGGGCACGAGCCUGAAAUCCCAAUUUCAGCCCUCGAAACAUCUCAUAUGUUCCGCGAUGUUUCAAAAAACGUCUUUGGUGCCUUAAUUCCAAACCGUUUAACUGAACUAUCACGUAGUUAUCAAAACGUGUAUGUCCGAUGUUCACAACAUCCACAAACGACGUUUGGGGUUCAGCACACUGAGCGGUGCAUUAAGGACAUGAGCUUUCUAGUGUCCGCAUAAUCGCUACUGUCAACUUUCAACUAUAUUUUCUCUAGGAACAUAUCUAAAACAGUAGAACUAAAGCGCGAGCUACGACAUAAUUUGCAAAAAGGUCUUUUGACUAUGUUCAAGAUAAUUAAGUUCAUCUUAUGAACUCCCACUUAGAUAGACAUCCCUCUGGUCAUCUAAGUGAUCACAUGAUCCGAGUCAACUAGGCCGUGUCCGAUCAUCACGUGAGACGGACUAGUCAUCAUCGGUGAACAUCUUCAUGUUGAUCGUAUCUACUAUACGACUCAUGCUCGACCUUUCGGUCUCCGUGUUCCGAGGCCAUGUCUGCACAUGCUAGGCUCGUCAAGUUAACCCUAAGUGUUUUCGCUGUGUAAAACUGUCUUACACCCGUUGUAUGUGAACGUAAGAAUCCAUCACACCCGAUCAUCACGUGGUGCUUAGAAGCGACGAACUGUAGCAACGGUGCACAGUUAGGGGAGAACACUUCUUGAAAUUUUGUAAGGGAUCAUCUUAUUUACUACCGUCGUCCUAAGUAAACAAGAUGCAUAAACAUGAUAAACAUCACAUGCAAUCAAAUAGAGUAGUGACAUGAUAUGGCCAAUAUCAUAUAGCUCCUUUGAUCUUCAUCUUCGGGGCUCCAUGAUCAUCUUGUCACCGGCAUGACACCAUGAUCUCCAUCAUCAUGAUCUCCAUCAUCGUGUCUUCAUGAAGCUGUCACGCCAACGACUACUUCUACUUCUAUGACUAACGCGUUUAGCAAUAAAGUAAAGUAGUUUACAUGGCGUUCUUCAAUGACACGCAGGUCAUACAAUAAAUAAAGACAACUCCUAUGGCUCCUGCCGGUUGUCAUACUCAUCGACAUGCAAGUCGUGAUUCCUAUUACAAGAACAUGAUCAAUCUCAUACAUCACAUAUAUAUCAUUCAUCACAUCCUUUUGGCCAUAUCACAUCACAUGACAUACCCUGCAAAAACAAGUUAGACGUCCUCUAAUUGUUGUUGCAUGUUUUACGUGGCUGCUAUGGGUUUCUAGCAAGAACAUUUCUUACCUAUGCAAAACCACAACGUGAUAUGCCAAUUGCUAUUUACCCUUCAUAAGGACCCUUUUCAUCGAAUCCGUUCCGACUAAAGUGGGAGAGACUGGCACCCGCUAGCCACCUUAUGCACCAAGUGCAUGUCAAUCGGUGGAACCUAUCUCACGUAAGAGUACGUGUAAGGUCGGUCCGGGCCGCUUCAUCCCACAAUACAGUCGAAACAAGAUUGGACUAGUAACGGUAAGCAUAUUGAACAAAAUCAACGCCCACAACUACUUUGUGUUCUACUCGUGCAAAGAAUCUACGCAAUAGACCUAGCUCAUGAUGCCACUGUUGGGGAACGUAGCAGAAAUUCAAAAUUUUCCUACGUAUCACCAAGAUCUAUCUAUGGAGAGACCAGCAACGAGGGGAAGGAGAGUGCAUCUACAUACCCUUGUAGAUCGCUAAGCGGAAGCGUUCAAGUGAACGGGGUUGAUGGAGUCGUACUCGUCGUGAUUCAAAUCACCGAUGAUCAAGUGCCGAACGCACGGCACCUCCGCGUUCAACACACGUACAGCCCGGUGACGUCUCCCACGCCUUGAUCCAGCAAGGAGAGAGGGAGAGGUUGAGGAAGACUCCAUCCAGCAGCAGCACAACGGCGUGGUGGUGGUGGAUGAGCAUGGCAAUCCCGCAGGGCUUCGCCAAGCACCAUGGGAGAGGAGGAGGAGGGAGAGGGGCAGGGCUGCACCAACGAGAGAUCGAAUCGCGUGUUAUGGGCAGCCCUAUGCCUCACUAUUUAUAGGGGGAGAGGGGGCUGCGCCCCCCUCUAGGGUUUCCCACCCCCAAGGGGUGCGGCCAGCCCUAGAUGGCAAAGGGGGCGGCGGCCAGGAGGGGGAGGAGAGGGAGGCGUAGGGAGCAUGGGCCUUAGGGCCCAUCUGCCCUAGGGUUUCCCCUCUCCCCUCCUAGCUGCGCCUUGGGCAAGGGUGGGAGGCGCACCAGCCCACUCUGGGGCUGGUCCCUUUCCACUCUAGGCCCAAGCAAGCCUCCGGGGCCGGUGGCCCCACUUGGUGGACCCCCGGGACCCUCCCGGUGGUCCCGGUACAAUACCGAUAUCGCCCGAAACUUUUCCGGUGACCAAAUCAGGACUUCCCAUAUAUAAAUCUUUACCUCCGGACCAUUACGAAACUCCUCGUGACGUCCGGGAUCUCAUCCGGGACUCCGAACAGCAUUCGGUAACCACAUACAAACUUCCUUUAUAACCCUAGCGUCAUCGAACCUUAAGUGUGUAGACCCUACGGGUUCGGGAGACAUGCAGACAUGACCGAGACGUUCUUCGGUCAAUAACCAACAGCGGGAUCUGGAUACCCAUGAUGGCUCCCACAUGUUCCACGAUGAUCUCAUCGGAUGAACCACGAUGUCAAGGACUUAAUCAAUCCCAUAUUCAAUUCCCUUUGUCUAUCGGUAUGUUACUUGCCCGAGAUUCGAUCGUCGGUAUACCGAUACCUUGUUCAAUCUCGUUACCGGCAAGUCACUUUACUUGUUCUGUAACACAUCAUCCCGUGAUCAACUCCUUGGUCACAUUGCGCAUAUGAUGAUGUCCUACCGAGUGGGCCCAGAGAUACCUCUCCGUUUACACGGAGUGACAAAUCCCAGUCUCGAUCCGCAUAAAACAAUAGAUACAUUCGGAGAUACCUGUAGUGCACCUUUAUAGUCACCUAGUUACGUUGUGACGUUUGAUACACCCAAAGCACUCCUACGGUAUCCAGGAGUUACACGCUCUCAUGGUCAAAGGAAGAGAUACUUGACAUUGGCAAAGCUCUAGCAUACGAACUACACGAUCUUUGUGCUAGGCUUAGGAUUGGGUCUUGUCCAUCACAUCAUUCUCCUAAUGAUGUGAUCCCGUUAUCAACGACAUCUAAUGUCCAUAGCCAGGAAACCAUGACUAUCUGUUGAUCACAACGAGCUAGUCAACUAGAGGCUCACUAGGGACAUAUUGUGGUCUAUGUAUUCACACGUGUAUUACGAUUUCCGGGUAAUACAGUUAUAGCAUGAAUAAAAGACUAUUAUCAUGAACAAAGAAAUAUAAUAAUAACACUUUUAUUAUUGCCUCUAGGGCAUAUUUCCAACAGGUUGUCUCAUUGAAACCGUCCUCAGGAACUGAGUUAUGUGUUUGUGAUCCAUGAACAGUUACUACCACACAUUGGGUUCCGGUAACUCGGCCCCUCUCGGCUUAUUAAUCAACUUGAUCUCUGUCCAGGAGUUGCAACUAGUUUCUGGUGUUUGUAGGUAGUGUUAGUAGUCUACCAAGUGGCACCAGGUACAGGUGGGCUUGGGACAGACUAGGCACAGUGGCACGGUGUACCAAGCGUAGAUCCACCCAUCGAGGUGGGCUUGGGAACCCUGCUCACAUCGUUUGGGGCCGUGAGCGACACCCCGGCCGGAUCUCCUUGCGGAUGGAAUCCGAAUAGGCGAUAAACCUGGACGAGAGACUUGUGUGGUUAGUCAGGUCGUGGCCGACACCCUCGCUGGGCUUCCGCUUGAAGGUUGCCGAGUACAUGUCGUGUAAACGGCGGUAAGUGGUGAGAGCGUGUGUGAAGAAGUACACCCCUGCAGGGUUAACAUUAUCUAUUCGAAUAGCCGUGUCCGCGGUAAAGGACUUCUGGGUUGCCUGUACAGUUCAUAGACAAGUGAAAGUGGAUACUCUAAAAUACGCAAGAUAAGCGUGAGUGCUAUGGAUGGCGUUCUCGUAGGGAGACGGGAGCGGAUCCAUAGUGGUGUAUUGAUAUGGUGAAUGUGUGCACUCGUGUGCGCCACCUCAAAGAGUUACAUUGCAGUCGUAGUUCAGGAUAGCCACCGAGUCAAAGCUGGCUUGCUGCAGUUAAACCCCACCAUCCCCUUUGUUGAUAAUGAUGCAUAUGUAGUUAGAUCUGAUGUAAGUCUUGCUGGGUACAUUUGUACUCACGUUGCUUAAUCUAUGUUUUUGCAGAGAGACUUCAUUCUUGAUAGUAGUUCCGCUUGGACUUCGACGUUUAGCUUGUUACCUCAGCUAUGAUCUUGUGCCCUCGGCAGGAUCUAGUAGAUAGUCAGGCUUCUCAGCCUUUUCCAUUUAUAGUUGUCUGUACUCAGACAUGUUAAGCUUCCACUUGUGCUUGACUUGUUUGCUCUGAAUGUUGGGUCAUGAGACCCAUGUUUGUAAUAUCUCGCUCCUCGGAGCCUUUUGAAUAAAAUACUUGAGUUGUAGAGUCAUGUUGUGUUGCCAUGUUGUAUUUGCACAUAUCGAGCAUAUUGUGUGUAUGUUAUUGAAAUGCUUGGUAUGUGUGGGAUCUGACUAUCUAGUUGUUUAUCCUUAGUAGCCUCUCUUACCGGGAAAUGUCUCCUAGUGUUUCCACUGAGCCAUGGUAGCUUGCUACUGCUCCGGAACACUUAGGCUGGCCGGCAUGUGUCCUUCUUCGUUCCUGUGUCUGUCCCCUCGGGGAAAUGUCACGCAAUGAAUUCCAGAGUCAUGUUAGCCCGCUACAGCCCGGUUCACCGGAGUCCUGCUAGCCCAGUGCUACAGCCUGGAUUCACUCGCUGAUGACUGACACGUUCGUUGUUGGGUCAUGUAUGCCUGUCCCUGUAAGUUAGUGCCACUUUGGGUUCACGACUAGCCAUGUCAGCCCGGGUUCUUUGUCACAUGGAUGCUAGCGGCACUAUCAUAUACAUGAGCCAAAAGGCGUAAACGGUCCCGGGCCAGGUAAGGUGGCACCCGUGGGAAUACCAUGCGUGAGGCCGCAAAGUGAUAUGAUGUGUUACAUGCUAGAUCGGUGUGACUUAGGAUUGGGGUCCUGACACAUACAUAGAGGGAGAAGAGACCGAGCCCUGCCUCCUUCUGCCUCUAGCAUAUAGCUCGAGGAGCGCCAUUGUAUUCACUAGUGCCUUAGUGAUCAUGCGGAGACCCCACAGAGCAGGACCAGGGGUGUUAUCUCCAAGGAGAGCCCCAAACCCGGUAAAAUGCGCCGGCGUUCGUGUCUACGCCUCAUCCCGCUUCCAGGCACCGGCGACGUUCUACUCGCUCCCACCAUGAUAAGCCAUCCUUUUGCAUAUGUCGCACCCAACCCCCGACAAGUGUCACCGCUCCUGUGCUGGAGGCGUCUAUGCUCCACAAUCAUAACCACUCCAUUGAGAUCACCUUUGCGGGUCUUGCCAGGUCGACGACACUUCCACGUCGUGACUCAUGUAUGCGUCAUGCGUGACGUUGACAUUGAUUGUAUUCUAAAAUUCGGUGGGGGUAUAUCUAGUAGCAAAUAACCACGCUGACGAGGUCUUCUCUCUCGGUCUUUAGUUGACGUAGCGUUACCCGUACGCCUUAUUUGCAAUCAAUUCCCCGCGAGGUUGACACUAAUUGCAUUCUAAAAUACAAUGAGAUAUACCUAGUAGCAAAUAAUAAUCAAUCCGACAUGGUCUUUGGUUGCCCUAGCGUUAUCGGUACCUUUUAUUUGCAAUCAAUAAAUAUCACGGGAGGCUGUCGCUGACCACGUCUAUAAAUCACAAUACCAAUGGCAAACACAUCUAUCUAUGUCAAUAACCAAAGAAAUGCAAACUCCAUGGAUAUGGAUAAAUACAAGUAAACAAUAGGGAGACAUCAAAUGUCAGCUUUGUCACCCACAACUAUCCAUCUUGCAGGUUGGAAAAGGUAAAGCAAGCCAUGCCUUGUCAGUUUUGUUUAGGGUCGCCAUCUCGCAUCGUCGUGGUGCUUUAAAUUUAAAUCCAUGUCAGUAAACAUAACAUGAACCUUGGCCACGAGCUUUGCCAUAAGGACAAUGUUGAGCACUUUGCAAACUAGGGUUUGGACAUCUAUGUCUUCAAAGGAUGCCGAUCAACCGAGACUGCACCAAGAGCAUGAACCCCAUUAUAUUGCCAUCAACCAUCACUAGCAGACACACAUGAGCUUGGGUGGCAAAACAAAGAGCCAGUCAAAGUCCACAUAAGAACAAUGAGGUGCAGCAAAAUGAUAGCUUUACGACCCCGAGCGGCAGCGGCGCCCAUCUCCCCCCAUCAACACCAUAAUUGAGGAGAGCGGACCACAACAAGGAUACGAGUGGAGUUCCUCUACGAUGCCUCUAGGAAGUGGAAUGAUGCUCACAUCCGCCACUGUUGCGGAGCUUGCACCCAUAACCACACUUGUAUAGGAGUUUUCCCAAACCUCUAAAAGACAACGUGCAAAACAUCUAGUUGUAAACAACCACUUCGACAAGUUCUUCUCUCUCGGCCACUAAUUGAUGUACCAUCGGUGACGCUUUUACUUUGCAAUUGAAUAGUGUGCUAGGCUGAUGUCAAUCAUGUUUUGAAGCAAUUUCACCGCUCCUAUGUUAGAGGCGACUAUGCUCCACAACCGUAACCACUCCGUCAUUGAGAUCACCUUUGCGGGUCUUGCCGUGUCGUGACUCACAGAUGCGUCAUACGUGAUUUUGACAUUGAUUGUAUUCAAAAAUUUGAGGGGGAGGGGGGGGGGUAUAUCUAGUAUGAAAUAACCACGCCGACGAGGUCUUCUCUCUCGGGCUUUGGUUGACGUAGCGUUACCGAUACGCCUUAUUUGCAAUCAAUUGCGCGCGAGGUUGACACUUAUUGCAUUCUAAAAUACAAUGAGAUAUACCUAGUAGCAAAUAAUAAUCAGUCUAACAUGGUCUUUGGUCGCCCUAGCUUUAUCGGUACCUUUUAUUUGCAAUCAAUAAAUAUCUCGGGAGGCUGUCGCCGACCACGUCUAUAAAUCACAAUACCAAUGGCAAACACAUCUAUCUAUGUCAAUAACCAAAGAAAAGCAAACCCCAUGGAUAUGGAUAAACACAAGUAAACAAUAGGAGGGGGACACCAAAUGUGAGCUUUGUCACCCACAACUAUCCAUCUUGCAGGUUGGAAAAGGUAAAGCAAAGCCAUGUCUUAUCUUUUUUGUUUUAGAGGUCGCCGUCGCACAUCGCCGUGGUGAUUAAAAUUUAAAUCCAAGUCAUUAUCGUUCGUUGAUUAGUUGCUGUUCUAUUUUUCUAAAGCGAUAUAAAGUUUUUGGAAGCACCACUGUGUACGCCGGAGAGGGACGUGCCGUGGAGAUUUCCCUGCCACCACCACCACCCUCUCUCUCUCUCUGCAUCUCGACGUCGACGUCGCCGUCUCCGUCUCCAUCAGAUCAUUUAUUCCGUCCACCUGCCUCGCCCUCGCCGAAUUGCAAGCCCGCGUUCGUGCAAAUCGCCUCGGCUUUGCCCGCCCAAGAUUCCCCACAUCCUGCCUCCCAUCGCCGGAAUCGCGGGCGGGCGGGCGGGCGCUCUGAGGAUUCGAGGCGGCGGCCGCCCGUGAUCCCCCCUCCGGCCUCCCGCUUUUCUUGCCGGGAUUUGGGGCUGAUACGGAGGGGAAUUGCCGGUCUUGGCCCCGCUCGCCUCGAUCGGGACCAGCGAGCGACCCCGGCGGUUCUUGUGGACGGCGGGUUCUUGACUUCUUGCCAUCUUUCCCCCAACGGUGCCCCCUGAUUUUUGAGGAAUUCGGUGAGCAUUUGAUAGGGGGUCUUCCCGUGCGCUCAAGGAAGGGUGGUGUGCCGUGAAGGCCUCGUCUUUGGGCAUCCAUGGGGUUCCUCAGCCUCGUGGGCAACUCCUUCGGGUGCUCGGCCUCCGGCGAGCGCCUCGUCUCGGCGGCCCGGGACGGCGACCUGCAGGAGGCGCGCGCGCUCCUCGAGUACAACCCCCGGCUGGCCCGCUACUCCACAUUCGGCGGCCGCAACUCGCCGCUGCACUACGCCGCGGCGCAGGGUCACCAUGAGGUAAUGCCAUUUUGUCUUCCAGGCUGGCUAAAAUGUUGUCAUUUAUGCAUCCAAAAAAAUCUGUUGACACCAUGUCUAGAUUGUUUCUCUGUUGCUCGAAUCCGGUGUGGAGAUCAACCUCAGGAAUUACAGGGGGCAGGUAAAUUCAAUCUUUGCUAUACUACAUUUUUGUAAUUUUCAGUUCGACAUCAGAGAUGAAGCCGGUCGGGAACCUGUAAUGAAGCCUGUAUGUUUCUGGUUAUGUGUAGACUGCUCUGAUGCAAGCCUGCCAAUAUGGCCACUGGGAGGUUGUUCAGACACUGAUGCUCUUCAAUGCAAAUGUGAGCAUUUUUCUUGCUAUUUCACUGGUAUUCUUUUUUACUGCUUGGAUAUGUAGUCCUGAGGCGGCGAAAUGUCUUUCAGAUCCACAGGACAGAUUAUUUGAAUGGCGGGAUUGCUAUCCAUUUUGCUGCACUGCAUGGUCAUGCCCGGUGCCUUCGUCUCGUGCUUGCAGAUUAUGUGCCAAGCAUCCCAAACUUCUUAAGCCAGACGAAUCACAGAUCGUCUGAGGAAGUUUCAGAUGCUGAUUUUGAUGAUGAGUAUGUUGGGUCCAUUGCUUGUUUCUCAUUUAUUUCUUAAACGAAUCAUGUAGUGACAUACCUGUCUUGGCAGUGGUUUGGUCAAGAUGGUAAACUGGAAGGCAGAUGGAGGCCUAACCCCACUUCAUAUGGCAGCGUUAAAUGGCCAUGUAGAGUGUGUACAGUUGUUAUUGGACCUGGGAGCAUCAGUUUCUGAGGUCACCAUUGAAGAUGGAACAACUAUCGACCUUAUAGGUAUUUUGCUACUGCUUUUUUCCUGCUGCUUUUUAACUCAAUAGGUACUGUAUUUUUCAGCUUUGUGUUUUGAUGCAGAUAUGAUGGGGUUAUAACUUAUAAGUUCCUUUGUUUUCAUCUGACAGGAUCAGGUAGCACCCCACUUCAUUACGCUGCUUGUGGUGGAAAUGCUGUAUGUUGUCAAGUAUGUUCUGCUAAUCUGAAGGCAGUUUUGCUGUUUAAAUGUAUGGUGAUUUUCUCAACAUCCGCUAACCAUACAUUGUUGAGUGCAGCUUCUUAUUGCUCGAGGAGCCAACCUUGCUGCCAAAAAUGCUAGUGGGUAUGAUUUUGAAUUGCUGAUACAUACAAAGAACUGUCAUUGUUUUCGUCCUCAUUAUGAUUUGGUUGUUGAUUUGCCUUAUGCAGCUCGACCCCGUUAAUGGUAGCUCAUUCAUGGCAUAGAACCUCUAUUGAGGAAAUUUUGAGUAAUGAACCAGGGGGUCAAAUACGUACUCUUCCUUCUCCAUAUUUGUGCCUCCCACUUAUGAGUAUCAUGAGCAUUGCCAGGUCAGUGCGUACUAAAUGUUGCAAAAAAGCUGAACUUUCUGCUUUCCAGUUGUCCUGCUCAUGUGCAAAUUGAGUUUGUUUAGCUAUAAAAAAAGUAUGCAAUAAGUUUUUGAGGCUGUCCGUAUCUUCGGCUGAGAAGGCCGGGGACAAUAUCUCCAUUAUCGAAAACAAGAAAGUCUGCUGCUAAAUAGGUUAUCUUCCCUUUUCUGUAGUCUGCGUUUGAAAAAAUGUAAUAGAGAACUGAACAUUAUUUCUUAUAAGUUGUCAUCCCUAUUCAUAUAUGUAUUAUUGACUUGCAUAAUUAUUGGUCUCUUAUAGUAUGAUCAGACCACUAUGUUGUCCCUAACCCUGGCAACAUGAAGAUAUUGUGGCUUCUAUUUUUUAACAGACUGUCAUAAUAAACUAUUGUCAAGUGUUUAUUUUGGUUAGUGGUAACAUCUGAUAGUUAGGUGUCUAUUUGCUUUGUAGGGAGUGUGGUUGGAGGUACCUAAACAAGUCACCUGUAUGCAUUGACCCAUGUGCUGUCUGCUUAGACGGGAGCUGCUCUGUUGCCGCAGAAGGUACGCAGUGAAAUAUACAUUUUACCCACAUCACAUGCUAUUGUGCUUUAAGCAAACUGUCAGUUUACUGGAAAUGAUUUCAUCUUUCACAAAAGGACAUGAAACUGUUGAAGUACUACCUGCAUGAGUGUCAUAUGAAGUUCAUCAAUCAGCUCACACUUUAUGUUCUGGCACAUAUCCACUUGGUAACUCAACAACCGCAGGGAGUACAAAAAGCAAGCGCGUUUCUUGCUUUCGGUUAAUGACUGCGAGCCUUUUCACCUGUGCAGGAUGCAAACACGAGUUCUGCACGAGAUGCGCCCUGUACCUCUGCUCGACCAGCUACACGUCGGCGAACCCCGCGGGCGCCAUACCGUGCCCGCUGUGCCGGCACCCGAUCACCUCCUUCGUGGCGCUCCCCGGCACGAGCCCGAUAAGGGAGCAGCUCCCCCGGAACAGCCUCUCGCUGUCGUUCUGCGCGACGUGCCCGGCGGUGAGCUCCGACUCGGCGGCCCCUGGUGGAGGCCACCCGUACCGGGCCAGCAGCGAGCUCCACUGCGGCGGGGGCAUGCGGAUGCCGCCGAUGGGGUCGUCGUCGUUCCGGUCGCUGAGCUGCCAGGCGAUGAAGCUGAACCCGUCCUUCUGCAUGGGCGCCAUGGACACCAACCCGUGCCUCAUCCGGUGCUCGCGGUUCGGGUCGAGCCUGGGCCGGUCGGCGUCCCACGGCGAGGCCAACCGGCGAGGAGGGGCGUGGCCCGUGACAUUCAGCCCCAUCGUCGCCACCAGCAGCUGAUGAACCGCAUCCGGUUUCGCCUGCCAUUUUUUGCGGCUUUUUUUCGAAAGGGUGUGUCAUAUUUUGCCUGUUAGUUUGGCUGGCUGCCCCCCCUCCUAUCUAUUUUACCGCGGUGGGGCGGUCGAAAUCCCUCCCCUAUUGGUAUCUAUAUCUAUCAUAUCAUGAGUAGCGAUGUAGCAACAUAUGGAAAUGGAACUAUUCCUACCUACCUGGGUUUGUAAAUAACCUUGUGUUUUUUGGGCGAGCGAUUGGAAUGCAGAUGCAGUGGCACUGCUUUUUGAAACGCUUUUGUUUGAACCGGUGGUUGAAUGGCUGUGAGUGGCCGGCACAAAGGGUGGGGCGGGCGGCGCUGGUCGCCGGCCGUUGGUACAGCCCUGCAUGUUGUACUCCCUCCGUCCCGAAAAACAUGUUGCGCUGGUGUUUUUGCAAUUUAGUCCUCAUUGUUUUCCCGACCAAACCCGCGGUCCUCGUCGUUCUCCUCAGUCCUCACUCGACUGACGCCCGCAGAUUUGCUCGCCCCCUCCCUCCCCAUGCCCCUGCCGCCUUGCUCCCCCUCCUCUUGCCCCCGCAUCCUUGCUCCCCCACACCCCUGCCGCCGCCGCCGCCUUGCUUCCGCCCCGCCGCCCCAUGCCGCUGCCUCGUUUCCCUCCGUCCGCCGCCCGCAGAGGAACGUGAAGAUUCAGUUUUUUUGGAGAAGACCGCCCAACGCCCAACGCCCGCUCUCCUUCCGCAUGUGCCCGUCGUCGACCACCUCCUCGCCGUCGACCACGAAGCUAGCACCCUCCAUGGAGGUUUUCGACCUGAGCAGUGGGAAGCACGUGUGCCCCUUUUCCACUUCCAAGCUGGAGCACUACGCGGCUUCACCGACAUCGAUUACAUCUCGCCGGAGCAUUACGCGGCUGCACCAAGGAGUCCGCCAGAGUCAAAGGUCUCAUUUUCCCCCUUCUCCUCCCUUCAGUCUCUUGCAAUUUAUUUUUCAUCUUCUUCGAUUGGUCUACCGGAAAUGGAACAGAGCUAAACAGAGCAAGCUAGAGUUGCAUGGUGGCGUUCGUGGUGAGGGACAAGCCAUCAGGUUGAGAGUAUCUCUAUUCUCUAGGAGAGCCUGCACCAUGUUAAACCUCCACUUGCAGAGUUGUUGUUUUCAAUUAACUGAAAUUACACCAAAGAAUUUCAGUUAAAAGAUGUCCUCUUGCACUGAACCUGAACUAAAACUGAUCGAUAUUUUAGCAUUUUCUGUUUCAGGAUUGGCUAAAAUAGUGCUGAGAUGGAUGGAAGAACCCUUAAGUUUGUUGUUCCUCUUUUAAAAAAUAAAAGUUCGUUGUUCCUGCAUUGAACGGUUAAGCAGGGUCAUGUUGUGAUAAAUCCCUUUGUCAAUUUCAGGUGUCCAUCAAGUAUGGAUGGGGUGGAGUAUGAGAAUUUUGCUUUGUGUCAAUAUCAGUUGUCGAUCAAGUAUGGAUGGGGUGGAGCAUGACAGUAAAUUUCAGGUGUCCAAGUCCAACCAGCUGCUGCUCCGUCCUUAUCUUUAUCUAUGCCAUAACCAUCUUUGUUUUCUGAGAGACAGAAUUUUUUUGAGUUGCUGUUUAUGGUGGUAAAAAGAAAAGAAUGCAGCUUAGUCCUGCUAUCAAACACUUUGCUCUAACCACUUCUACUCAUAAUUAUUUGAAACAUUAUUCACUGUAGUCUCAGUUAACUGAAUUUUCUGAAGCCAUUUUCUUGCUCACAAGUUGACAGAAAACUGUUUGAAAGAAAUUUUGACAUAAGUUAACUGAAACAAAUUUAGAAACGACAGUUCUCCUGUGAUUUAGAUUCAGUAAACAUGACAGUAAAAUUGCUCUAAGAGUACUGACUAAAUUCAGGGCUUGUUGUAUUAAGCAAAUCAAUUGACUACCUAUUCUUUUUUGCCUAACUGAAUGUUGACUGAAUGUUGACACAAUUACCUAUUCUUUUUCAGGGCAUAGAUAGGUUCAAUUAAUUUGCUUGAAUUAUCAAAAUUACUGUCACUACUACUGUAUGCUUUGACACUGUCGAAACUGAUUUAGUGUGAAUAUGUGCCUUAUGUAACCAAUAAUUUCUGUAUCAAGGUUUAGUGUGAAUAUGUGCCUUAUGUAGUGAUUCUCUCCCAACAAGCUUCAGACCACGUUUUGUACACACCUACUGUUAACUGUUUUAUUCAGUGUUUCUCUGAAGAAAUCUGAACAUUAUUUUCAUUUAACUUGUACUUGCAGCACAAGCAUGGCCAUCCACCAACACGCAAAACAAGUUCAAGACCAAAAAUAUGUGUUUCUUGCUGUUUACUCAACUGAACCAGAUUUGGGUUUUCAAGUUCCAAGGUUUCUGCUAACAGCAUACAGAUUAAAUUGAAAAACUGGAUUCAUCUAAAUCAUGGACAGUUCAAAACCAAUUAUUUCCAAACCAAUUAUUUCUAGCUUGCUCCCUCCACCCCCCCCCCCUGAUAUCUACUGUUUUUUAUUCAAUUAACACUAAUCAUAUUCAGUUAACAGGAGCAGAGCAGUUCUUCUUGACGAACAGGAGUAGAGCAGCAACUCCCGUACACUGAUCAUAUUCAGCACAGGGACCAGAGGAGCAACUCCUUGCGGUACCUUCUUCUUCUUGACGAGCAGGAGCUCUGGUGGCAGCACGGGCAGACGAGCAGCAGCAGCACCGGCGGUAGGGGAGAAGCAGCCGCACGGGCUCGCGCGGAAGAUUGAGGAGGGCGCGCGGGCAGGGGAGAAGGAGGACGCGCGCGAGCUCCUGGUCCACCGGAUCGUGGAGGCAAUUUCCGGCGACGCCUGUAGGGGAUCGCGACCGGGAUGAAUUGCGGCGGCGCACGCGUGGGAGCUCGAGGAGGAUGCACUGGAGCUUGAGGAGGAUGUGCUGGAGCUUGAGGAGGAUGCACUGGACCUCGAGGAGGACGCCCGCGAGCUCGAGGAGGACGUGGCCGGAGGUCCCGACGAUGCCCGCAGGUAAUCGAGGCGGGAGGGGAUCGCGGCGACGCAGGUCUGAGCGGGGAAGGCGGCGGAGCAGGUACUUGGCGGCGGCGGCGGCGGAGCAGGUAGGUGGCGACGGCGGAGGAGCACUUCCUGAUGGGCGGCGAGUCGCGCAGCUGGGCGGCGCCGGCCCCUAUCGACGACGGAGGAAGAAAACAGGGGGCGGAGGGGCUUGUUUCAGACGAUUUUAAAACUACAAGGGCUUUUUUGCAAAAUCAACAUUGAACUGCGCCCGCGACAUGUUUUUCGGGACGGAGGGAGUAUGUUGCUGCGCUUUUGGUGGCUCCGAUAACUGUCCGUCGUCCUCUCCAUGGACCAUGGCUCCAUGUGCUGCGCUGCACGUACUGCUGCAGCACUUGUUUAUGAUUGUUGCCAUGCUUUCCUGUUGCUGUUGUCAUCGUCAAGAAGAGUUCAUUGGAGAUGCUACUAGUACAAUUCCAGAACCAGAAGAGAUCUUUCCUCCCCAUUGUGAUUAGAAUAGUAGUACGAUUGUCCUCCGACAUUACAGUUGUAGGAGAAUGAUGGCGUUGCCCGUGGAACUGAUUUGGCCGAGGUGGUUCGCAUGAUGGAAACCUGGCCACAGGAACUUCUCCACAGAUUUUAUAUUUCCCAAGUCACUUUUGCAUAUUUUAAGAGCAGCGUGCGCGUCCAGACAUAACGGUCGGGCUGCGACGCUGUGACUCACUGGAGCGCCGGUGGCCACAGCGCACCAACCCAUUUAGCAAGGGAGAUAAUCCUCGAAAAAUAAAAAUAAAAAUAGCAAGGGAGAUCGAUCACUGUGCAACAGUAAACGGCAUUGUUCUUGUCCGUUUGGCGUACUCGGCCCUGAUCUUUUUCAGCGCCGCAACCACAUCGCGCAUCGUCAUCCUCUGCUCACUCCGAGUCGCUGGAGCAGAGCAAACCUAGCUCGAAAAUGGGCGUGAAAAGGCCAUCGUCCGAGCUCCUGCUAGAAAGGCAGGACCCUUGCAGUAGUUGGCCGUCCACGACCCGGAGAAGCUCCACAGGGGAUGCCUGAUGGACCCACUGUCGGAGGGUCAAAUGUGGCAUCCGUGGGUCUCCUCCCAGUAAAGACUUCUAGGAGCAUGACCCUGUAGCUGAACACGUCACUCUUCCGCGAUGCUUUUCCGAGAGACCGCGAUGCUUUUCCGAGAGACCCGUACUCUGCUCAACAAAACCAUGAACGCGAAUUGAAGCAUGGUCACUCGACCAUAUCGAUGCAGGUGGAUACAUAUUCUAUAAGUGGUCGAAUAGGAUAACAAAAGCUGGGUAAUUAGGUACCUGGUGCCAUGUAUCCAACUGUUCCUGGCAUGCUCGCGCAUAUCAUGCAGUUGUCAUCUGGAAUCAACCUUGCAAUGCCAAAGUCUGCUACAUGCGUCGUCAUCUCCUCGUCAAAUAGCACAUUGCUAGGCUUCAGGUCAUGGUGCAAGAUCAGCUCACUGUGAUCAUGAUGGAGGUACUCCAUUGCCAUCGACACGUCGAUCAUGAUGCCUAGUGUCUCAAGGAACCCUAGGCGCCAUGCAUGAACUCUGAGGCUUGUGUAGGAGCUUAUCUAAGCUGCCAUUUGGCAUGUACUGAAGCACCAGUGAUAUGAAGUCAAGGUUGGAACACGUGUUGAAUAUCUUUGAAAGGUAGCAGGUGCAUUACAUAAAUCGAAUGGCAUACGUCUAUAAGUAUAAGUUUCAAAAGGACAAGUAAAAGUGGUCCUCUCUUGAUCAGGUUGUGAAACAGGUAUUUGUGAAAAUCCAGAAUAUCCAUCAAGAAAGCAAAAAUGUGUGUGCUUAGAUAAUCUUUCUAACAUUUGAUCGAUAUAAGGCAGAGGGUAAUGAUCUUUUCUAGUUUCUUUGUUUAAUUUUCUAUAAUCAAUUACCAUUCUAUAGUCUAUGACAAUUCUUUGUGGAAUAAGCUCAUUCUUGUCAUUAGGAACAACAGUAAUACCUCUCUUCUUAGGGACACAAUGAACAGGACUUAUCCAUCUACUAUCAGCUAUAAGAUAGAUUAUACCUACUUCCAGAAGUUUUAAUAUUUCUGUUCUUACCACUUCUUUCAUCUUCAGAUUUAACCGACGUUGGUGAUCAACAACGGGUUUAGCAUCAGGUUCCAUAUAAAUCUUGUGCUGACAUAGAGUGAGACUAAUGCCCUUAAGAUCAUCAAGAGUAUAUCCAAUAGCAGCCAUGUGCUUCCUUAAAACUUUCAAUAAUCUUUCUUCUUCAUGUUCUGAAAGGUUAGCACUAAUAAUAACAUGAUAUAUCUUUUUUCCAUCAAGAUAAGCAUAUUUCAAAGUGUCUGGCAAUUGUUUUAAUUCAAACACAGGAUCACCUUUAGGUGGAGGAGGACCUCCUAGAGUUUCAAUAGGCAAAUUGUGUUUAAGCAGAAGUUGUUGUUCGAAAAAGAUUCUAUCUAUUUCAUUUCUUUCACGCAUAUGCAAAUCAUUUUCAUGGUCUAGCACGUAUUGUUUCAAAGGAUCAGUAGGAGGUAUAGCAAUAGAAGCAAGACCAAUAAUUUCAUCCUUACUAGGCAAAUCUUUCUUAUGAGGUUGUCUACUAAACUUGGAAAAAUUAAAUUCAUGAGAUUCAUCACUAAAGCUAACACUGACAGUUUGUUUCUCACAAUCUAUUUUGGCAUUAACGGUGUUCAAGAAAGGUCUGCCAAAAAUAAUGGGACAAAAGUCAUCUUGUGGGGAGCUAAGAACAAGAAAUUCAGUAGGGUAUUUUAUUUUCCCACACAAGACUUCAACAUCUCUAAGAAUCCCAAUUGGUGAUAUAGUAUCUCUAUUAGCAAGUUUAAUAGUGACAUCUAUGCCUUCUAUUUCAGCAGGUGCUAUUUCAUUCUUAAUUUUUUUAUAUAAGGAAAAAAGGAAUAACACUCACACUAGCACCUAGGUCACAUAACCCAUGAUAACAGUGAUCUCCUAUCUUAACUGAGACAACAGGCAUGCCAAUAACUGGUCUAUGUUUAUCCUUUUUAUCAGGUUUGGCAAUUCUAGAAGCUUCAUCACAGAAGUAAAUAAUAUUGCCCAUCAAUAUUAUCGACUAAGAGAUCUUUAACCAUAGCAACACUAGGUUCAACUCUGAUUUGUUCAGAUGAUUUGGGUGUUCUAACAUAACUUUUGUUAACCAUAGUUGAAGCUUUAACAUGCUCCUUCAUCCUAUCAGGGAAAGGUGUUUUUUCAAUAUAAUCAGUGGGAACAACUGGAUCAACAUUGUAAAUGAUAGUUUCUUCUUUAGCUUUUACCGGUUCUUUAACUUCUUCUUUAAUAGGUGGAUGAUAUUUAAACUGUUGGGGAACGUUGCAGAAAAUUAAAAUUUUUCCUACGGUUUCACCAAGAUUCAUCUAUGAGUUCAUCUAAGCAACGAGUCAUGGGAGAGAGAUUGCAUCUACAUACCACUUUGUAGAUCGAGCGGAAGCGUUCAAAAGAACGGGGUUGAAGUAGUCGUUCUCGUCGUGAUCCUAUACCGGAGAUCCUAGCGCCGAACGGACGGCACCUCCGCGUUCAACACACGUACGGUCAGCGUAACAUCUCCUCCGUCUUGAUCCAGCAAGGGGGAAGGAGAGGUUGAUGAUGAUGGCUCCAGCAGCAGCACAACGGCGUGGUGGUGGUGGAACAGCAGCACUCCGGCAGGGCUUCGCCAAGCACGUGACGGAGGAGGAAGAGGUGUAGCAGGGGGAGGGGGCGCAAGGACUUCAGGGUGCGGCUGCCCCCUUCGCCCCUCCCUUUACAUAGGCCCCCAGGGGGGCGCCGGCCCUGGGAGAUCUAAUCUCCCAAGGGGGCGGCGGCCAAGGGGGGUGGAGUGCCCCCCAAGGCAAGUGCCCCCCCCACCCUAGGGUUUCAACCCUAGGCGCAGGGGGUGGGCCUAGGGGGGCUCACCAGCCCACUAAGGGCUGGUUCCCCUCCCCACUUUGGCCCUUGGGGCCCUCCGGGAUGGGUGGCCCCACCCGGUGGACCCCCGGGACCCUUCCGGUGGUCCCGGUACAAUACCGGGUGACCCCGAAACUUUCCCGAUGGCCGAAAUACCACUUCCUAUAUAGUUUUCUUUACCUCCGGACCAUUCUGGAACUCCUCGUGAUGUCCGGGAUCUCAUCCGGGACUCCGAACAACAUUCGGUAUGCUGCAUACUCAUAUUCAUACAACCCUAGCGUCAGCGAACCUUAAGUGUGUAGACCCUACGGGUUCGGGAGACACAUAGACAUGACCGAGAUGGCUCUCGGGCAAUAACCAACAGCGGGAUCUGGAUACCCAUGUUGGUUCCCACAUGCUCCUCGAUGAUCUCAUCGGAUGAACCACGAUGUCGAGGAUUCGAACAACCCCGUAUACAAUUCCCUUUGUCAAUCGGUACGUUACAUGCCUGAGACUCGAUCGUCGGUAUCCCAAUACCUCGUUCAGUCUCGUUACCGGCAAGUCACUUUACUUGUACCGUAAUGCAUGAUCCCGUGACCAAACACUUGGUCACUUUGAGCUCAUUAUGAUGAUGCAUUACCGAGUGGGCCCAGAGAUACCUCUCCGUCAUACGGAGUGACAAAUCCCAGUCUCGAUCUGUGUCAACCCAACAGACACUUUCGGAGAUACCUGUAGUGCACCUUUAUAGUCACCCAGUUACGUUGUGACGUUUGGUACACCCAAAGCACUCUUACGGUAUCCGGGAGUUACACGAUCUCAUGGUCUAAGGAAGAGAUACUUGACAUUGAAAAAGCUCUAGCAAAACGAACUACACGAUCUUGUGCUAUGCUUAGGAUUGGGUCUUGUCCAUCACAUCAUUCUCCUAAUGAUGUGAUCCCGUUGUCAAUGACAUCUAAUGUCCAUAGUCAGGAAACCAUGACUAUCUGUUGACCAACGAGCUAGUCAACUAGAGCCUCGCUAGGGACAUGUUAUGGUCUAUGUAUUCACACGUGUAUUACGAUUUUCGGAUAAUACAGUUAUAGCAUGAAUAAAAGACAAUUAUCAUGAAUAAGAAAAUAUAAUAAUAACCCUUUUAUUAUUGCCUCUAGGGCAUAUUUCCAACAGUCUCCCACUUGCACUAGAGUCAAUAAUCCAGUUACAUUGUGAUGAAUCGAACACCCAUAGAGUUCUGGUGUUGAUCAUGUUUUGCUCGCGAGAGAGGUUUAGUCAACGGAUCUGCGACAUUCAGAUCCGUAUGUACUUUGCAAAUAUCUAUGUCUCCAUCUUGAACAUUUUCACGGAUGGAGUUGAAGCGACGCUUGAUGUGCCUGGUCUUCUUGUGAAACCUGGGCUCCUUGGCAAGGGCAAUAGCUCCAGUGUUGUCACAGAAGAGUUUGAUCGGCCCCGACGCAUUGGGUAUGACUCCUAGGUCGGUGAUGAACUCCUUCACCCAUAUUGCUUCAUGCGCUACCUCCGAGGCUGCCAUGUACUCCGCUUCACAUGUAGGUCCCGUCACGACGCUCUGCUUGCAGCUGCACCAGCUUACUGCUCCACCAUUCAACAUAUACACGUAUCCGGUUUGUGACUUAGAGUCAUCCAGAUCUGUGUCGAAGCUAGCGUCGACGUAACCCUUUACGACAAGCUCUUCGUCACCUCCAUAAACGAGAAACAUGUCCUUUGUCCUUUUCAGGUACUUUAGGAUAUUCUUGACCGCUGUCCAGUGUUCCUUGUCGGGAUUACUUUGGUACCUUCCUACCAAACUUACGGCAAGGUUUACAUCAGGUCUGGUACACAGCAUGGCAUACAUAAUAGAUCCUAUGGCUGAGGCAUAGGGGAUGACGCUCAUCUCUUCUUUAUCUUUUGCCGUGGUCGGGCAUUGAGCCGAGCUCAAUCUCACACCUUGCAGCACAGGCAAGAACCCUUUCUUGGACUGAUCCAUUUUGAACUUCUUCAAAAUCUUAUCAAGGUAUGUGCUUUGUGAAAGACCUAUGAGGCGUCUCAAUCUAUCCCUAUAGAUCUUGAUGCCUAAUAUAUAAGCAGCUUCCCCAAGGUCCUUCAUUGAAAAACACUUAUUCAAGUAGGCCUUAAUGCUGUCCAAGAAUUCUAUAUCAUUUCCCAUCAAAAGUAUGUCAUCUACAUAUAAUAUGAGAAAUGCUACAGAGCUCCCACUCACUUUCUUGUAAACGCAGGCUUCUCCAUAAGUCUGCGUAAACCCAAACACUUUGAUCAUCUCAUCAAAGCGAACGUUCCAACUCCGAGAUGCUUGCACCAGCCCAUAAAUGGAUCGCUGAAGCUUGCAUACUUUGUUAGCAUUCUUUGGAUUGACAAAACCCUCCGGCUGCAUCAUAUACAGUUUUUCCUUAAGAUGCCCGUUACGGAAUGCCGUUUUGACGUCCAUCUGCCAUAUCUCAUAAUAAUAGUAUGCGGCAAUUGCUAACAUGAUUCGGACGGACUUAAGCUUUGCUACGGGAGAGAAAGUCUCAUCGUAGUCAAUCCCUUGAACUUGCCGAUAACCCUUAGCGACAAGUCAAGCUUUAUAGAUGGUGACAUUACCAUCCGCGUCCGUCUUCUUCUUAAAGAUCCAUUUGUUUUCUAUCGCUCGCCGAUCAUCGGGCAAGUCAGUCAAAGUCCAUACUUUGUUUUCAUACAUGGAUUCUAUCUCGGAUUUCAUGGAUUCUAACCAUUUGUUGGAAUCUGGGCCCGCCAUUGCUUCUUCAUAGUUCGAAGGUUCACCGUUGUCCAACAACAUGAUUUCCAGGACAGGGUUGCCGUACCACUCUGGUGCGGAACGUGUCCUUGUGGACCCACGAAGUUCAGUAGAACUUGAUCCGAAGUACCUUGAUCAUCAUCAUUGUUUUCCUCUUCAGUUGGUGUAGGCAUCACAGGAACAUUUUCCUUAGCUGCACUACUAUCCCGUUCAAGAGGUAGUACUUCAUCGAGUUCUACUUUCCUCCCACUUACUUCUUUCGAGAGAAACUCUUUUUCCAGAAAGGAUCCGUUCUUGGCAACAAAGAUAUUGCCCUCGGAUCUUAAGUAGAAGGUAUACCCAAUGGUUUCUUUAGGGUAUCCUAUGAAGACGCAUUUUUCCGACUUGGGUUCGAGCUUUUCAGGUUGAAGUUUCUUGACAUAAGCAUCGCAUCCCCAAACUUUUAGAAACGAUAGCUUAGGUUUCUUCCCAAACCAUAAUUCAUACAGUGUCGUCUCAACGGAUUUAGACGGUGCCCUAUUUAAAGUGAAUGUAGCUGUCUCUAGAGCGUAUCCCCAAAAUGAUAGCGGUAAAUCGGUAAGAGACAUCAUAGAUCGCACCAUAUCCAAUAGAGUGCGAUUACGACGUUCGAACACACCGUUACGCUGAGGUGUUCCAGGCGGCGUGAGUUGUGAAACGAUUCCACAUUUUCUUAAGUGUGUACCAAAUUCGUGACUUAAAUAUUCUCCUCCACGAUCCGAUCGUAAGAAUUUUAUCUUUCGGUCACGUUGAUUCUCUACUUCAUUCUGAAAUUCCUUGAACUUUUCAAAGGUCUCAGACUUGUGUUUCAUCAAGUAGACAUACCCAUAUCUACUCAAGUCAUCAGUGAGAGUGAGAACAUAACGAUAUCCUCCGCGAGCUUCAACGCUCAUUGGACCGCACACAUCGGUAUGUAUGAUUUCCAACAAGUUGGUUGCUCGCUCCAUUGUUCUGGAGAACGGGGUCUUGGUCAUUUUGCCCAUGAGGCAUGGUUCGCAUGUGUCAAAUGAUUCAUAAUCGAGAGACUCUAAAAGUCCAUCAGCAUGGAGCUUCUUCAUGCGCUUGACACCAAUGUGACCAAGGCGGCAGUGCCACAAGUAUGUGGGACUAUCGUUAUCAACUUUACAUCUUUUGGUAUUCACGCUAUGAAUAUGUGUAACAUUACGUUCGAGAUUCAUUAAGAAUAAACCAUUGACCAUUGGGGCAUGACCAUAAAACAUAUCUCUCAUAUAAAUAGAACAACCAUUAUUCUCGGAUUUAAAUGAGUAGCCAUCUCGUAUUAAAUGAGAUCCAGACACAAUGUUCAUGCUCAAACUUGGCACUAAAUAACAAUUAUUGAGGUUUAAAACUAAUCCCAUAGGUAAAUGUAGAGGUAGGUGCCGACGGCGAUCACAUCGACCUUGGAACCAUUCCCGACGCGCAUCGUCACCUCGUCCUUCGCCAGUCUCCGCUUAUUCCGCAGCUCCUGUUGUGAGUUACAAAUGUGAGCAAUGGCACCGGUAUCAAAUACCCAGGAGUUACUACGAGUACUGGUGAGGUACACAUCAAUUACAUGUAUAUCAAAUAUACCUUUAGUGUUGCCGGCCUUCUUAUCCGCUAAGUAUUUGGGGCAGUUCCGCUUCCAGUGACCCUUCCCCUUGCAAUAAAAGCACUCAAUUUCAGGCUUGGGUCCAUUCUUUGACUUCUUCCCGGUAACUGGCUUACCGGGCGCGGCAACAUCUUUGCCGUCCUUCUUGAAGUUCUUCUUACCCUUGCCCUUCUUGAACUUAGUGGUCUUAUUGACCAUCAACACUUGAUGUUCUUUCUUGAUUUCAACCUCUGCUGACUUCAGCAUUGAAAAUACUUCAGGAAUGGCCUUUACCAUCCCCUGCAUAUUGUAGUUCAUCACAAAGCUCUUGUAGCUUGGUGGGAGCGACUGAAGGAUUCUGUCAAUGACCGCCUCAUCCGGGAGGUUAAUGUCCAGCUGGACAGGCGGUUGUGCAACCCAGACAUUUUGAGUAUGUGCUCACUGACAGAACUAUUUUCCUCCAUCUUACAACUAUAGAACUUGUCGGGGACUUCAUAUCUCUCGACCCGGGCAUGAGCUUGGAAAACUAGUUUCAGCUCCUCGAACAUCUCAUAUGCUCCGUGUUGCUCAAAAUGCUUUUGGAGCCCCGGUUCUAAGCUGUAAAGCAUGCCACACUGAACGAGGGAGUAAUCAUCAGCGCGAGACUGCCAAGCAUUCAUAAUGUCUUGGUUCUCUGGGACGGGUGCAUCACCUAGCGGUCCUUCUAGGACAUAUUGUUUCCUGGCUGCUAUGAGGAUGAUCCUCAGGUUCCGGACCCAGUCCGUAUAGUUGCUGCCAUCAUCUUUCAGCUUGGUUUUCUCUAGGAACGCGUUGAAGUUCAUGUUGACAUGAGCGUUGGCCAUUUGAUCUACAAGACAUAUUUUGCAAAAGUUUUAGACUAAGUUCAUGAUAAUUAAGUUCAUCUAAUCAAAUUAUUUAAUGAACUCCCACUCAGAUCAGACAUCCCUCUAGUCAUCUAAGUGUUACACGAUCCGAGUCGACUAGGCCGUGUCCGAUCAUCACGUGAGACGGACUAGUCAUCAUCGGUGAACAUCUCCAUGUUGAUCGUAUAUUCUAUACGACUCAUGUUCGACCUUUCGGUCUCUUGUGUUCCGAGGCCAUGUCUGUACAUGCUAGGCUCGUCAAGUUAACCCUAAGUGUUCUGCAUGUGUAAAUCUAUCUUACACCUGUUGUAUGUGAACGUAAGGAUCUAUCACACCCGAUCAUCACGUGGUGCUUCGAAACGACGAACUUUAGCAACGGUGCACAGUUAGGGGGAACACUUUCUUGAAAUUAUUAUAAGGGAUCAUCUUAUUUACUACCGUCGUUCUAAGUAAACAAGAUGCAUAAAACAUAAUAAACAUCUCAUGCAAUUAUAUAGUAGUGACAUGAUAUGGCCAAUAUCAUAUAGCUCCCUUCGAUCUCCAUCUUCGGGGCUCCAUGAUCAUCUUUGUCACCGGCAUGACACCAUGAUCUCCAUCAUCAUGAUCUCCAUCAUCAUGAUCUCCAUCAUUGUGUCUUCAUGAAGUUGUCACGCCAACGACUACUUCUACUUCUAUGGCUAAUGCGUUUAGCAAUAAAGUAAAGUAAUUUACAUGGUGUUCUUCAAUGACACGCAGGUCAUACAAAAAAUAAAGACAACUCCUAUGGCUCCUGCCGGUUGUCAUACUCAUCGACAUGCAAGUCGUGAUUCCUAUUACAAGAACAUGAUCUCAUACAUCACAAUAUAUCAUUCAUCAUUCAUCACAACUUCUGGCCAUAUCACAUCACAUGACAAUUGCUGCAAAAACAAGUUAGACGUCCUCUAAUUGUUGUUGCAUCUUUUACGUGGCUGCAAUUGGGUUCUAGCAAGAACGUUUUCUUACCUACGAAUAACCACAACGUGAUCUUGUCAACUUCUAUUUACCCUUCAUAAGGACCCUUUUCAUCGAAUCCGCUCCAACUAAAGUGGGAGAGACAGUCACCCGCCAGCCACCUUAUGCAACUAGUGCAUGUUAGUCGGUGGAACCAGUCUCACGUAAGCGUACGUGUAAGGUUGGUCCGGGCCACUUCAUCCCACAAUACCGUUGAAGCAAGAUAAGACUAGUAGCGGCAAGCAAGUUGAUAAGAUCUACGCCCACAAAAAAAUUGUGUUCUACUUGUGCAAUAGAGAACUAUGCAUAGACCUAGCUCAUGAUGCCACUGUUGGGGAACGUUGUAGAAAAUUAAAAUUUUUCCUACGGUUUCACCAAGAUCCAUCUAUGAGUUCAUCUAAGCAACGAGUCAUGGGAGAGAGAUUGCAUCUACAUACCACUUUGUAGAUCGAGCGGAAGCGUUCAAAAGAACGGGGUUGAAGUAGUCGUUCUUGUCGUGAUCCUAUCACCGAAGAUCCUAGCGCCGAACAGACGGCACCUCCGCGUUCAACACACGUACGGUCAGCGUAACGUCUCCUCCGUCUUGAUCCAGCAAGGGGGAAGGAGAGGUUGAUGAUGAUGGCUCCAGCAGCAGCACAACGACGUGGUGGUGGUGGAACAGCAGCACUCCGGCAGGGCUUCGCCAAGCACGUGACGGAGGAGGAAGAGGUGUAGCAGGGGAAGAGGGCGCCAGGACUUCAGGGUGCGGCUGCCCCCUUCCCCCCUCCCUUUAUAUAGGCCCCCAGGGGGGGCGCCGGACCUGGGAGAUCUAAUCUCCCAAGGGGGUGGCGGCCAAGGGGGGUGGAGUGCCCCCCAAGGCAAGUGGGGCGCCCCCCCCACCCUAGGGUUUCAACACUAGGCGCAGGGGGUGGGCCUAGGGGGGCGCACCAGCCCACUAAGGGCUGGUUCCCCUCCCCACUUUGGCCCUUGGGGCCCUCCGGGAUGGGUGGCCCCACCCGGUGGACCCCCGGACCCUUCCGGUGGUCCCGGUACAAUACCGGGUGACCCCGAAACUUUCCCGAUGGCCGAAAUACCACUUCCUAUAUAGUUUUCUUUACCUCCGGACCAUUCCGGAACUCCUCGUGACGUCCGGGAUCUCAUCCGGGACUCUGAACAACAUUCGGUAUGCUGCAUACUCAUAUUCAUACAACCCUAGCGUCAGCGAACCUUAAGUGUGUAGACCCUACGGGUUCGAGAGACACGUAGACAUGACCGAGACGGCUCUCGGGAAAUAACCAACAGCAGGAUCUGGAUACCCAUGUUGGUUCCCACAUGCUCCUCGAUGAUCUCAUCGGAUGAACCACAAUGUCGAGGAUUCGAACAACCCCGUAUACAAUUCCCUUUGUCAAUCGGUACGUUACAUGCCCGAGACUCGAUCGUCGGUAUCCCAAUACCUCGUUCAGUCUCAUUACCGGCAAGUCACUUUACUCGUACCAUAAUGCAUGAUCCCGUGACCAAACACUUGGUCACUUUGAGCUCAUUAUGAUGAUGCAUUACCGAGUGGGCCCAGAGAUACCUCUCCGUCAUACGGAGUGACAAAUCCCAGUCUCGAUCCGUGUCAACCCAACAGACACUUUCGGAGAUACCUGUAGUGCACCUUCAUAGUCACCCAGUUACGUUGUGACGUUUGGUACACCCAAAACACUCUUACGGUAUCUGGGAGUUACACGAUCUCAUGGUCUAAGGAAGAGAUACUUGACAUUGAAAAAGCUCUAGCAAAAUGAACUACACGAUCUUGUGCUAUGCUUAGGAUUGGGUCUUGUCCAUCACAUCAUUCUCCUAAUGAUGUGAUCCCGUUGUCAAUGACAUCUAAUGUCCAUAGUCAGAAAACCAUGACUAUCUGUUGACCAACGAGCUAGUCAACUAGAGGCUCACUAGGGACAUGUUAUGGUCUAUGUAUUCACACGUGUAUUACGAUUUCCGGAUAAUACAGUUAUAGCGUGAAUAAAAGACAAUUAUCAUGAAUAAGGAAAUAUAAUAAUAACCCUUUUAUUAUUGCCUCUAGGGCAUAUUUCCAACAUAAACCACUUCUCCUUAGGGAGAUCAACGUGAGUAUCAAAAGAUUCACAAAAGGAAGCUACUAUCUCAGAGUCAAGUUCAUAUUUAGUGCUAAACUUUUGAAAAGCAUGAUGCUUCAUAAAAGAUUUAAUAGAAUCAAACUUAGGUUCAAUACCUGACUCUUUACCUUCGUCAAGUUCUCAAUCUUCAGAGUUGCAUUUAAUUCUUUCUAAAAGAUCCCAUCGGAAUUCAAUAGUCUUCUUCAUAAAAGAACCAGUACAAGAAGUAGCGAGCAUGGAUUGAUCAUUACGUAUGUAGUAAUCUGUAUCAAACGUAUACUUCUGGAACCCCAAAUUUUUUGAAAUAAAUUGCUGGACCUGAGCAAUUUGUCUAUUAAUCAUCUGCAAAAGGAAUCAACCUAAAAUCACUCACCAGUAAAAAAUGGCAGCUAAUCUCGUGAGCGCUAAAGUUUCUGUUUUUCACAGCAAGAUCACAUAAACUUCACUCAAGUCUUCCCAAAGGUUCUACUUGGCACUUUAUUGAAACAAAAUAUAUAAAACAUGAUUACUACAGUAGCAUAAUCAUGUGAACACACAAAAAUAGUAAUGAUAAAUAUUGGGUUGUCUCCCAACAAGCGCUUUUCUUUAAUGCCUUUUUAGCCAGGCAUGAUGAUGACAAUGAUGCUCACAUAAAAGAUAAGAAUUGAAACAUAACGGGAGCAUCAUGAAGCAUAUGACUAGCACAUUUAAGUCUAACCCACUUCCUAUGCAUAGGGAUUUUGUGAGCAAACAACUUAUGGGAACAAUAAUCAACUAGCAUAGGAUGGCAAAACAAGCAUAGCUUCAAAAUUUUCAGCACAUAGAGAGGAAACUUGACUUUAUUGCAAUUCCUACAAGCAUAUGUUCCUCUCUCAUAAUAAUUUUCAGUAGCACCAUGAAUGAAUUCAAUAAUAUAACCAGCACCUAAAGAAUUCUUUUCAUGAUCUACAAGCAUAGAAAAUUUACUAUUCUCCACAUAAGCAAAAUUCUUCUCGUGAAUAGUAGUGGGAGCAAACUCAACAAAAUAACUAUCAUGAGAUUGAAAAUUAAGAUCAAGAUGACACGUUUCAUGGUUAUCAUUAUUCUUUAAAGCAUACGUGUCAUCACAAUAAUCAUCAUAGAUAGGAGGCAUGCUUUCAUCAUAGUAAAUUUGCUCAUCAAAGCUUGGGGGACAAAAAAUAUCAUCUCCAUCAAAUGUAGCUUCCCCAAGUUUGUGGCUUUGCAUAUCAUUAACAUCAUGGAUAUUCAAGGAAUUCAUACUAACUACAUUGUAAUCAUGCUCAUCAUUCAAAGAUUUAGUGCCAAACAUUUUAGAGAUUUCUUCUUCUAGCACUUGAGCACAAUUAUCCUUUCCAUCAUACUCACGAAAGAUAUUAAAAAGAUGAAGCGUAUGAGACAAACUCAAUUCCAUUUUUUUGUAGUUUUCUUUUAUAAACUAGACUAGUGCUAAAACAAGAAACAAAAAGAUUUGAUUGCAAUAUCUAAAGAUAUACUUUCAAGCGCUAACCUCCCCGGCAACGGCGCCAGAAAAGAGCUUGAUGUCUACUACACAACCUUCUUCUUGUAGACGUUGUUGGGCCUGCAAGUGCACAUGUUCGUAGGACAGUAGCAAAUUUUCCUCAAGUGGAUGACCUAAGGUUUAUCAAUCCGUAGGAGGCGUAGGAUGAAGAUGGUCUCUCUCAAACAACCCUGCAACCAAAUAACAAAAAGUCUCUUGUGUCCCCAACACACCCAAUACAAUGAUAAAUUGUAUAGGUGCACUAGUUCGGCUAAGAGAUGGUGAUAGAAGUGCAAAAUAGAUAGUAGAUAUAGGUUUUUGUAAUCUGAAAUAAUAAAAACAGCAAGGUAACAAGCGGUAAAAGUGAGCGUAAACGGUAUUGCAAUGAUAGGAAACAAGGCCUAGGGUUCAUACUUUCACUAGUGCAAAUUCUCUCAACAAUAAUAACAUAGAUAGAACAUAUGACAAGCCCUCAACAUGCAACAAAAAGUCACUCCAAAGCCACUAAUAGCGGAGAACAAACGUAGAGAUUAUGGUAGGGUACGAAACCACCUCAAAGUUAUUCUUUCGGAUCGAUCUAUAAAAGAGUUCGUACUAGAAUAACACCUUAAGACACAAAUCAACCAAAGCCCUAAUGUCACCUAGAUACUCCAUUGUCACCUCAAGUAUCCGUGGGCAUGAUUAUACGAUAUGCAUCACACAAUCUCAGAUUCAUCCAACCAACAUAAACGUACUUCAAAGAGUGCCCCAAAGCUACUACCGGAGAGUCAAGAACGUGUGCCAACCCUUAUGCAUAGGUUCAUGGGUGGAACCCGCAAGUUGGUCACCAAAACAUACAUCAAGUGGCACAUGAUAUCCCAUUGUCACCACAGAUAAUCACGGCAAGACAUACAUCAAGUGUUCUCAUAAAGACUCAAUCCGAUAAGAUAACUUCAAAGAGGAAACUCAAUUCAUCACAAGAGAGUAGAGGGGGAGAAACAUCAUAAGAUCCAACUACAAUACCAAAGCUCGGGAUACAUCAAGAUCGUGCCAUAGAGGAACACGAGAGAGAGAUCAAACACAUAGCUACUGGUACAUACCCUCAGCCCCGAGGGUGAACUACUCCCUCCUCGUCAUGGAUAGCGCUGGGAUGAUGAAGAUGGCCUCCGGUGAUGGGAUCCCCCUCCGGCAGGGUGCCAGAAUAGGGUCCCGAUUGGUUUUUGGUGGCUACAGAGGCUUGCGGCGGCGGAACUCCCGAUCUAUUUUCUGUUCUGGAAGUUUUAGGGUACGUAGGUAUAUAUGGGUGCAGGGGGUACGUCGGUGGACCUCCGGGGUGCUCACGAGGUAGGGGGGCGCGCCCAGGGGGCGCCCCCACCCUCGUGGGCAGCCCGGGACUCCCCUGACGUCCACUCCAAGUCCAUCAGGUUGCUUUCCUUCCAAAAAUAACUUCUCCAGUUGAUUUCGUUCCGUUUUGACUCCGUCUGAUAUUCCUUUUCCUCGAAACACUAAAAUAGGCAUAAAACAGCAAAUCUGGGCUGGGCCUCCGGUUAAUAGGUUAGUCCCAAAAAUAAUAUAAAAGUGGAUAAUAAAGCCCAAUAUUGCCUAAAACAGUAGAUAAAGUAGCAUGGAGCAAUCAAAAAUUAUAGAUACGCUGGAGACGUAUCAAUUACUUGCAACAUGAUUUCUCCCGUGACCUCAAGAAUGAAAGUAACUACUCACAAAUGAUAAUCAUGCUCAAGAUCAGAGGGGUAUUAAGUAGCAUAAUGGAUAUGAACAUAUAAUCUUCCACCAAAUAAACCAUAUAGUAAUCAACUACAAGAUGUAAUCAACACUACUAGUCACCCACAAGCACCAAUCUAUAGUUUUGGUACAAAGAUUGAACACAAGAGAUGAACCAGGGUUUGAGAGGAGUUGGUGAUGUUGAAGAUGUUGAUGAAGAUAUCCCUCCCCAAGAUGGGAGAGUUGUUGGUGAUGAUGAUGACGAUGAUUUCCCCUCCGAGAGGGAAGUCCCCCCGGCGGAAUCGCUCCACCGAAGGGCAAAAGUGCUCCUGCCCAAGUUUCGCCUCGAGGCAGCGGGGCUUCAUCCCGAAAGUCCUUUCCUUCUUUUUUCUAGGUCAAAAUGACUUAUAUACCAGAAGAGGGGCACCGGAGGUGGGCCGAGGAGGGCAGCACCCACCAAGGCGCGCUUGGGCCUCCUGGCACGCCCAGGUGGGUUGUGCCCAUCUGGUGGCCCCCCUCUGGUACUUAUUUGCUCCAAUAAUUCUUAAAUAUUCCAUAAAAAAUCCUCGGGAAGUUUUAGCUCAUUUGGAGUUGUGCAUAAUAGGUAGCUUGAUGUAGCUUUUUUAGGUCCAGAUUUCCAGCUGCUAGAAUUCUUCCCCUUUGUGCAUACCUUGCAUACUAUGAGAGAAAAGGCAUUAUAAUUACUCCAAAAGGCAUUAUUAUACAAUAAAACGACAUAAAUAAUAGUAGGAAAAACAUGAUGCAAAAUGGACGUAUCACUAAUCAACCCGGCAAAAUGCUCAAUACUGUUUGGACACUCGUGUCCGUCUAAUGUACAUGAAAAUGUGAAACAGCAGCUAAAAAUCAUGAAGGAUCAGUUUGAGGAGAAAUACUUAGGAGUCCUGACUCCUGAAGGCCGCAUGCAUAAAGGGAAGUUCCAAAAUUUGCAAGUAAAAUUGUUGAAGCGUAUAUGUAUUUGGGGCGAUGGAUAUAUGGCUCAAGCCGGUAGAGAAGUGUUAAUCAAGGCGGUGGCACAAUCAAUCCCCAUGUAUAUCAUGGGUGUCUUCAAGCUCCCAUUCUCUGUGUGCGACGAUCUUACACGGAUGGUCCGGAACUACUGGUGGGGCUCAGAGAAAGGGAAACGGAAAACUCACUGGAUGGCCGGGCAUCAAAUCAUCAAACCCAAAGCGAUGGGCGACCUUGGGUUUCAGGAUUACAGAUUCUUCAAUCAAGCACUCCUCGCUCGGCAGGCAUGGCGUUUGUUGAUCAACCCGGAGAGCUUGUGUGCUCGGGUCUUGAAAGCGAAAUGUUAUCCUAAUGGGCGACUAGAGGAUGCUGUUUUUGCAGGUAAAGCUUCAUCGACGUGGCAUGUCAUUACGUAUGGACUGGAGCUCCUAAAAAAGGUCUCCUAUGGAGGAUCGAUGACGGACAAUCUGUUCGUAUAUGGCGCGAUAUGUGGCUGGAGCGUCCAGUGUCAUACCGGCCGAUAUCACAUGUCGGAAGGUGCAGGCUUCGGCGUGUGGCCGAACUGAUGGAUGAUCGUGGCAUGUGGAGAAGGGAGUUGGUGCAGCAGUACUUUACACAGCCAGACGUCUACGAGAUUAUCAAGCUGCGGCCCUCACCCAGGAUGCAUGAUGUCCUAGCCUGGGGGCCGGAUCCGAGAAGAAUCUUCUACGUCAAAUCAACCUAUAAACUGGGACUGGAGGACAAACUGUGCGCAUCUUCAUGCGCGGCGAGCAGGGCACCGGACGACAAUCGUGCCAUCUGGACGACAUUGUGGAGGUGCCCUGCUCCACCCAAGGUACGGGUCUUUGGUUGGCGGAUAGCAACUAAUUCUUUGGCAACUAUAAAAAAAGCAUAAGAGAAAUCGGGAACAUUCUGAUGUUUGUGUCAUGUGUGGCAUCGAGCGGGAGGAUACCUUUCACGCCGUGUGCAGGUUCCCUAUGGCGUGCGCCCUAUGGGAUGCUAUGAAGGAGUCAUGGCCUCUUCCGGACCUGCGGAUGGUGUCCAACACCGGCGAAGAAUGGCUUCUACAUCUCCUGAAUAACAACACGAAAUUGCAACGCUUGGUCAUUCUAAUGACCUUUCGGCAAGCUUGGCACUAUCGGAACGAAGUCAUACAUCACAAACCGGCACCACCAAUCGAGAGUUCGAGGAGAUUUCUGAACAGCUACAUCAAAUCCCUAUUAUGCAUCAAACAACAACCACAAGGAGACUUGGUGAAAGGGAAGAUGGUGGUUCAGAAGGUGCCACAAGUGGUGAGGCAAUCAGAGGAUAAGUCUAGUGUUACGCUUGAAUCUACCUGGGUAAAACCACCACCUGGCUGGGUGAAACUGAAUGUUGAUGGGUCAAAUAUCCCUGGCGAGUGUACUGGAGGUGCGGGCAUGGUCUUGAGGGACGACACGGGAGCCAUCAUCUUCUCGUCGUGUCGGUUUCUUCGAUCAUGCCACACACAAAUGGAGGCAGAAAUAGCAGCGUGUCUCGAGGGUACGUCCCUGGUGCUGCAGCGUACAUAGAAACCCAUCAUUGUGGAACUAGACUGUAAAGAAGGAGUGGUAGCUUUGACGGACAGAGGAGUUAACAGGUCUUCGUUGGCCGGGUUUAUCGAGGAGACGAAGAGUCUCUUGCAUGGAGUACGGCGGCAUGUUUUCGCCCACGUCCGACGCACGGCCAACAUGGCCGCGCAUUGCAUGGCUCAAAGAGGACGUACUAGCCAACGUACGAUGUUUUGGCUGCAAGCUGGGCUGAUGAUUUAUGUUCUAUUUAUGAAAACUAGUGUACAAACAUUACUUAUUUAAUGAAUGCUCGUUUCACCCGCAAAAAAAAGUGAACUCACUUGUUUUUUCAUAGCUGCACCGCGCUAAAUAGGAGCUCCUUGUAUUAGCCCCCAAAACAGCCCAAACUCAGACGGGCCUGAUGGGCCGGCCUGUUUGCUUAUUAUGCCGUGCCUCGGCCGGGCAGUGCGGCACGAGUGCCGCCGGCUCGGCACGGUGAGGGCCGUACCAUGCCUGCCAGGCCGUGCCGUGGUGGCCCAUCUGGCCAGGUCUGGCCCCCAAGCUCGAAUGUAAUUGUUCCAAAAUGAAUUUCCCCAAAGUCGGCCGCACGCGACACCGUCCUUUUUUUCUUCUUUUUCUUUGGAAAAAAUCCAAAGGAGCAAGCCCUAGCUCGUCCGAAUCCAACCCCCUCGCCGAACAAAUGUCCGACCGCCGCCGGGACAAGGAGAGGCCCCGCGAGCGCGGCGGCUACGACCAGCCGCGGGAGCGCGACCACGACAGCCACCGCGACGCCGACCGCCACCGCGACCGGGACCGGGACGUCGACCGCCACCGCGACCGGGACCGGGACCGCGGCCAGGACAAGGAGCGGGAGCGGGACCGCGACCGGGACUGCCGCCGCGCCCGCAAGCGCUCGCGCUCCCGCUCCCCCUCGGCCGACAGGGACCGCGCCCGCCGCCGCCGCUCCCACUCCCACUCCCACCCCCACCGGUCCCGCUCCCCCGACGCCGCCCGCCACAAGCGCCGCCGCGAGGGGUCGCCCGUCGCCGACCGAAAGGAGGAGGACAGGAAGCCGGAUCCCCCCUCCGCCCCCAAGGCCGCCGAGGAGGCCGCCCCGGUGGGCGACGGGGACGUGGACGCCGAGGAGCUGGAGAUGAUGAAGAUGAUGGGGAUCCCCGUCGGGUUCGACUCCACCAAGGGCAAGUACGUCCCCGGCGCCGACGUCAGCGGCGUGCGCGCCGUCACCAAGCGCCAGCCGCGGCAGUACAUGAACCGCAGGGGCGGGUUCAACCGUCCCCUGCCGCCCGAGGUCAACCGCUGAGGAGGUAGGGUUUCAGAUUUCCUUGCACUUUUCUGUUUCUACUGUAAUUGAUUUCAGUUCUGCAUUUGCUUGCCUGGAGUUUAUGGCCCAAUCUGAAUAACAGCGAAAAAGCAUGUACUGCAGAUCUGUUGAAUAUGCGUGAAGUGUAACUAUGCUAAAUCUGUUCUGCUAUUUAUGAAUUUUGAGUUAUACUAUUGUGCUAGAGAUCUUUGCUUCACCGCCACAAAGACAAGGGAGCUCUUUAUCUAGAAAAGUUGUCGAGUAGCAUGUUAGAACUGAGCUAGAACAAGCGCACAGCGCAAAUUGACAGUGACGAGCACCGUAUAAUUAUCUAAUCCUGACUCUGUACUGAAUGGGGUUGCACCAUAUAAAUGCUUACUUUCUGACUCUUAUGUUAAAUGUCUGUUUACUGUCUUCUCUUUCGGGUACAUACAAAUGCGGCUAGUGGGGUUACAAAUUGUAGAGCCAUAGAAGGCAACAUCUUGGGCAUAUACUUUGAAGUUAACAUCAUAGUUCUUUCUUGUUCAUCUAUUUGAUUGAAUCCCCACGUUUCUAGUAGUUCAUCAUUUUCUGUUUGUAGGCUAUCUUCAUUACGGUAUUGCUUAUUGGUCUGACCUACUGUCUGCUUCACCUGUCAAAAAUUUACGGAACAUGUCUGCUUUCCAAAAUUCAACUUCGAAACCAUUUUGUUAUUUCUCUGUAGUCGAAAUCCUACUAAUCAGGUAUGUUGUUGGUAAAUCUAUUCAAGUAAAGUCCUUCAGAUCCUGGGGAUGAUGGUGCUCUUUAGUCCUUUCACCUAUUUGUCACUGACAAGGUUAUGCUUAAUUGCUAUACAGGAUUACUGAUUAUAGGAAAUGAGAUGUUUUAAGUUUUAUCUAGUUCCGAGCAAUAGCGUGACAGCAUAUCUGAUAUUAGUAAACCCUUCGAUUGCCUUGAAGCUUAUUAUCAUAAAUCUAUUCCUGAACAAAACUCUUCUCUUUUUACAAUUGUUCCUUGACACAACUCAGUGUUUGCUGUACAGGGCUCUGUACUUCUAGCCUGUUAUUACAUUGAUUGAGUUUUUUAUAUUCUGUUGAGAUCGUACAACAUGAUUUCAGAUAUAAACCGUGUAAAAAAAGUCUGAUAAGAAUUCCAAUCGGACUAGGAAUCCCCAAGGCUUGUGAGCAAUACCUCUCCAGACAGAUUUAGCAUGAGACUGAAAAUAAUUUUCUAUGAGCCACCAGUUUGGGCUUGUGAAAUUAUUAUCAGUAGACACCAAAAUAGGGGUAUGAUCACUGAUGAUGAUAGAACCUUAUAAACAGUAGACACCAAAAUAGGGGAAGAAGCCUCAUCAUUCAGCAUUAACCAAGCACCUCUCUAGAUUUUCAUAAAUAGGUUCUGAAGAGUAAUGCCUGUUAGUCCAAGUAUAAGCAGGACCACUAAAAACUAAAUCAAUUAGGCCACAUUGCUUAACAAGGUCACAGAAUGCACGCAUAUGGUAUAUAUUAAGAUUAGGAGAGCUUUUGUCUACAUCAUAGAGUGUUGUUGAGAUCUCCCAUAGAUAAGCUGGCCUAAGUUAUCAUACACAACAGAGGCAAUUUGAUCCCAGAUCUGACUAGUCUGACGGUGGGGGAGCACCAUAGAUGCAAACUAGCGCAAACUCUACCCUAGUAACUAUUCUUACAACCGAGGCUAAUACUUAUAAAAGCUAUAAGUAUGAACAUUAACUUGGACAUCGUCAUUCCACAUGGGCCAUAGACCUCCUGAGCCACCCUGAUGGAACUACUACACUAUCAACAUUCAACAACAUCGAAACAGUUAACAAGAUUAGCCGAAUUAACAUUAGAAGAUUUUAUUCCUGAAACGUAGGUUACCUGAGCAUUAGUGGAGCUGGUAGGACUAGGGUCCCUACCAGGCCUCCGGCGUAGGUUGUAUGGACAGGGAGGAGGGGGACGGAGUCUGGAGCGGGCGCGCCGGCGGUCGGGCGCCGUCGCGGCUAGGGUUGGGAGAGGCGGCUAGGGUUCCGGCUCCUUGGGGAGCCGGGCAACAGAAGAUUAUAAUAUCUUUAUUGCUUGAUCUCCAACGGUGUCUUACAACUACUCCCUCCGUCCGAAAAUACUUGUCAUCAAAAUGGACAAAAAUGAAUGUAUGUAGAACUAAAAUACAUCUAGAUACAUUCCCUUUUAUUCAUUUUGAUGACAAGUAUUUUCGGACGGAGGGAGUAGUAUUUAUAACUUUAGCCUAAGAUAACUUGCCUAAGAUAACUUGCGGGACAAGCCCCUAAUACUAAUGCCCGGUGGGCCUCUUCCUGGUAUAGACCUGUCCGGUCAUAACAUCUCUCCCCGCCUGCGCAAACAACUCGUCCUCGAGCUGAAAGUCUGGAUAGUGUUGGCGGAAUUCGUCACGCUGCUCCCAAGUAGCCUCCUCCUCCGGAAGGCCCGCCCACUGAAUGAGGACGAACCAGACGCCACGACGGAGCUGCGCCUGCAACACCUUUGCUAGCUCGGGAAGAAUGCGACCAUCGGCGAUUGGAGGAAGCGCCGGAGGAGCCGCCGGUGGCUCGCCGCGGAAAGGCUUGAGCAGCCCAACAUGGAAGACGUCGUGGAUGCGAGCGCGGGCCGGAAGCUGAAGACGAUAGGCCACCUUCCCAAUGCGCUCCAAGAUAGGGAAGGGCCCGGCGUAGCGAGGGCCGAGCUUGCGCUUCGCACGCGGAUCGAGUGACUGCGUAGAGCGGUGGAGAAGACGCAGCCACACCCAAUCACCCACCGCAAACUCCGCCUCGCGAUGAUGAUCGUCGUAGUAGUGCUUGGCCAGCUGCUGUGCCUGAAGGAGACGCUGACGAACCUCAGCAAGCAUCUCGUCACGACUGCGGAUAAGGUCACUUGCAACCUCCGUUCGAGCCGUCUCCGGGUCCACCGGAAGUAUAGGCGGGGGUGGGCGACCAUAGACCACCUCAAACGGCGUCGCGCGCAGGGCGGAGUGAUAAGAGGUGUUGUAGCAGUACUCCGCCCAAGAGAGCCAAUCGACCCAAGCGCGAGGCCGAUCACCUGUCACACAACGCAAAUACAUGGCAAUGACCUUGUUAACCACCUCAAACUGACCAUCUGUCUGAGGAUGAAACGCCGUACUCAGGCGAAGCUGGACACCCGCCAUCCUGAAAAGGUCGCGCCAGACAUGGCCCGUGAACAUUGGGUCCCGAUCACUGACGAUCGAAGCAGGGAACCCGUGGAGACGGACGAUGCCGUCGAAGAAGGCCCUGGCCACUGACGCCGCCGUGUAUGGAUGGCCGAGCGCGAUGAAGUGGGCGUACUUGGAGAAGCGGUCGACCACUGUGAGAAUGACCGACUUGCCGCCCACCUUGGGAAGGCCCUCGAUGAAGUCCAUGGAUAUAUCCGUCCAAACCUAAGACGGCACCUCCAAAGGCUGAAGUAAACCAGCCGGCCUCAGGGUCUCCGUCUUGUUGCGCUGGCAAGUCUGACAAGACCGAACCCAGUCGCGGACCAGGGCGCGAUCGCCAGGGAUGUAGAAGUCGGCGCGAAGACGAUGGAGGGUUUUCUGCACACCCUCAUGACCCGCCGAGUGAGCGAGCUGUAACACCUGGUGACGGAGAUCAUCAUGCGCCGGAACAAAGAUCCGGCGCCCAUGGAGAAGCAGUCCGUCAGAGAAGCGCCAAGGCUCCUCCAGGUCGCCGGCCGUGAGCUGCUGCUGAAGAAGGACGACAUCGUCAGCCGUCGCAGUGGCGCGGUGAAUGUCGGCGAAGAGACCGAACGUCGGCCCGGAGCGGAUGCACAGGGCCGCCCCGGUGGACUCGUCGGUGGAGGGAGCGAGGUCGGAGUCGCGAUGGGACAGCGCGUCGGCCACAAUGUUAAGACGGCCCGGCUGAUACUCGACGGAGAAGUCGAAGCCGAAGAGCUUGCUGAUCCACUGGUGCUGCGGCACGGUCGAUAGUCGUUGGUCCAGCAAGAACUUCAGGCUGUAGUGGUCCGUGCGAAUGUGGAAGGAUCGUCCCCACAAGUACGGCCGCCAAUGACGAACGGCCUGUACGAGGCCAAUGAGCUCCCGCUUGUAUGCCGCCAGCUUAAGAUGGCGCGGAGCGAAGGGCCGGCUGAAGAAAGCGAGGGGCCCAUCGCCUUGAUGAAGCACGGCGCCGAACCCGGCGCCCGAGGCGUCACAGUCCACCACAAACGGGCGGUCGAAGUCGGGCAUCUGGAGGACGGGGCCUGUCGUGAGGGCCCCUUUGAGGGCCUCGAACGCCGUCGUCGCCUCGUCGUCCUAGGCGAAAGCGUCGCGGCGAAGCAACCGCGUGAGGGGCGCCGCGAUGAGCCCGAACUCCCGGAUAAAUUUCCGGUAGUAGCCGGCAAGGCCGAGGAACCAGCGGAGAGCCCGCGGCGAGUGAGGCGUCGGCCAUGCAGAGACGGCCGCCACCUUGUCGGCGUCCAUAGCCACCCCGUCGGCCGAGAUGACAUGGCCGAGGUAGGCGACGGUAGGUGUCCCGAACGAGCACUUCGAGCGCUUAAGGUGGAGGUGGUGCGCCCGAAGCUCGUUGAAGACAAUGGCGACGUGCUGGAGGUGCUCGGCCCAGGUGGCGCUGUAGAUAAGAAUGUCAUCAAAGAAAACAAGCACAAACCGCCGUAAGUAGGGUCGAAGGACAUCGUUCAUCAGGGCCUGGAAAGUCGCCGGGGCGUUGGCGAGGCCGAAGGGCAUCACCAAGAACUCGAAGUGGCCAUGGUGGGUGCGAAACGACGUCUUGGCGAUGUCGUCUGGAUGCAUGCGCACCUGAUGAUAGCCCGAGCGGAGAUCGAGCUUGGUGAAGAAGCGCGCCCCAUGGAGCUCAUCCAAGAGCUCGUCGACCACCGGUAUAGGGAACUUGUCCUUGAGCGUGAGCGCGUUCAGGGCGUGGUAGUCGAUGCAGAAACGCCACGUGCCGUCCGUCUUGCGGACGAGAAGCACCGGUGCGGAGAAGGGCGACGUGGAGAUCCGGAUGAUGCCUGGUGCGAGCAUAAGGGCACACUGUCGCUCCAACUCAUCCUUCUGCAGCUGCGGGUAGCGGUAGGGCCGAACCGCCACGGGGGUGGAACCCGGUACAAGGUGAAUAUGGUGGUCGUACACCCGGGCGGGCGGAAGACCCCGAGGCUCGUCGAAGAGAUCGCUGUGCUGCUGCAGAAGGGGAUCCAGCAGGGGGUGCUCGGCCUCCUGGGACGCGGCGGCCAGCUGGAGGUGUGGCACGGCCGGCGCGGCGCCCCCAAGGCCGUCCCACCGGAGAACGUCAUCGUGAGCACGUCGAAGUCCCACAGGAUGGGCCCGAGGGUCCGGAGGAAGUCCACCCCGAGGAUGAAGUCGAAGCAGCCGAGGUCGAUCCCUGCACAGGUAAUGGAGAAGUGCUCGCCACAGAUGGAGAUGGGAACGUCGCGGGCGAGCCCAUGACACUGGAGGCGAUCACCGUUUGCCACCGUGAUCCGCAGGCGCUCCCCGCUCGUGGUCGGCAGUGCUAGCUGACGCAUGGUCGCCGCGGGUAGGAAAUUAUGGGUGGAGCCAGUAUCCAGCAGGGCCACCAGCCGCUCGCCAUGGACCGUCACCGGUAACAGCAUGGUCCGCUCGCCACGGAUGCCGGCAAGAGCGUGGAGGGAGACGACGCACGCCGUUGCCGUAGAAUCCGCGGGCGCGUCCGCGGCCGCCGCGGGUGGUGGCUCGUCGGUCGAGUUGUCCGCCUCGGUGUAGUCGACCGUCUCCAAGUAAAAUAGGCGGGGGCAGACAUGGGUCGGCGAGUAGGGCUCAUCGCAGUUGAAGCAGAGGCCCUGACGGCGGCGCUCCUGCUGCUCGGCCGGGGACAACCGACGGAAGGUUCGGGUGGUGGCCGAAGAGGUGGUCGCCGAGGCUGGAGGGGGCCGGCCAGGUGAUGGUGCGGGUCGACUGGGAAGGCGGCCGCCCCGGCCGGCCGGUUGCUGUAGCGCCUGAGCCCGCUGCUCGAAGGCCCGGGCGUAGUACAUGGCCGUCUGGAGGUCGGGGGGAUCCCGGAGCUCGACGUCCACGCGGAUAUGGUCUGGUAAUCCGCCCACAAAUAACUCGGCGCGCUGAGUCGCGGAGACGCCCGGCGCAUGGCAUGCCAGGGCCUGGAAGCGGUCGGCGUAGUCCUGCACCGUGGAUGUGAAAGGCAAACGACCGAGGGCCACCAAUCGGCUCCCGCGAAUAGGAGGCCUGAACCGGAGGAGACAAAGCUCCCGGAAGCGCUCCCAUGGUGGCAUGCCGCCCUCGUCCUGCUCGAGGGCGUAGUACCAAGUCUGCGCCGCGCCUCGGAGAUGAUAGGACGCGAGCCAGGUGCGAUCCGAAGCGAGCGUCCGCUGCCCUCGAAAAAACUGCUCGCACUGGUUGAGCCAGUUGAGGGGGUCCUCCGUGCCGUCGUAAGUGGCGAAAUCCAGUUUGGCGAAACGAGGGGGUGUCGGACCACCGUGCCCGGGGGCUGUAGUAAACGGCAGCGCAUGUGCUGGGUCGGGUAUCUCUGGGGCGUAGUUCGCCGAGCUGGAGGGACGAUCAAAUCGGAGAGAGGGCAUCGGGUGUUCCGGCGCCGUAGUAUACACCGGGUCCGGAGACGAGCCGGUCGCCCACGCGGGAAUCGGCGAAGGCGAGGACGGAAACUGCACCUGGUGCAGGGGCCGACCAGUAGGCCGGGACGCGGGUGGUGGUGCUGGCGAUGGCGGCGGCGCCUGGUGGUGCGGCUGCACCGGCGCCUGCGUCGUGGGGGCCGGCGGUGGCGCCGGGAGGGACUGCUGAGGCGGGNNNNNNNNNNNNNNNNNNNNNNNNNNNNNNNNNNNNNNNNNNNNNNNNNNNNNNNNNNNNNNNNNNNNNNNNNNNNNNNNNNNNNNNNNNNNNNNNNNNNNNNNNNNNNNNNNNNNNNNNNNNNNNNNNNNNNNNNNNNNNNNNNNNNNNNNNNNNNNNNNNNNNNNNNNNNNNNNNNNNNNNNNNNNNNNNNNNNNNNNNNNNNNNNNNNNNNNNNNNNNNNNNNNNNNNNNNNNNNNNNNNNNNNNNNNNNNNNNNNNNNNNNNNNNNNNNNNNNNNNNNNNNNNNNNNNNNNNNNNNNNNNNNNNNNNNNNNNNNNNNNNNNNNNNNNNNNNNNNNNNNNNNNNNNNNNNNNNNNNNNNNNNNNNNNNNNNNNNNNNNNNNNNNNNNNNNNNNNNNNNNNNNNNNNNNNNNNNNNNNNNNNNNNNNNNNNNNNNNNNNNNNNNNNNNNNNNNNNNNNNNNNNNNNNNNNNNNNNNNNNNNNNNNNNNNNNNNNNNNNNNNNNNNNNNNNNNNNNNNNNNNNNNNGUUCCCGCGGCCGGGUAGUGCGGCAGCAGGAGCGGCGGCGGGGGCGCCCCUCCGUAGGGCGCCUGGAAGGCCGGGGCGGGCCACUGUAGCGGCGGCGGCCCAUAGGCGGUGGUGGCGGCGUUCGGUGGCGGGGACUGGUGCCCGGCGAGGUAGAGGCUGAUGCCUCGGACGGCGUGGACGAGCUCCCGCAGGGUGCCCGACAUCUCCUCGGGCGUGAGGAGCGGGGGCGGAUCCGCCGUGGUGGUGACCGGCGCCGGCGCGGUGGUGGUGACGGUCCCGGACGUGAUCGCCGUCAUCGGCGCGGAGGUGGCCGGCGGCAGCAGUGGUGGGGCGGAGGUAGAUGGCAGCGGUGGCGGUGAUGGAGGAAGCGACAUGAUCGGCCUGGUGUCUUUGGAUACCAAAUUGGUAGGACUAGGGUCCCUAGCCGCGACAGGGAAGAGGGGGACGGAGGCUGGAGCGGGCGCGCCGGCGGUCGGGCGCCGUCGCGGCUAGGGUUGGGAGAGGCGGCUAGGGUUCCGGCUCCUUGGGGAGCCGGGCAACAGAAGAUUAUAAUAUCUUUAUUGCUUGAUCUCCAACGGUGUCUUACAGCUAGUAUUUAUAACUUUAGCCUAAGAUAACUUGCCUAAGAUAACUUGCGGGACAAGCCCUAAUACUAAUGCCCGGUGGGCCUCUUACUGGUAUAGACCUGUCCGGUCAUAACAGGAGCACAUCAGAUUGUCAAGAUAUUCCCAAUUUUUCACUGCCGAGAUCCCUAUCCAAGCCCCGGCAGUUCCAAGCGAUUAGCCUCAUGGCGCCUUAAGGGCUGGCGCCACUUCCCCAUCCACAUCCACAUCUUCAUCGUAAGGAUCUCAAAUGAAUUUAAUGUCUGUAAGUAGAUUUUUUAAGUUGCUUUGUUGAUUAUACAUUUAUUUUAUCAAGAACUGAUUGGUGCAUGGGAAAUUCAAAAAAAAAAAAGGAACUGGUUGAUGCUGUGAGUGGAUUUUGCCCUGAUGCUUUUGCCAUGGGGAUAAGCUUGUUUCAGAUUGUUAGGAUCUCCCUAGUAAUAUGUGGACUAUUUAUUAGUUGCACUCCUACAAAUUAGCCCACUCUCAGAAAAUUGUUGAACUCAUGGAUAUGUACUACAACUACACGCACAUUGUUAACGAGUACUGUUCAUUUUAUGGUUAGCUAAUGGAAACAUAUGUCUUUUUGCAGGAUCAUGUAUCAAAACAUAUGUCUUUCUAUGUUAGUAUGUUUUUCAGGCAUGCACCACAUGGAACGGAACUUCUUGUGAUGAUUGCAUAUGUGGCUGCAGCAUUAUGACAGUUAUGAAGAUCACAAUGCUGUUCUAUGUAUCUGCGAUAUCAUUGUUUUCAUAGGACAACCGUGUCAUUUUACCUGUUUCUGUGCGCUAAAUUGGAUUGAUCUAUGUCGGCGAAUCAUCGAUGCAACAUGACAAAAAAAAAGUCAUUAUUCCUUACAGCUGGUUAAUUUACAGGAACAGUUAGAUUUCCACUAGGUAAAUAAAUGUUUGCCCCUGGAGAGUCAUUCUCCUCUGAAGUAGCAAACGAUGUCCCACCUCCUCAUGGCUCUCCCCAGCUGGAACUUCACAGGGAGGCACCCUUCAAACCCACCUUGAUCCGCCCGGCGCUUGAGACUCCGUCGUCGUCGCCGCCUGUCUUUAUCAUCAGUGAGUCGUGCGCUCUGCAUCGCAGGCGAUGGGCACAGCGGCGGGAGGGCGCCCUCCCUCGGCGGGCUCUUGGGCUUCCCCGGCUCGUCCUCCCACCCAAACGGCACCUUCCCGGUCGCAGCGGAGUACACCCUCAUAGACCGUCCCAGUUCAUCGCUGCCGGAGCAAUGCUGCAGGAGAUGGGUCGGCGAGGUGGUGGCCUCCAUGGAUUUCGCCUUCGGUUUCUUCUGCUUUCGCCUCUGGUCGCGCACUCUCCUGUGAUUUUGCCUGUGGUCUCAACUGUGAUUUCGCCUCUGGUCCGACUCUCUUUGGUGCAACGGCACGGCGGAGGAAGACCAGUUUAUAUAGGGCUGGGAAGGGGUCGCCGUCUCCAUGUUGUGCUUGCUAGUGAAGGUUUGCUUUUCGCAAAGUCAAUCGCUUGGGUUUAAGGCUGCUAAACGCAGCAAGGCAGCUUUUCUUGUGCUUUGGUUUGAAGACCACGGCGAGGAAAAUGAGUGGCAUGGCCGGCGGUAACGGUGGCCAUUACGGUUGUGUAAAGCAUGGCAGGAGCGGCGGCCACGGAUGGGUGGCUUGCUCCAGGUAAUCUGUAAACUGGUGCACGUUAAUGGGUACUCAGGAGACAACAUAGCCCUACUCUAGAGAUUUUCAAUAGGUUACUAUGGACAGGUGUGGUAGUCAGCUCAUGAAUUUACCUGCAAAAGAAGGAAACUAAUGCUCUGUUCGGAAGACCUCCACUCCACAGGUCCGCUCCCGGAGCAGGUGGAGUUCCAGUUGGAAAACGUGGAGCGACUGUUUCCUGGUCCUCAGCUCCCGGUAUUUCGCGGAGCCAGUGAGGAUUCCGAACAGGGCCUAAGUACCGUAAUGCCACAAAACGUCUUACAUUAUGGAACGAAGAAAGUAGUCGCAGAGUUGGGGACAUGACUAUUCUUAGCUCGAGCUCAAAUGAGCUCGGAUGGACAGUAAAAUGAUAAAAAAAAAUUAAAACAAAAUAUUUUUUUUUGUGCGGAACAUUGACAAAUGUUCUCAGUGCUUACAAAAUUUCAUCAUGAAAUCAGAUUUAUGGAAAUCGUGGCAAAAAAAAUAAUAAAUCGAUGCUGUGCUGAUUUUAUUUUUAUUGCUGCGGCUUUUCUGAAUGUCAUUUCAAAAUGAAACUUUGCAAGCUCUCAAAAACAUCUGUUAAAGUUUGCCAAAAAAAUUCGUUUUUUAAAAACGAAUUUACUGUUCAUGGCGAGCUCAUUUGAGCUUUCAAGCAGUUGGGGGCUUUGCCGUCUGUACUGUACUAUACUGAGAUAUAAGUCGGUACAGAGAGUUACAUAAAAUGUUGCAAUGCAUUGAGGUGCAUCCCAGAAAACUCUAGUUCAGACACCAAGUUUUUCUCUGGCCAUUUGCUUACUGAUUGUGUAAAGAACAAUCUUACUACUGUGGCUAUUGAAUGUCCUAGAUGGGGUAGGAGGAAGAGCUCGCCUCAUGCAAGGUUGUCAUCUCGCUGAAGCACACUUACAAGCUCCGGCCGUAGCCACACCUGUCCUGCAGCGCCGGUAAUGGAAAGGCCCUUCCCAAAUUCUGACACCUCGAUCUCAAUCUGUCUACAUACCACCAGGUAAUAGAUGAUGUUCCCAAACAAAUGGAAGAUGUGCAUGGGAAACAAAUGGGUAAUUACAGAGUUGAUGGCUUGGCACCUGAGGUGAGCCUCCUAUUGUACACUCAUGGUACUACUCCCUCUGUUCCUAAAUAUUUGUCUUUCUAGAGAUUCCAACAAGUGACUACAUACGGAGCAAAAUGAGUGAAUGCACACUCUAAAAUCCGUAUGUGAUAGUCCAUUUGAAAUCUCUAAAAAGGCAAAUAUUUAGGAACGGAGGGAGUACUUAUCAUUGUACCAGACCUAUCAAUCUUGUUUAUGAGGCAACAAAUCUAGCUAUCGAUGGUAAUAACAUACAUACAAGCUUUCAUAUCAAUGCCUCACUAGCGUAAAUCAUAUAUAAGUAAGUACUCUGAGCACCAUCAAACAUAGUGCUCAUCUUCCUCCUGAACUGCUUGAUACUGUGCCUGCACUCGUUGAAGAAGGAUAUGACAUGAUGUAUGAAUCAAACCCUUCAUUUUGCAUCAAGGCCAGUGCUUGGAAGCUCUGGUGUGCUGGUAGCUCAGGUGGUUCAAUAUGCCCAUCUAGCUUCAGUGCCAGAUAUGCCUCUUCGACAUUGUAGUCCCCUUUAAGCCUCACAUCUAUUGCAUCAGCGAGUGAUCCUUGUUGCGCAUGCUCAAGCACCCAAUCAACCAACAUGACCUGCUUAUCUUGUGUGCUUUGCAUGAUAGGUCUUUGGCCACAAGUGACCUCUAGGACAAAUAUACCAAAGGCAAAUACAUCGGUAAGAGGAGUACCCUUCCCCGUGCGCCGUGAGGCGGCUAGCUAUUAGUUAGUGCGAUGUGCAGUGAAGUGAGAGAUCUCUCUACUCUAGUAGACCAGAUGAAAUAGCUGCAAUGACUAAUGUUUGAUUGGGAAGACAGAAUACAUACGUUGACGUGCCCAGUCGAGCUACCGUAAGGUAGUCUAGUUAAGGAAAGGAAACCGGCUAUUCCCCUCACGCUAAGGGUGCGAUUCCUUACUCUCCCACAAGAUCACACUAAAUACAAUAGGUGCGUGAUCUACUAGAUUCUUAUAGAAUCAAUUUACCAAUGGUGCCAACAACACGAGUAGUUUCUUGCUCAACACCAUGGUCAUACAAUCUUGCUAGACCAAAAUCACCCAACCGAGCAUUCAACUCAUCAUCAAGGAGCACAUUGCUUGCCUUGAUGUCUCGGUGGACAACUACUUUCUCCCACUCCUCGUGGAGAUAAAUCAGUGCAGAUGCGAUGCCCCUGAUGAUCCAAAACCUUUGAUCCCAACUUAAUGUGUUGUUGUCCACUUCACCAUACAAGUACUUAUCGAGGCUUCCUUUGGGCAUGUACUCAUACACUAACAGGAGCUCACCAUGACGCCUGCAAUAGCCAAGUAAGUGUGCGAGGUUUGGAUUCUGAAGGCGGCCAAUGCUAACAAUUUCUGCGAUGAAUUCCUUCAUUCCUUGCCUGGAGUCAUGUGACACCCUCUUCACAGCUAUCCUUAGUUUGGACCUUGGCAGCUCUCCUCUGUAUACUCUUCCAAAUCCUCCCGUCCCUAGGAGAUUUUUGUUAUCAAAUCCUUCUGUUGCGCGGAACAAGUCCUUAUACGAGAAUCGGUGCGGGCCAAAUUCGACCUCCCAGUCAUCACGUAACUCUGCAUACCUGAAAUGCCUCCGCGAGUGCUGCCGUUGCGAGUGGUAGAAUGAUCUGCAAUACUGGUAGACCACGUCAAUCCUUGGUAUGAGGACCAGGAGGUAGUUUUGGCAGCAUGGUGAGAUUGAUGGCUGGAGCAGGACUGUUCAAGCCAAAACUCCAACCGAGCACAUAGUGCUUCGUGUUUAUCUUGCCUAGUGCAGCUGAGAAGCCGAUGUACGCCACAUCUGUGAGCACACUUGAGAGGUUGUAGUUGGCUGAUACUGUUGGCUUUGUAGGUUUGGCCAUGCCGAGAGGAGCCAUGGUGGCGUUGAUCUGUAUCUUCUCUCUGUGGUAGUCCACCCACAGCUGCAUCGGCUUUUGGUCAUCGAGACCCAAGCUCUGGAAGGUGCCAUUCUCGUCGUGGUAGAAGCCAGCAUCGUGGGACUGUACGGAGCGGAGGCUGUUGAUGUCGAUUCCGAUAUGGUUGUCGUUGAUGUCCUGGAACUCCAGGUGUCGAGCUCGACUGCGAAGAUGUGGUUUGUUUCGUUGCCAUUGUUCUGGUGGUUGACAAGACCCAAGAACUGUAUCGGCAUCGCCGCUGAUAGAUUCUUGCUCGGUGCAAUGAACAUGGCCAUGCCGUUGCUGCUCAAGUAGUCGUUGUAGAUGGAGGCAAUGGCGAAGACGAAGGACACAGAGAAGGACUGUACAGUCCCAUCGGACGAAUUGUGGAAGCGCAGCGGAGUCGGAUAGAAGGCGUGGCCCGUACUCAGGGCGGUGCCAUUGGUGAGCACAAGUAACCCGUCGGGCGUGACCGAGGCCAUACCGUCGAGGGUGAGAUUAGCUUUGGAGAAGCCGGAGAAGCUGAAGUGGUGCUCAUCGCCGGCGACGGGCGGUGCCACGGCAAGGCCAAGAGAGAGCAGUAGUUUGAGCAGCAGAAAGGAGACAGCCACAGGCUUCAUGCCGGGAAUGGGUGUAGGCACGAAAGAAAAAUGGUUGUGCGUGCAUGUAUGGAUGUAAUUUUACUUGGGCAGCACCACACCUUUAACUCGUCUUGCGUUAGAGAAACUUGAUGCAAAAUUCCAUGCUUGGAUGUAGUGUACUUCCUCCGUUCCAAAAUAGAUGACACAACUUUGUACUAACUUUAUCCGUGACAGUUUGUGGUAAUACUCUCUGACUGACUUUUAGCCACUAAGUUGGGAUGAUGGGAAACUGGCAGCUCACACUUGAGUCUUCAGAGUGCCAACUCUUCAGAAUUGACACGAUCCCCACCAACCUUUCCUAGUCGUCUGAUGCUUGUGUUGAAAUUUAUUGUGCCGUUACAGCAACGGCGCAUGAUCUCAGUCAACCUUUUUUACUAUUCUGUGCAGUAAGUGUGGAUCACCCGACUUAAAAGUAAGCAGGUACACCCAAUGAUAGACCGUUGGACGCAUGGUUUUCAACGUUCUACACCAACUCAAAUUUGGUCUAGGAAACCCCACGGAACAGUAUUACUGUAUUACCUGAAGUCACAUUUUCCACAUACACCAUCUUGUUAGAAACUGUCAAACUGACGGUUUAUCAAGGUCCAUUUGUUGUAUUUCCAUUACGAAAAAUUGUGAACACGACAUCAUGAAAAGUAAGCAAAUAAGGUCCAAUGCCGAAACUUGCAUCUCAUCUUCUCGCUGAUAGCAUUUCUAUACACACUAACUAAAGAAGAAAACUGUGGCUAGGAUGACUUUGGCAACCUGAAGUGUGAAAUUGUGAAUUGCCACGUUUCCUACAUCCCUAUGUAAUCUUCCACAAGUCCAAGCCUCUUCUACAAGUCCAAGCCAGAGGGCAGCACUACCUAGAAUAAUAUCGAGAUUAUACGGCAGAUUCAAGUUUGAAAUUCAUAAAAAAAAUAAUUUUAAGUUAUUGUCAAUGUCAAGAUGCCACUGUUUACCUCUAGUCUGACAAUUCAGAAUUAGUUGACUGAAGACUACAAAGUUUAUUAAGAUCCUCAGUGGUUACUGCCACGGAAUUGUGGUGGAAACAGGUGUUGGAUAAGGUCGUCUGCCAUUGCUUUUCAACAAAAGAAAAAAAAAUCGACAAACCCCUGCCGACUGCCGUUGCUGUAACGGCAUAACAAUUCAACACAAGAAGGUAGGAAGAUUGGUGGCGAUCCUCUGGACUUGGAACUAUGAAGUGUGAGCUGCCAAUUUCCUGUCAUCACAUGGUAAUCGUCAGCAGUCACACUUAGAGUGCAUUAUGCAAUUAUUAUGCAUCAAAUUCCCCUUUCAGUUCUUGUCUAUCUUUAAAAUUCAAGUAUACUCUCGGUUCACUUGUCCCAGUUUACAUGACAAAUGACUAUAAAAGUUUGUCAGAGAUGCCCCGCUGUUACUGCAUUAGCACACUAAUUUUUAAAGGCAGCUAGUAAGCAAAAACAUGGGAACAACCCGAGAAGCAGGAAUGUGUGUUGUUGGAUCACUCAAAAGGUAUCCCGAAUUCCCAAUAUGUCCAGAAAAACUAAGAGAAAUUGUCACCCGCUUGCCCAACGAUCACUCUCCAUCUUGCAGAACUAGGAUAGUCGCAGCCGCUGUCGAUGGGCAUCCCAUCGGCAUCGCCGCUUCCCACCGAGGAUCCUACCGCCAUCGUUACUUCCUGCCGAGUCGCUCUCGUGAGAGCGGCACAGGGCCUUGUCUUGCGGUUGUCUUUCUGUUUAACUCCACACGCUAAUUUCCAAGUUAAUCCAAAUCAAUAUUUUUGUCUGUGACGCAAGCAAACUACCACACGCGCUCUUACCUUACAUUGGUAAAUAUGGACCAAAUCUCUGCUCUUUUUAAAAAUAAAAUUCCAUGAUGUUCUUCUACAAAAGCAUCGAUAGAUAAUGAUUACCUCAUGUAUGUUGAAAAAUAGUGCAUAGAAUGGGCGUAGGAUGUUGAAAGUUAGCAGCAUGGACUUCGAAGGGAGCUUGAUGUAAUUAUAAAGCACGCUGCUGUGUAUAACCUUAAACAAACUUGCAGAGUUGCAAUGGGCACUGAAAAUCUCAUUCGAUCGAGCAUACCUCAUUGAGUAGUUGGAACUUCGGAGCCACAAACAGCUUCCGUCGAUGACAAAUAGGAACCGUGCACCGUUCCUUCCGUCCCUCCUCCUCCUCCUCUUAUUUGGUCUCACCGUCGCAGCCUUUGCCGCGGGCGAUGACCAAUUCAUCUUCUCCGGCUUCACACAAUCCAGCCUAGCCCUCGACGGCGGCGCCGUGGUCACACAAGGCGGCCUCCUCGACAUGUCCAACGGCACAAACAAUGUCAAGAGCCAUGCUCUUUACCCCACUCCAUUGCGCUUCCGCAAUUCAUCCACUGGUGGUAAAGUGCAAUCAUUCUCGUCCGCCAUCGUUUUCUGCAUCAUCGGCGCAUUCCCUGGCGUGAGUGCCAAUGGCUUGGCCUUCUUCAUCGCCCCAAGCAGGAAUCUCUCGGACGCGUUGCCGACGCAGUACUUUGGUAUCCUGAAGCAGCAAAACAAUGCCAACCUCUUUGUUAUCGAGGUUGACACCUUCCAGAACCCUGACAUGCAAGACAUCAACGACAACCACAUCGGCAUCGACAUCAACAGUGUUUUCUCCUUGCCAUCUCACGCGGCUGGCUUCUAUGAUGACUCUAGUGGCGCCUUCAAGAACUUGACGCUCAACACCCAGAUAGAACUGCAGUUGUGGGUGGACUACGAGGAGGAGGAAACAAGGAUCAAUGUGACCUUGGCUCCACUUCAUGUGGGAAAACCCUCCAAGCCACUGUUGUCCGCAACCUAUGACCUCUCAACCGUGCUCACGGAGACGGCAUACAUAGGUUUCUCAUCCACGGCUGAAAUUAUGAACACCCGUCAUUAUGUUCUUGGAUGGAGCUUUGGCAUGAACGGGCAAGCAGCCCCGUCCAUUGACAUCUCCAAGCUUCCAAAGGUUCCUCGUCUACGACAAAAGGCCCAGUCCAUGCUCUUGGCGAUCAUCCUCCCAAUAGCCACUGCGGCACUGAUAAUCUCUAUCGGCACCAUUGUCACUCUGAUGGUGCGAAGAAAGAGGAGGUACACGGAGGUGCGUGAGGAUUGGGAGAGCGAGUUCGGUCCACACCGGUUCUCGUACAAGGAUUUGUUCAAGGCUACUCAGGGAUUUAAGAGCAAGAACCUAGUUGGAGCAGGAGGGUUUGGGGAGGUAUACAGAGGGGUGCUUAAACUGUCCAAGAAGGAGAUUGCCGUGAAGAGGAUGUCCCAUGAGUCGAGACAAGGGAUGAAGGAGUUCAUCACCGAGGUUGUUAGCAUUGGCCGGUUGCGACAUCGCAACCUAGUGCAGCUACUUGGUUAUUGCAGGCGGAAAGGUGAACUGAUGUUGGUGUACGAUUACAUGUCAAAUGGCAGCCUUGACAAGUAUAUACAUUGUCAAGAGGACGACAAGCCCACCUUAAAUUGGGCUCAGAGGUUUCAAGUCAUCAAGGGUAUCGCUACCGGCUUGCUCUACCUCCACGAGAAGUGGGAGAAAGUCGUGAUCCACCGGGACAUCAAGGCAAGCAACGUCCUCCUCGACGACGAAAUGAACGGGCGGCUCGGCGACUUCGGCCUCGCACGGUUAUAUGAUCAUGGCACCGAUCCACAGAGCACACACAUGGUGGGCACAAUGGGAUACCUUGCCCCCGAGCUAGUACGCACAGGCAAGGCAUCUCCUCUUACCGAUGUGUACGCCUUCGGCAUGUUUCUUCUCGAAGUUACAUGUGGGCAAAAGCCCAUGAAGCAAGAUGCAGAGGGAAAUCAGGUUUUCCUGGUGGACUGGGUCCUAGAGCACUGGCACAACCGACUGCUUACCAGAACGGUGGACACAAGGCUCCAAGGCGAUUACGGCGUUGACAAAGCAUGCCUCGUGCUGAAGAUAGGACUUUUGUGCCUGCACCCGUUUCCUGGUUCGAGGCCUAGCAUGCGAGAAGUCAUGCAAUACCUCGACGGUGAGACCCCGCUGCCUGAGCUGAAGCCGACGCAGCUGAGCGUGGAAAUGCAGGGGUUGAUGCAGGACAGCGGGUUCAACACUUCUGUCAUGUCUUAUCCCCAGCUGAUGUCAAGCUUCGGCACAGUGUCCGACCUCUCGGGAGGACGAUGAUGUCCACGGUGUUAGUAAUUCUGGCAACUAGUUGCCUGUGCACCCCAUGUUUCCUUUUCCCUAUUUUUGGACUUUCAAGUUCUCAGAAAUUGUAAAAUAAUUCAUGGAUGUAAGUUAUGCUAUAUGAUUUGCUUCUGCUAAAACUCAUAACAAAAUAUAACAUCCUGUAACCUUUACAGAAAAAGACAAAUUUAUAUCAUGUGCAUGUCAUUAAACAGAAGUACUGAACACUAUUCAUUUGAAUCUUGUCGCUUUUUUCUAGGUUAUAUUUUUUAGGAAUCGAAAAAGUAAAAAAGAGCACGGAUGAUAUUCUAGCUUGACAUAUGAGUAUGAUGAUCAAUUAGAUGCUCACAUCUCUUCAUUAUGCUCAUAACUCGUAUAGCUAGAAAUAAAUUUCAAUCUAUUGGAUGGGUUAUUGAGAAAAACUAUCUCUUUUCGAGGAGUUUGAGAGGAAUCCAUCCUUAUGGAAAAUACAUGGGUAAUCAUGGUUGUAUGUGAUCCCAAUUACAAAAAAGUUUUUAUCGAAAAAAGAAAAAAAAACUGUACAUGUACAUUGAUCAGUGUUACCUAAAUUUAGUCAUUUGUUGUUGUACAAAGGAAGAUAGACACUCAACACUAUUCUAGUAAUUAGCAAGGUGCCCUCACAAAUGCGAGGAUCUCAUUUAUUAGUACGUCAAAUGUGUUAAUAGUUUUAAAGAUGAAUCUUAAAGAUGGACAAGAGCUGAAAAACAACUGAAAGUAUACCGUUGAAUUUCAAAGAUGGACAAUAACUGGAAUAUCAACUUGACGCAUAAUUCCACGCGUGGAUGAACAGUGUGCUCUAAAUGUGACUUUUGACGAUUACCUUGGGAUGACAUGAAAUUGGCAGCUCACGCUUCAGAGUUCCAUCAAUAAUAUUCUGAUGCUGAAAUUUGUUAUGCCGUUACAGCAACGGCAGAGGAUCUCAAUCGACCUUUUUCGAGUAUUAUGUGUAGUAAAUUUGGAUGUUUGUGGAAAAUUUGUUUGACGCAAUACUGUUCUGCGGGAUUUUUCAACAACAAAUUUCCAAGAUAUAUUUUAAAAACAAGUGCCUAUAGGUAAGUCAACAAUAGGUGUGGAAUGUUGAAAAAAUUGCAUCUAGCAGUCCAUCUUUAGGUGUACCUAUUUACUUUAAGUCUGAAUUGUUGGAUAAGUGAGCAACUAGUGUUUCCUGAGGGCCAAAGGCCAUUACAUAUACAUGUGUGUGAAAGUGCAAAAAAGCCCCUUAUACAAUGGGGAUGUACACAAUGAACUAUACACAUCUAACACCCCCCCUCAAACUCAUGGUGGAUCAACAACACUGAGUUUGGAGAGGAAAACCCCAUGUUGCGCGCGAGUCUGUGCCUUCGUGAAGAAGUCAGCCAACUGUAACUCAGAGGGCACAUAGUGAAGAGCGAGAGUCUGAUCCUGCACAGCAGCACGUACAAAGUGGGCAUCCACACCGAUGUGCUUGGUGAGCUCAUGCUUCACCGGGUCACGCGCAAUACUGAUAGCACCGGUACUGUCGGACAGUAGAGGAGUUGAGGUAGUAGCAGACACACCAAAGUCCUCAAGUAACCACCGUAACCAGAUCACCUCAGCCAUCAACAUAGCCAUGGCUCGCAACUCAGCCUCUGUACUCGAGCGAGAAACUGCUGUCUGCUUCUUUGUCUUCCAGGCAAUAAGAGAGCCACCAAGAAAGACACAAUAAGCAGACAACGAGCGUCGAUCCGAGGGGUCACUAGCCCAGGUAGCAUCAGAGUAGGCUUGGAGCUCAAGAAAGCUGGAGCGGGGAAAGAAAAGGUGCUGAGAGAUCAUGUCACGAAGAUAUCGUAGAACACGGAGGAGAUGACUGUAGUGGACAGAGGUGGGGGCUGAAACAAACUGACUCAGGAUGUGAACAGGAUAGGAGAUGUCAGGACGCGUAACAGCAAGAUAGACAAGACUGCCAACAAGAUGACGAUAGCGAGUGGGAUUAGGAAGAGGGUCACCAUCGGUGGCACGAAGCUGAACGUUGAGCUCCAUGGGAGUCACAACCGUAUGCUCAUCACCGAGAGCAGCGCGAGCAAGGAGAUCCUGAAUAUAUUUUUCUUGGGAGAUGUAGAAGCCAUCAGAGGUCGAGGAGAUCUCAAUCCCAAGAAAGUAGCGAAGUGGACCAAGAUCAGUCAUAAGAAACUGGUCGCGAAGGCGAGCCUUAACAAAGGCAAUGUAAUCAGUGUCAUCACCAGUGAUGAUCAUGUCAUCAACAUAGAGAAGGAGAAGAGUCCGACCACGAGGAGACGUGUGAACAAACAGUGCGGGAUCAUGGUCACUGGGCAAGAAACCAGCGGCAGUCACCACAGAUGCGAAGCGCUCAAACCAGGCACGAGGGGCCUGUUUGAGACCAUAUAGGGAGCGGCGAAGUCUACAGACCAUACCAUCAGGAGCAUAGUAUCCCUGUGGUGGCUGCAUAUAAACCUCCUCACGCAACUCGCUAUUGAGAAAAGCGUUCUGAACAUCAAGUUGAGAGAUAGACCACUGACGGACAGAAGCCACAGCAAGAAGAGUGCGGACAGUGGUCAUGUGAGCCACAGGAGCGAAUGUCUCAUCAUAAUCACGCCCCUGCUCCUGCUGAAAUCCACGGGCCACUAGACGAGCUUUGUAGCGCUCAAGAGAACCAUCGGAGCGAGUCUUAACCUUGUAGACCCACUUGCAGGUGAUGGGACGGACAUCGGAAGGAAGGGGAACCAGAUCCCAUGUGCCAGAGCGCACAAGAGCAGUAAGCUCUUCGGCCAUCGCAAGUUGCCAUUCAGGCUGAGUCAUGGCAGUUCGGUAGGAAGUGGGCUCAGCAAUAGCAGAGAGACCAUACCGAGUAGGGGAGUAGCAAUCAGGCGGGGGGCGAGGCCGAGCACGAAGGUUGUGAACCGGGGGAGGCGUGAGAGGAGGUGCACCAGAGGUGGAAGACUCGUUAGAGGAGACAUCCUCAGUACGAGAUCGGCGAGUAUAGUGGAGAGGGAACGAUGAGAGAGAGCGACGAACUGGAGAUGCUGGUGGAGAGGUGGAGGAGGAGGAUGAAGUAGACGGUGUCGGUGGGGAAUGAGAAGGAAUGAGAGGUGCCGGAGGAAGAGGUGACACAUGAGGCACAUAGCCGGGUGUGUCAGGAAGGAGCAGAAAAGAAAUGUCAUCCACAGAGAAACUCGAGGAAGGAGAACGUGGGUAGUAAGAACGAGACUCGUCAAAUGUCACAUCACGCGAGAUGCGCAAGCGACAACCCACAGGAUCCCAACAUCGAUAGCCCUUGUGCUCAUCACUGUAGCCAAGAAAGACACACUCAACCGACUGAGCAGUCAGUUUGGUGCGUUCUCGAGGGGCAAGAAGGACAUAACACACACAUCCAAACAUCCGAAGAGCGGAAUAAUAGUCAGGGGAACGCCCAGUGAGACACUCCAUAGGAAUACCACCCUACAAAGCAGUCGAGGGCUGAAUGCUGAUGAGAUAAGUGGAUGCAGAAACAACCUCAGCCCAAAAGUGAGGCGGAAGGGAAGCGGCAAUCAUCAACGCAUGAGCCGUUUCAAGUAGAUGAUGAUGCUUACGUUCGGCAACGCCGUUCUGAGCAUGAGCACCGGGACAUGAGAACUGGGCAAGAGUACCCUGUUCCGCAAGAAAACCAUGCAACAGCUGAGAGAUAAACUCACCAGCGGAGUCCGCACGAAAAGUACGAAUGGGCGUGGAAAACUGGGUGCGAAUCAUGGCAGCAAAACGUUUGUAUAUAGAGAGAACCUCGCUACGAGAUUUCAUGAAGUAGAGCCAGGUGUAGCGAGAGAAAUCAUCAAUAAAAAGGAUAUAAUAGCGAUGACCACCUUUCGAAUCAAAGGGGGCAGGACCCCAAACAUCAGAAUGAACUAAGUCAAAAGGACGCUGAGAUACCGACUCACUGAUAGGAUAAGGCAACUGAGUCUGUUUGCCAAGUCUGCAACCAGUACAAUGUAAAGAAACAUCUCCAGAUACAGACCCCAAGAGGCCCUGACGAACUAAGGAAGACAAGCGAGAGCCACAGAUAUGACCAAGGCGAUGAUGCCACUGCUGGAAGGACACAGACGAAGAGGCAAUAAGGGCAUGGGAGCUGGCAAGAGUGGUGAGAGCGGAAGGAACACGAAGCCAGUCAACCUCCCAAAGGCCCUCCGACUCACGGCGCCGGGGCCAGCACCAACCAAAGCCUUGGUGCGUCGAUCCUGAAUGGAGCAAGAGUCGGUAUCAAGGAUGACACGACAACCAGAAUCAGUAAGUUGGGCAGCGGAAAACAGAUUCAUGGUAAGACGAGGAACAUGCGAGACACUAGGAACAGAAAAGGAGGGAGUGGAAAGAAGGCCACGACUAGCAACAGAAAAAGGGGUGCCAUCAGCGGUAAGAACAUUAACAGGCGAAUCAAGAGGUCGGAGAGAAGACAACACAGAAGAAUCAGAAGACAUGUGGAAGGAGGCUCCAGAAUCCAAAACCCACGAAGAUGUACCUGACCGUGUAGAUGCCUGCGGUGGUGGAGAAGUGGCUGCAGUCACAGCAGCAGCUGAACCAGUCGAGGAAGAGCCUGAGGAAGCCAGGAGGCGUUUGAGCCUCACAAUGUCCUGGUCAGUGAGUGACGGAGUCGAGGAAGAUCCAGGAGUCCCACUGGAAGAGGAGCGCCGCUGGUCGCGCUUCUUCUCACGACAAUCAGACUCUGGGUGACCGGGCCGAGAGCAGUAGCCACAGUAGGUGUCACGGCGCGACCGGCCCCUCUCAGUAUAAGUGGGGCGACUCACCCCCCCUGAAGGUGUGGGGAGGAGCGGUGGAGCGGUGAUCCGAGCAAACGACAUAGGAGCUCGAGCAGCCAACACAGACGGGACCACCAGCAAACCAGCUGAGCCGAGGCGGGUCUCCUCAGCACGAAGCUCAGCAAGCACCUCCGAGAUUGGAACACGACCUCGAGCAAGCAAGUGAGCACGUCUGGGCUCAAACUCAGAGCGGAGACGAGAUAAGAACUCAUGGACCCGCUGAAACUCCAGAUCAGACCGAGUAGUCUGACAGCAACGAUAGGUGCCACAAACAACUGUCCGAAGAGAGUCAAGCUGACGCCAGAUGGCAGAGCACUGUGAAUAGAACUCAUCAACAGAGGAAUCACCUUGCUGGAGGGCGUGCUCCUGACGCACUACAGAGAGAUAGAGAGCAUCACCAGAGGGCUGAUAGCGCUGACAAAUAUAAGACCACAUCGUUGCAACUGUGCCAAGUCCCAUGAACUCCGAAGCAAACUGAGGGAGGACACUGGCAGUAAGAACAGCAGCAGCACGAGCAUCAUCAUUGCACCACUGAGUGUAAGCAAAGAGAUCAUCCCGGUACGCCGAAAGAGCAUCGGAGUAAGCAGAUAUCUGCUGAUCAUAGGCAUCAACUGCAGCAUCAUCAAGGGUCUUGGCGGCAUCCCGGUCGGCCUAGGAAGCCUCAGGAGCAAGUACCGGCGGCACCGGUGGGAUUGGGGCCACAGGCGCAACAGGGCAUGGAAAGCAGGGAGCCUCGCCAGAAAGAACACCCCAGAGAAGAAGACCACGCAUAUGGAUGCGCAUGAAUCCCACAAAUUCAGCAUAGUUGGUGCCAUCGAAGAUCACUGAGCACCUAGGAACAACAACAUAGCCCGAAGAAGACAUGAGGGAACUUUGUGUGUCUCUUUUUUUUUGGUCAACAGACUCAGCAGCCCGAUCUAGAUCGAGCAACGAAGUCGAUCGAGACAGGGGGCUCAGACGGCUUCGAGCGGGAUCGAGCAGAGGCCCGAGGCCCGGUCGAGGCAGAGGGCUGGGCGACUCGAGGCAGGGGGCUCAGCUGCCCGAGCUGGCCGAUCGAGUCAGGCUGCCCGAUCUGGAGCAGAGGACGGGCGACCGGGAAGCCAGAGGCGCGGCUUGGGGCGCGCGGAAGAAGUUGCGGCGCGGCCGGGGACGGCCUGACAGGGAGGAGGCAGCCGGGGCGCGGCCGGGGCGCAGCCGGGCAGGGCGGCGCGACCAGGGCGCGGCCUGGGCGCGACCGGGCAGGAAGGGCGCGGCCGGGACGCCGCUGAGCACGCGAGCGCGGUCGCGGGCAGGGACUGCCGGGCGCGGAGAAGGUGGCCGGCGACGGAGGAGGAGAUGGCCGGCGACGAGGAAGCUAGGCACGGAGAGGAAGAGGAACCUGGCAACUGAUACCAUGUUGGUUAAGUGAGCAACUAGUGGGCCAAAGGCCAUUACGUACACAUGUGUGUGAAAGUGCAGAAACGCCCCUUGUACAAUGGGGAUGUACACAAUGAACUAUACACAUCUAACAUGAAUGAUCCAAAAUGUAUUACACAGAUACUUAGAAAAGGUUGAUUGAGAUCCUCCGCCGUUGCUGUGACGGCAUAACAAAUUUCAAGAUGAACAACAGAGGAUUAGGAAGGAUGGUGGAGAUAGUCUGGACCUGGCACUCUGAAGUGUGAGCUGGCCGUUUCCCAUCAUCACAAGUUAGUCGCCAAAAGUCACAGCCAGAGAGUAUUAAUACACACCGUCUUAGAUCAUGCACUGCAUCCACACAUGGAAUUAUAUAUACGUUUCCUUUUCAGUUCUUGUCCAUCUUUAAAUUCAACGGUAUACUUUCGGUACGGUUGACCAAAUUUACAUGACAAAAGAUUACAAAAAGGUCGCUUGCGCAUCGAUGUUCAAGCUAAGAUAAAUCAAUGUUUUUGUCUGUGAUGCAAGCAAAACUGCGACGCAUUAGCUUGGACAGAUAAAUAUGGAUCAAAACUGUGUUCCAGAGCUGAGAGUCAUCUGACUGAUAAAAGGCCGAGUAGAGCAAAAGGCCGGCGUUACCCAAGCAUAAUUAACAUCCAUACACGCAUCUGCCUAUGCAAGCCAUUCUUCAUGCCCAGCAUGAAGCUAGCCUCCUUUCUGCUACUCAAGCUACUACUACUCUCCCUUGGCCUUAGCAUGGCACCACCCUUCCUUGCCGGCGAUGAGCACCAGUUCAGUUACUCUGGCUUUUCCAACACUAACCUCACCCUCGACGGUGCGGCCUCGAUCACACCCAAUGGGUUGCUUAUGCUUACCAAUGGCACAUCCCGGAGCAUGGGCCGCGCUUUCUAUCCUGAUCCACUGCGCUUCCGCAAUUUGUCCGAUGGGGCUGUGCAGUCCUUCUCCGCCUCAUUUGUCUUCGCCAUGGUCUCCAUCUACAAGGACUUGAGCAGCAAUGGCAUCGCCAUGUUCAUUGCGCCGAGCAAGAAUUUGUCUGCGGCGAUGCGGAUGCAGUACUUGGGUCUUCUCAGCAAUCAGAAUGAUGGCAAUCAAACAAACCACAUCUUCGCGGUCGAGCUAGACACCUUCCAGAACUGGGAGCUCCAAGACAUGAAUGACAACCAUGUUGGUAUUGACGUCAACAGUCUCCGCUCCAUACAAUCCCAUGAUGCCGGUUUCUACCAUGACAAGAAUGGGACCUUCCAGAGUUUGAGUCUCGAUAGCCAAGAGGUGAUGCAGGUGUGGGUGGACUACCAUGGAGAGAAGAUGCAGAUCGAUGCCACCAUGGCUCCUCUCGGCAUGGACAAGCCUACAAGACCGAUAGUAUCAGCCAACUACAACCUCUCAAGCGUGCUCACAGAUGUGGCAUACAUCGGCUUCUCAUCUGCAGAAGGCAAGAUAACGAAGCAUUAUGUGCUUGGUUGGAGUUUUGGCAUGAACAGUCCAGCUCCAGCUAUCAAUCUCAGCAUGCUGCCAAAACUACCCCCUGGUCCUCGUACCAAGGGUGGUCGACGUCGUCUCCAGGUAUUGGAGAUCAUUCUGCCACUAGCAACGGCGGCACUCAUCCUGUCUGUGGCUGCCGUUGUUUCCCUACUUGUGCGAAGGCAUUUGAGGUAUGCAGAAGUACGUGACGACUGGGAGGUCGAAUACGGCCCGCACCGCUUCUCGUACAAGGAUUUGUUCCGUGCAACAGAAGGAUUUGACAACAAAAACCUCCUAGGGACCGGAGGAUUUGGAAGAGUAUACAGAGGAGAGCUGUCAAGGUCCAAACUAAUGAUAGCUGUGAAGAGGGUGUCGCACCACUCCAGGCAAGGCAUGAAGGAAUUCAUUGCAGAAAUUGUCAGCAUUGGCCGCCUUCAGAAUCCAAAUCUCGUACACUUACUUGGCUAUUGUAGGCGUCGUGGUGAGCUCCUGUUAGUGUAUGAGUACAUGCCCAAAGGAAGCCUCGAUAAGUACUUGUAUGGUGAAGUGGACAACUCCACAUUAAGUUGGGACCAAAGGAUUUGGAUCAUCAGGGGCAUUGCAUCUGCACUGAUUUAUCUCCACGAGGAGUGGGAGAAAGUGGUCGUUCACCGAGACAUCAAGGCAAGCAAUGUGCUACUCGAUGAUGAGUUGAAUGCACGGUUGGGUGAUUUCGGUCUCGCAAGGUUGUAUGAUCAUGGCGUUGAGCAAGAAACUACUCGUGUUGUUGGCACCAUUGGAUACAUUGCUCCGGAGCUAGCACGCACGGGCAAGGGUACUCCCCUUACCGACGUAUUUGCCUUUGGUGUAUUUAUUCUGGAGCUCACUUGUGGACAAAGACCUAUCAUGCAGAGCACACAAGAUGAGCAGGUCAUGUUGGUUGAUUGGGCGCUUGAGCAUGUACAACAAGGGUCACUAGAUGAUGCAAUAGAUAUAAGGCUUAAAGGGCAGUACAAUGUCAGUGAGGCACAUCUGGCACUGAAGCUAGGACUACUGUGCUCACACCCAUUUGCAUGUGCAAGGCCUAGCAUGCGGCAAGUGAUCCAAUACCUAGAUGGGCAUAUUGAACCACCAGAGCUACCAGCACACCAGAGCUUCCAAGCACUAGCCUUGAUGCAAAAUGAAGGGUUCGAUUCAUACAUCAUGUCAUAUCGUUCAUCAACGAGCGUUGGCACAAUAUCGAGCAUUUCAGGAGGAAGAUAAGCACUAUGUUUGAUGGUGCUGGGAAGUGGGAGUGCUUAUUUAUCUAUGAUGUACCCUAAAGAAUACUCCCUCCGUUCCUAAAUAUAAGUCUUUGUAGAGAUUCCAUUAGGUGGACUACAUACGGAGCAAAAUGAAUGAAUCUAGACUUAAAAUGCAUGUAUAUACAUCCGUAUGCGGUUUAUAGUGGAAUCUCUAUAAAGACUUACAUUUAGGAACGGAGGGAGUAGAAUAUAUUGGACGUGUAAUGAGACAUGGAUAUGAAAGCUUGUACAUAUGUUCUUACCUUUCAGUAGCUAGAUUUGUUGCCUCAUGAACAAGAUUGAUAGGUCUGGUAGAAUGAUUAGUACCAUCUGAAUAAAGAGUUUAUAGUAGGAGGCUCAGCUCAGCUUCAGAGCUAUCAACUCUGUAAUAUAAAUUUCAUAGUUUCGUGGUUUCUUCAAUAAAAGUUUUGUGAUUGUUUAUUCUUUGUGAAUCUGAAUAUUUACUCAUUUGUUUCUGAUGGACAUGUUCUUGCAUUUGUUUGGGACAUCCUCUAUUACCUGGUGAUAUGUAGACAGAUCGAAAUUGAGUUGUCAAAAUUUGGGAAGGGCUUUCAGAAUAUGUGUGGCCACGGCCAGGGCUUGGAAGUGUGCUUCAGUGAGACGGCCAACGGCCCUUUCAAUUGCGUGUGCAUUUUAUAAGAGUUUGUCUGCAGCGCAGUCCGUGCUUCUAGACCAUUAGAUCCAAAUCCAAUGGCACCUGUAUCUCCUUCCUUCUCUGGACAUUUAACCAGUGAUAAGAGCAUGGAAGACGAAAUGAAAUGUACAUUAGCAUUCCAUAAAGUAGAUGCACUUAAUUAACAGGCGCUGGAACAUAUUGUAGUCUUGUGAGAAAUAAACUGUCAUUGAACUAAAGUGCAACAGCAGCAUCAAACCUUAAUAGUUAGAGAAUCAUUUGUAGCAUCACAAGCUAAUCUGACGACUUCCCCUGGCACGACUAAUACCAGAUUGAAGGCUCAAUUUUUCGAUCCAACCAGCUUCAGUGCUCAAAACAGUAAAAUUAUCACUUCACACUUAUAGCACAAUCCUGUCAAAAAGGAAAAUGAAUCCUCCGGCAUUUAACCUCUGAGUCCCAAGAAAGGUUUGUUCUGAUCUAUGGCCCACAAAGUAAUCAAUACAUCCAAAUUACAACAACAAGCAUUACCUUAAUUGGAGACUCGAUGCCUGAAGAUGGUGUAAGAAUAUGUUCACCAAUAACAAAGUUCUGAAGACGACAUAUGCCUUUGGUUUAUUCACAACGUUACAGCAAUCACGUGCAAGUAUGUGAGCUGAAAACAUAGGGUUUCAUCAAUUUAAAGGUUAUAUAUUUUUGUAAAAGCAAACAUGUAGAUAGAAAAGGGCAUGCCGAUCAACGAAAUAGCUAAUGAGUAUGUCGUGCUGCCACAUGUCAUCUACAGAUUAAAGCAACCCAUUUACGCACUGGUUGGGAUUGUGGUGUGAAACUGCGACGCGGGCUGCGACAGUUAUGAUAUACCGUAGCGACAUUAGUAAGACUGUUCUUUACACAAUCAGUAACGAAAUGGCCAGAGGAAACUCGGUAUGUGAAACAGAGUUUUCUGGGAUCCAAUCCACCAGUAUUGCACUAUUCUACUUGUAACUCCAUGAAGAGCAUGAGAGUCAAUAACAGAAGACUCCAAUUGAAAAUUCAUCAAACAGGUCCUUAGAUGGCAACAUACAUGGUCAGAACAAUUACAUGGAUCAUAAACAGUUGUGAUAUCUGGAGAAGGCACUGGGUCGAUGACAAAACAAAGGUCGACAAGCAACUCACGGACAGCGCCAUGAGAAUACUGAUAUGUGGUUUCAAAUCCUCUGUGAGAAGCUACACAGUGUGAUUCAUUGCAUCACACCAAAUGCUACAGAGGGACAUAUACUCCCAAGUUCCAAAAAUCAGGAGCACCGAUGUACUUAUGAAGAAAACGAUCCCCCACUGCGGAUCAAUAGCAUUCCAGGAAUCUUCUUAUGUUACUUGGUGAUGCCAAUACGGAGGCAAAUUUUUAUAUAGCAGUGGAAAUCGCUGAAAUCGGCGAUGUGGGACUGAAUAUAUCUCGGUGUAGUACAGACUGUGCUACAGUCGAGGUCGUUCUUACCCGAGCCCGAGCGACCGGCGGCGCCUGCCCCAGCCCGCUCCGUCGCGCCCGCGCUGUCCACCACAGCGCCUGUUCCUCCUCCUCCACCUCCAUCACUCCGGUUGCCGGCGCCGGUGCUCGCCGGCCACCAUCGCCCCCCCCUCGACCCUAUCUCCAGCUGGUCCCAGUUCACUCCGGCGCACCAGAGGUUGGGGAGUGCAGACAAAGAAGCAAAAACGAGCUUGGAGAGACGGAGGAAGGACGGCGGCGGGGAGGACGACGGGACGGGAGCGCCGACCGCCGAUGGGAGCUACAGCGCUCGCAGUCGUGUUGAGCGGGCCGUGGCCCAACAGCCAUUGAUUUCGUUCGCUCGCCGUCCUCGCUCAACCGCAUCGCUAGCAUUUCUCCAAAAAAAAAAACCGCAAUUGGUCUAAAAAAAAACCCCCGCUGAGAGAUGGGGAACCUCGGAUCUUCAAGACAUCUAUGUCCUUCGUCAAUGUUAAGUGAUCAUCAUAGUUUUGUAAGAAUAUUUUUUGGGUUUUUUUAUCAGUAAUGCACGUUUUGUAAGAAUAUUUUUUUCUCGUUCUUUUGGCGAUGCAGGCUGUGCUUUUCCCCUUUUUGAGAAGCAUAACUAUAUUUUUUUAUUUUUAGAAAAGCACAAUUGUGUUGUUCCCUUUUAGAGAGGCACAAUUUGUGCUUCUCGCGAAAGCACAAUUUUAAUAUAGAGAUCACCUGCUAAUGCCAAUGCCUUGCAACGCACCAGCGCUAAGAGUGUCACUGGAUCCAAGUUACAUGGAAGCUCCCAUCUCAGAUAUAACACCAUGCACAUUGGUCUUCAUGACACCACACCUGCUUUGAAACUACCCUCGUGUCCCAUCUCUACCUGCUUAAUGUCCUUUUAGCUCGUCCAAAAAUUGGUUACGAAGUAAUGCAUCGGUAAAGAACUCUGAAGAGCUCCCUCGUAGAUGUCCUUGCACCAUCCAGAUCGCCCCAUAUAGCAUUUAUGAACUUUUCUAAUCUUAGUGUGCUCCAUGAUCACAUGAAUUGGUUGUCUUGUAUCAGUUUCUGAGCUCAUGCUCAUAUCUCGAGUGAGCUCUGCAUCAACAAUAGCCUGGAACGUCCUGCAUGCUUCCAUGGUGUGUAGCACUGUAUCACUCCUAAGGCCUAGCGUGUGGAGGAGAAGGUGGCACUAGAACGAAGUCGACUGUUGCACUCAGUGGUGAAGACAAGUGUUUUUUUACACUUGACAACCUAAGUUUACAAGUUAUAGUGUUUUUUUCUUUCUUUUUUAUUGGACAAUCCUGGUAGGGAGUCGGUGGGAUUUCAUAUUCUAUGCAUGGGUCGCUGGAUAGCGACCACACACAUACCCUCCUAGGCAUUUGCAGACCGGCCCACUAUUCUUUCUCCCAUCAGUUUUGGGAAAGUUUGAUUCUAGAACCCGACGGGUGAAAAGUUCUUUUUUUGAUUUUUCUUUGAUGAUUUUACAAGUUUUAUCCCAUUUUUUUACUUUCCUUCCUUUUUAUUUUAAAAAUCAUAUUAAUUUUUGAAAAUCAUUCAUGAACAUUUUUUAAUUUGCGAUAUUUUUUGGAUUUAAAAUAUUUUUCAAAAUAUUGUUUUAAAAUCAUGUCUUAUUAAUUUCCGAAUAUUUUCCAAAUUUGGGAACAUUAUUUUGAAUUCAUAAACAUUUUUUUAUAUCCUAUUUUUUGUAUACAUGAACAUAUUUCAAAUUCAUGAGCCUUGAAAAUUUUAUGAACAUUUAUUGGAAACACAUGGAUUUUUUUAAAGUUCAGAAAACAACUAAUCCUAAAUAUUUUUAAAUCACAAAAACAUUCUAAAAAUCUAUUUUUUGGGAUUUAAACAUAUUUAAAAAUCACAAACAUUUGAAAAAAAGUCCAAUAUUGUUUUUCAGAAUUCAUGAUUUUUUUUUGAAACGCACAAUUUUGUUUUGCAACGUAUUUUAGCAGAAACCUUUGAGAAUGUUUCUGGUAUGAGGAUCAACUAUUCAAAGAGUGAGAUUAUCCCCCUUGGGCUCACUGACAGUGAAGUCGACUCUUACAAGAAUAUCCUAAAAUGUACUAUAGGUACAUUCCCUAUUAAAUAUCUAGGCGUCCCCCUUCAUUAUGACAAGCUAAGGAGAGAAGACAUCCAGCCCCUCAUUGACAAGAUCCUCAAAAGGAUGGCUGGGUGGAGAGGGAAACUUCUCUCUUAUGUUGCUAGGGUAGUUUUGAUUAAAGCCUGUCUUGCUAGCAUCCCAGUAUACCUACUCUCCUUCUUCAAAUUCCCCGAGUGGGCUCUUGACCUAAUCAACAGCCAACUCGCCCAGUCUUUGGAGUGACUUUGAGGGAUAUAGGAAGCUUCAUCUAGCAAACUGGCAUUUAGUUUGCAUGAGGAAGGAGUAUGGGGGGAUGGGUAUCCCUAACAUCAAGGAUGUUAACCUAUGCCUAUUAGGCAUCUGGGUUAAAAGAUAUAUCCAAGAUGAAGGCAAGAUCUGGAGACAAAUAGUAGACUCUAAGUACAUUAAGAAAAGCCCCAACAUUUUUGCAGCCAAUCCACAAAACACCUCCAAAUUCUGGCAGGGAGUGAUGUGGGCUGCAAAAGCCCUGAAGUUUGGGUAUAGAUGGAAAAUAGGUAAUGGUAAGAAAGUUAGAUUUUGGGAAGACAUAUGGUUUGGCACCUCCCCACUGUCAGUGCAGUUCUGGCCCCUGUACACUAUUUGUCACUAGCAGGGGGCUACUGUUGCAGACAUUUGGGAUGGGGUGAAUAUCAAACUGACUUUUAGAAGAGUUUUCUCAAAUACCAUGAUGGAGAACUGGUACUGCCUAGAGCAGAUCAUCAAGAGCUAUGAGCUGACUGGAGAUGAAGAUUCCCUAAUUUGGCAAUAUGAGAAUAAAGGGAUCUACUCUACUAGUUCUCUUUACAAUAGUAUCAAUUUUAGAGGGGUGCAACCUAUAUAUAUACCUGCUGUGUGGUCGAUAGUGGUUCCUCCUAGAGUACAAGUGUUUUUGUGGCUCCUGUCUCAUAACAAGUUGAUGACUAAGGAUAAUUUGUUAAAAAGAGGGAUCACUAAACAUCUUGAAUGCAUGUUUUGUACAGAGCACGAAUCCAUAGAUCACCUGUUCUUUGGAUGUGUAGUUGUUAAACAGAUUUGGGCUGAUGUGUCCAAAAUCCUUUCCUAUGAUUUAGGUAAUGACUACAUAUCUAUUGCUAGAUUUUGGCCAGCCCAUAAGAAUAAGAUGGUCUUGAACUCUGUCUGUGCCUGUGUUAUGUGGUGCAUCUGGAAGUUCAGAAAUUCCAUGGUUUUUAAUAGUGUAAUGUGGACUGACCUUAAACAGGUUUGGUGGCAGAUUCACUUGACUCUCAAGAAGUGGAUGAUCUUGUUCAAAGGAACAGGCCUAGAAGAAUUGAAGCUAGUUUCUCAGAAGGUAGCAAUGAUCCUCACCUCUUCCUUCCUGCUGACCAUGGGGUGAUCGAUGGCAAUGAUACUGUGGGUAUCUUAAACCUAGAUUCACUCUCCAAGAUGUCAUUGGGAACUGAGAGACUGGGUGCAGGUCUACCGCCUCCUGUCCGCUACACACCUCCAAACAGCCCUGGGAGGAACUGUAAGCAUGCAUCGCUGCUGAGCCCAGCCACUCCACUGGAACUGCCGCUGACUCCAGUCCAAACCUUCAAGAGGAUCAAAUGGGGGUGUGCACAAGCGAGUCAGAAGAAAGCUGGAGCUGUACUGGUGGGCGAAUGAAGAGAUGGAACUCUCUGUGGGAUCUCUGUCUAUUUUGGUGCCAGCACUUUAGUUUUUCAGUUUUAGAACUCUGUGUCUUGUAAUAAGUUCUGACUCUUUCAAGUUUAGUGAGCGGCCUGCUCCCUUUUCUGUUGGUAACAGUUAAGGGGAUGCAGUUUUUCUGUUUUAACCUUUUUGAACCUUGAUAGAAGGCUAUUUCUAUUCUGUACCUGGUUUCACGUUUUCAAUGAAAAUGGUGGAGCUGGGAGGGGUGUUUUUCGCCCUCCUGUCAGUCUAAAAAAAGAAUACUACCAACAAGCUAGUGGAAGGAAAGAAAGAAGAGAUGGGCCCCAGCCCAGCCUAGACUAGAACGGAAGAGGCCGGUCCGGAGACGGGACCCGAGUCCGACCCGAGGCGGCUCCUGGGCUUGGUUACGGUUCGCCUGCACAUAUACCACGCCAGCCGCCGCCACCUCUUUCCCACCUUCGUUUCAGAUCCCGCGAGAGAGAGACAGCGAAAUCCCCAAUCCACCAAACCCUAACCCACCAGGAGAGAUCGGCGAGAGAGAUCCAGCGAUGGCCGGCGAGAAGGUGCAGUUUGCCAUCCCCAUGGCCGUCGGCGAGAAGGAGCAGGCCAAGGUGGAGGAGGCGGCGCUCAAGGCCAAGGCAGGGUGCGGCUCCAAGAGGAAGGCGGAGGAGGACCGCGAGGAGGCGCCGGCGGCUGUUGGCGUGAAGGUGCAAUGGAACGGCGAGGAUGAGUCGGAGGACGAGCUCUACAAGGCGUGCAUGGCGGAGGACUCGUUCGACUACGAAUCGGACGAUAGCCUGGAUGUGUGCGCCGCCAAGUGCAAGGCGUCAUUUGAGCGCUUCAUAGAGGCCCGCGACGCUCGCCGCCCUUGGUUGGUGGGCAAGAGCAAGGUGGCGAAUGCUGAUGCUGAUGAGUCUCUUUUGGUGUGAGAAGCUGAUUUCAUUGCUCUUGUGAUUCUACCAGCAUAGAGAUGAAGGAGGUUCAGUUCAUGCUAUCUACCAACCAUGUAUCUACCUAUAUUUCUACUAGUUGUUCAUGUGGUAAUCGUCUGUGUUAUUGAUCCACCUACCCCUGUCAUGUUAUUGUUAUCAAGUUAGCCGCGGAUGAACCAGUGGCCUGCGUGCAACUGAUAAUCUAGUAACUCUGUGUUAUCUACUAGUAAUGUUAUUGUCAUCUCCUGAACCAAGUAUGCUAUUCGUCUGCGAUAUGUGAUUGUCUCUGAUGUAAUGUCUGGUUGUCUCUGCCUGCUCGUUGGAUUGUUUUAGCAACACAAUUCCAUUUUUCUCCUUUCAUUUCACUUGAUGCCACAACUAUUCUUCUUCAUGUGCUGAGAAAAGUUGGCCAUGGCAAAUGCCAAUUUGUCAGUUUGUUAUGACCUUGUUUGCUAUGUAAACUUCAUCGCAAGAGAAUUCAUCCAAAACUGCUUUAAGAUAUAAACACCACAUGCCUCUGUUUUUUGGCUUCUACUUUGGUUUGUUAAGUACUCCCUCUGUCCCAAUUUUUUUGUCUUAGAUUUGUUAGAUACGGAUGUAUCUAAUACUGAAACGCUAAGGCAAGAAUUUUGGGACGGAGGGAGUACAAAAUAUCAUGUAGUUCCACAUCUUCCGUGGGUUGCUAAUCACAAAGAUGAAAUUGGAAACUCCACCUGCAUCUUGUAGGUAAUUAUCUCAUAUUCUUAGGGUAGGCAUGAACUUGUCUCUCCAGCUCAUGAUAGGAGUAGGACUCGGAUGUGAAACACAGAUGAUGGAAAUGAGUUUUUUUUAAUCAUGUUUUAUUAUCUUUCACUUUAGUGCAUGAAAAAAAGUUGGGAUGCUAUUGCUAGGGAAGUCGUGGAAUAAGUUCGCCUCCUUCACUCUAUAUAUUGGUUUAUUCACUACAAACAUUGUGUAUUUUCCCUCGCCAUAACAGGCUCUACAAUUCCUUACCGUGGUUAAAUUGAGGUACAUUUAAUGUAAAAUUUGCAAGCUCAUUUAUAUCCAUGGUGUUCUAUCUUUUCUUUUCAUUGUCUAGAGCAACAAGCGAAUGUUUAGGUUUUGAUGCCUCCACUUUUUCUGUUACUCCAAUGGAAUAUUCAAUAACCAUAGUUAUAUUCCUCAUGUUUAUUUGGUUUCAGAUCUUUCAAACAUGUUAUUCUUUAUCUGCCGGGGCUUGCAUUCUUCACUACCUAUGCUAUGCAAUGUUGACACUUUCCGGGAUGACAGCUUAUCAAGCACAUGGUGUAGAGACUGAUGGCUUGUGAUCAGAUUUCUGCACUAUUAAUGGUGUUAUUUAUGCAAUACAGGUCAAGCAAGUUCUUUACAAGUUUAUUCAGCUUAGUUAGUUUGUUUAGAUUUUUUUGUUCAAAAAGUUUGUGUACUUCUAUUAUAAUUGGUUGUGACAGAUAAUAUAACACGUAGGGCUUAAUAAUAUCUUCCCUUUUGUUGGAAAGGUAUUCAAGGCGGGUCGCAACUGCAUUUUUUAAUUCGGGGUCACAAUUGCAUGUUUUCAAGAGGGGGCGCAACUGCAUGUUUUUAAGGUAGGGUCGCAACUGCAUAUUUUCAAGAGGGGAAAAACUGCAUGUUUUCCAAGGCGGGGCCUGAACUACAUGUUUUCAAAAAGGGACUGGAACUGCAUGUUUUCAAGGUGGGUCGCAAUUGCAUGUUGUUAAGGCGGGGCCGCAACUGUAUGUUACUAAGGCGGCUCACAACUGCAUAUUUUUAAGGCAGGGUUGCAAUUGCAUGUAUUUAAGGAGGGGUCGCAACUGCAUGUUUUAAACAAGGCGGGGCCUGAACUACAUGUUUUCAAAGAGGGACUAGAACUGCAUGUUUUCAAGGUGGGUCGCAAUUGCAUGUUGUUAAGGUUGGUCAUAGUGGGAGUAACAUAGCAAGUAACAUAACACAUCCCAAAAAAAGUUUGCUUACAUGGCAUGUAUUUAAUGAGGAGAGAGAUGGUUGGAGUAACAUAAUAUGUUACUGUAACAUAACACAUCCCAAGGCAAAAUGAGUCUACAUCUUAAUAAAUGAUGGCUUGUAUGUUACUACAUGCAUGUUACUCCCCACUAUGAAGGUGAUAACAUAGACUAGUAACAUAUGCAUGUUACUAGUCUAAGUUACUUCCCACUAUGACCAGCCUAAGGCGGGGCCGCAACUGCAUGUUUUUAAGGCAGGGUUGCAAUUGCAUGUAUUUAAGGAGGGGUCGCAACUGCAUAUUUUCAAGAGGGGGCGUAACUGCAUGUUUUCAAGGUGGUCGCACUUGCAUGUUUUUAAGGCAUGGUCAUAAUUGCAUGUUUCCAAGAGCGGCUGCAACUGCAUGUUUUGAAGGCACGGUCGCAACUGCAUGUUUUUAGGGCACGGUCGCAACUGUAUGUUUUCAAGAGGGUCCAAAACUGCACGUUUUCAAGAGGGUCCAAAACUUGGGGCGCAAGUGCAUGUUUUAAGGAGGGGCCGAAACUGCAUGUUUUCAAGGUGGGUCGCAACUGAAUGUUUUUAAGAGGGGCCGCAACUCCAUGUUUUCAAGGCGGGUGGCAAAUGUAUGUUUCUAAGAGGGGUCGCAAUUGCAUGUUUUUAAGAGGGGCUGCAACUACAUGUUUUCAAGAGGAGUUGCAACUGCAUGUUUUCAAGGCAAGUUGAAACUACAUGUUUUUGGGCGGGUCGCAACUGUAUGUCUUCAGGAGGGGGUCGCAACUACAUGUUUUUAAGUUGGAGUUGCAACUGCAUGUGUUUCAAGGUGGGUCGCAACUGCAUGUUUUCAAGAGGGCUGCAACUGCAUGUUUUCAAGGUAGGUUGAAACUGCAUGUUUUUAGGCGGGUCACAACUGCAUGCCUACAAGAGGAGGUCUCAAAUAAAUGUUUUUAAGUCGGAGUCGCAACUGCAUGUUUUCAAGAGGGGGCACAACCGCAUGUUUUCAAGGUGGGUCACAACUGCAUGGUUUUCAAGAGGGGUUGAAAUGUUAAGUUUUAAAUGGGGUCACAACUGCAUGUUUUCAAGGCAUGUCUCAACUGCAUGUGUUUCAAGGGUGUCGCGACUGCAUGCUUUCAUGGGAGGGUUGCGACUACAUGCUUCUCUACGGGUCGCCACUGGAUGCUUUCAUAUGAGGGUUGCGACUACAUGUUUCUCUAGGGGAUUGCCACUGCAUGAGGAUCGCAGCUGCAAGUUUUAAAAUCGGUCGUGACUGGAUGUUUUUGAAGGAGGUCGCAAUAUUUUGAGGGGGUGGGGUCGCAACCUUAAGUUAUUUUUUUAGCCAAUUGCGACUGUGAUAAACAUUUCUUAAAUUCAUGAAUGUUUUUUCAAACUCACAAUAUUUUCCCAAUUUUUUUUAAUUUCAUGAGCAUUUUUAAAAUUAUCCUUUUAAAAAACUCCAGUUUUUUUAGUUCAUGAAUAUAUUUUUGAUGAAUAAAUUAAUGGACAUUUUUCCCAAAAAAUCGUGAUUAAAAAAGAACACAAUUUGAACAUUUCAUUUUGAAAUUUUGAAUUUCUUGUUGUCAAUUUCAAUAUGAAUUUGCAAGUGCGCUCUAUGUGCUCUCCACACACACACACACACACACACACGACCCUACUCCAGUAUUUCCCCACAGAAAAACACCAUAUUGUUUUUUGCAUCAGUGUUAGUGAACGAAAGAAAGCUGGACCUAGUUACAAAAAAAAAAGAACUGCAACGAGGCCCAAACUAGAGAACCCACGAGACAAGACAAUGGACAUUGACCAACCAAAAAUAAAAGGCCAGAUCGAAGGAAACGAGCGGGUUGCCGAGCGGCCAAAAAAAAUCCUGUUUAAAUGAGAAAAUAUGUCAGGUGACGUCAGGUGACUGAGACGUAACUAUGUCUCAGCCGGCUGAGUUCCAGGCGAUCCCUUUUUUUUAUUCUAAUAGUAACAGACUUUUCAUGCCUACUUAGGUUUAAUCGGUAUUCUUAGUCAUGAUUCAGUUAUAUGAUGUCUUGCUUAUCUGAACUGUCAUAUCUAUUUAGAAGUAUUAGUAACUGCCUACUUAAGAUUUUUUUUCUUCAUAUUUUUUUNNNNNNNNNNNNNNNNNNNNNNNNNNNNNNNNNNNNNNNNNNNNNNNNNNNNNNNNNNNNNNNNNNNNNNNNNNNNNNNNNNNNNNNNNNNNNNNNNNNNNNNNNNNNNNNNNNNNNNNNNNNNNNNNNNNNNNNNNNNNNNNNNNNNNNNNNNNNNNNNNNNNNNNNNNNNNNNNNNNNNNNNNNNNNNNNNNNNNNNNNNNNNNNNNNNNNNNNNNNNNNNNNNNNNNNNNNNNNNNNNNNNNNNNNNNNNNNNNNNNNNNNNNNNNNNNNNNNNNNNNNNNNNNNNNNNNNNNNNNNNNNNNNNNNNNNNNNNNNNNNNNNNNNNNNNNNNNNNNNNNNNNNNNNNNNNNNNNNNNNNNNNNNNNNNNNNNNNNNNNNNNNNNNNNNNNNNNNNNNNNNNNNNNNNNNNNNNNNNNNNNNNNNNNNNNNNNNNNNNNNNNNNNNNNNNNNNNNNNNNNNNNNNNNNNNNNNNNNNNNNNNNNNNNNNNNNNNNNNNNNNNNNNNNNNNNNNNNNNNNGCAACUGCAUGUUUUCAAGAGGGGGCACAACCGCAUGUUUUCAAGGUGGGUCACAACUGCAUGGUUUUCAAGAGGGGUUGAAAUGUUAAGUUUUAAAUGGGGUCACAACUGCAUGUUUUCAAGGCAUGUCUCAACUGCAUGUGUUUCAAGGGUGUCGCGACUGCAUGCUUUCAUGGGAGGGUUGCGACUACAUGCUUCUCUACGGGUCGCCACUGGAUGCUUUCAUAUGAGGGUUGCGACUACAUGUUUCUCUAGGGGAUUGCCACUGCAUGAGGAUCGCAGCUGCAAGUUUUAAAAUCGGUCGUGACUGGAUGUUUUUGAAGGAGGUCGCAAUAUUUUGAGGGGGUGGGGUCGCAACCUUAAGUUAUUUUUUAGCCAAUUGCGACUGUGAUAAACAUUUCUUAAAUUCAUGAAUGUUUUUUCAAACUCACAAUAUUUUCCCAAUUUUUUUUAAUUUCAUGAGCAUUUUUAAAAUUAUCCUUUUAAAAAACUCCAGUUUUUUUAGUUCAUGAAUAUAUUUUUGAUGAAUAAAUUAAUGGACAUUUUUCCCAAAAAAUCGUGAUUAAAAAAGAACACAAUUUGAACAUUUCAUUUUGAAAUUUUGAAUUUCUUGUUGUCAAUUUCAAUAUGAAUUUGCAAGUGCGCUCUAUGUGCUCUCCACACACACACACACACACACACGACCCUACUCCAGUAUUUCCCCACAGAAAAACACCAUAUUGUUUUUUGCAUCAGUGUUAGUGAACGAAAGAAAGCUGGACCUAGUUACAAAAAAAAAAGAACUGCAACGAGGCCCAAACUAGAGAACCCACGAGACAAGACAAUGGACAUUGACCAACCAAAAAUAAAAGGCCAGAUCGAAGGAAACGAGCGGGUUGCCGAGCGGCCAAAAAAAAUCCUGUUUAAAUGAGAAAAUAUGUCAGGUGACGUCAGGUGACUGAGACGUAACUAUGUCUCAGCCGGCUGAGUUCCAGGCGAUCCCUUUUUUUUAUUCUAAUAGUAACAGACUUUUCAUGCCUACUUAGGUUUAAUCGGUAUUCUUAGUCAUGAUUCAGUUAUAUGAUGUCUUGCUUAUCUGAACUGUCAUAUCUAUUUAGAAGUAUUAGUAACUGCCUACUUAAGAUUUUUUUUCUUCAUAUUUUUUUGCCACAUGAUGACAACAACAAAAACAACAACAAAGCCUUUAGUCCCAAAUAAGUUGGAGUAGGCUAGAGGUAAAACCCAUAAGAUCUUGCGACUAAUUCAUGGCUCUGGCACAUGGAUAGCAAGCUUCCACGCAUCCCUGUCCAUAGCUAGUUCUUUGGUGAUACUUCAAUCCUUCAGGUCUCUCUUAACGGACUCCUCCUAUGAAAAACACAUGCUCUACAAAGCCUUAUUUUGCCGAAGAUAUUGUAAAAUUGUCUUGCAUGUGCAUUGUCAGUGUCCUUUGUGAAAAGGGACCAACCUUAGUUGUGUUCUGGAUUUUCUGGUGCCUCUUUUGUCAAAGUUUGCAGAUGUCCAGGGAUAGGUAGUAACAAGCUAUUCAGCUGGACAUGAAUUGAGCAUAUAAAUGAUGAAAGGGUGGCAGCCAUUCUUAGGCCAUCCACGUCGAUUAUGAAUAGUGACCGAGCGGGCAGUGGGAAGCUACGAGAGAAAAAGGUUAGCGACCACAGCGAGAAAACGCGGGCAGAGAGGCAAUGCCCCCUCCUCCUCCAUCCGCCGCCACCUCCCCCAAAUUCAUCCGCCGCCAAUCCCCUCCCCUCCCGUGCACCCGCGAUGGCGACCGAGGAUCCCGAGCCCCAGCCCCAAAACCCUAGCCGCCGGGGGGCUGGUCUGGGCCAAGACCAAGGGCCGCCACCAGUGGUGGCCCACUCGCCUCCNNNNNNNNNNCUCCCCUCCCCUGAAUCCUCCCUCGUCUCCUCCCCUCGCCGUCGCUGUCAAGCCCUUCCUCAUCGCCCCUAACGCCGACGCCCUCGCAAGGCCAACACCGGCCUCGCCGCUGUCACCCACGCCAGGGCCACAGCCGUCGGGAUCCUCUGCGACGCCCUCACCUGCCCCUGCGCGCGCGACCCCCACUCUCCUCCUCCGAUCGAUGAAUCCGCAGAGUCGGCCGCCGCCGCCAACAAAGUCAUCAUCACCGGCGUUGCCAGCCUAAAUCCCCACGAGUUCCUUGCUGCCCUCGACAGCGCGUCCGUCGACGCCCCUGCCGUCGGCCUACUAGACCGCGCCCGGCUCGAGAGCUAGGUCCGGGCGCUCGCCCAGGGAUGGGGCCCGCCCCGGCCGCUACCAGCGCUGACAAGAUUGACCUCGACAUGUUGGCCGACAACGGUGCAGCCUCGGAAGAGGAGGAGAAGAAGAAAGAGAGGGUGAGAAGAGAUCGAUCGACCCCUUCAUCAUGUGAAGCUCGCUGCUCUGGGAGGUACGUUCUUACUUGCUCCGCUUGUGUUUGACGAAAUGUGUGUGAGCUGACAUGCUUUUGUUUCUUGUUUUCUUCCUUCCUCGGCUAUAAGCUUGCCGGCCUAUUUAAUCACCCAACAGUAUGGUUGGCGUGGUUGGCAGCCUUGUCUGAGGUGAUGUGGAUCUCCUGAUUUUGAGUUGCUGAACAGGACAUUUACUAUCGUGUCAUCGGCUUCCCCGCUGUUGCGCCGACGCUUGUUCUUGUUGUGCCAUGAUUUCCCAUUUCCAUCCCAGACCUCUGAGGUGACGGGGUCGUCCGGAUGGUUGCUUCUAUGAGCUAACCAGCUGUCUUCGCCCACGCAAAAGCGGGGUCAUGAGAGAGGUGAGGGCCGACAUUGUUCUCGGCUUGUAAUGGCCGAGUUGGCGAGCGAGCCAUUCGUCCUGAAUGAUGUGCUUGAAAGAGGCUUAUUGCCUCAUCAUCCGGACAAUCGACGAUCUUGUUUUCUUGGUCAAGAACCGAUUCCAAAAUUGUCGGGCUGACUCCCAGGGCUGCUGAACAACAUGGCUCAAGUCAUUGGCAUCCAGAGGCCGAACAUAGGUGCCUUGAAAGUUAGCUCGGAAGGUGUCCGCGAGUUCUUCUCAGCUCCCAAUGGAGUUUUCGGGGAGGCUGUUUAACCACUGCCUUGCCGGUCCUUUAAGCUUUAGUGGCGAAUAUUUAAUGGCGUGGAGGUUGUCUCUUCAGGCCAUAUGAAUGUGGAGUAGGAAAUCUUCGAUCCACAUGGCCGGGUUUGUUGUCCUAUCGUACUGCUCGAUGUUUACGGGUUAAACCCCUCGGGGAACUGAUGUUGUAUCACCUUGUCUGUAAAACACAUUGGGUGUGUGGCGCCCCUGACCUGGGCCACGUCGUGCCAAAGAUCAGUUGUCAUCCUAGCACGGUGCUGCUCCCAGGCUAUACCAUUUCUAUCGCGUCAGGCUUGGUAUCCAUCCUGUCCAGCGGGCGUGUGUCCUCUAGAUCCGUAAAUGGAUCCUGUUUGUGCCGCCUUGGCGGUUAAGUUGAGUCGUAGGUCAUAUGGAUCCUCUGGCUGUAUUUGUUCCUUGCCCUUCCAGCGAGGGAGCGCGGGUGGGUUUUCAGCUUCUCUAGACGGCCUGUCCCGUCUUCGAGGGGGCGGUCGGGCUGGUUUGUCUGAGUGCGUCUAGGGAGUGUGGGCUCAAGGGCCUCUUCUUCGAAUUGCGGGAGUAGACACUGUUGUGGGUAGCUUUUGUUUUGAUCCUGCCCCUGAUAGUCAAAGCCCUCUUCGGCUGCUAAGACCCUUGUCCACCUAUCGUUGAGGGUAUCCUGUUCUGCUUUUAACUACUGCUUCUUCUUAUUCAGGCUUCAGACAGUGGCUAUGAGCUACCGCUUGAACCGCUCCUAAUCCAGAGGGUCCUCGGGGAUGAUGAAAUCCCUGGGUUCGAGGCUAUCCUCCUCUUCGGAAGGAGGGAUGUAGUUGAUGUCAUAGGAAUUGUUGGGGUUCUCGGGGUCGCCCUGAUCCUCAUGGCCUUUAGGAGCGACGCCAUGCUGUUUGGGGGUGGUGUUGUCGCUGAGCUCCUCCAUGUUGUCUGGAGUAGCAUCAUCUCUGGUGCCGAUUGUGUGUGUGUGUUCAAGUUGUCUUCCCUGCCCCUUCCAUGUCCUUUGGAUCACCUGCGUUAGCGUCGGUGUUAGGAUGACUCCUCACCGGGGUCAUCGCCAUCCUCCUUGGGGGUGUCAACCAUGUAGACGUUGUAAGUGGAAGAGGUAGUCUACUUUCCCUUGUUGGGAGUGGUCGGGGAGGGAGCCGUAUGGGUCAUGACGUCGAUAUCCUUGUCCAUGCUAUCAGCCUCCUCGGAGGUGUAGUCUACCAUGUCGGUUAAGUCGUCAACAGUGGCUACUAAGUGGGUGGUGGGUGGGACGUAAAAUUCCCUGUGUCUGGCCUCAAGUCUGACCUAAUCAUAGACCGAGGAUGGGCCUGAUGUCUACUACACAACCUUCUUCUUGUAGACGUUGUUGGGCCUGCAAGUGCACAGGUUUGUAGGACAGUAGAAAAUUUCCUUCAAGUGGAUGACCUAAGGUUUAUCAAUCAGUAGGAGGCGUAGGAUGAAGAUGGUCUCUCUCAAACAACCCUGCAACCAAAUAACAAAAAGUCUCUUGUGUCCCCAACACACCCAAUACAAUGGAAAAUUGUAUAGGUGCACUAGUUCGGCGAAGAGAUGGUGAUACAAGUGCAAAAUAGAUAGUAGAUAUAGGUUUUUGUAAUCUGAAAAUAUAAAAACAGCAAGGUAACAAGUGGUAAAAGUGAGCGUAAACGGUAUUGCAAUGAUAGAAACAAGGCCUAGGGUUCAUACUUUCACUAGUGCAAGUUCUCUCAACAAUAAUAACAUAGAUAGAUAAUAUGACAAGCCCUCAACAUGCAACAAAGAGUCACUCCAAAGCCACUAAUAGCGGAGAACAAACAUAGAGAUUAUGGUAGGGUACAAAACCACCUCAAAGUUAUUCUUUCGGAUCAAUCUAUAAAAGAGUUCGUACUAGAAUAACACCUUAAGAUACAAAUCAACCAAAACCCUAAUGUCACCUAGAUACUCCAUUGUCACCUCAAGUAUCCGUUGGCAUGAUUAUACGAUAUGCAUCACACAAUCUCAGAUUCAUCCAACCAACAUAAAAGUACUUCAAAGAAUGCCCCAAAGUUUCUACCGGAGAGUCAAGAACGUGUGCCAACCCCUAUGCAUAGGUUCCCAAUGUCACGAAACCCGCAAGUUGAUCACCAAAACAUACAUCAAGUGGCACAUGAUAUCCCAUUGUCACCACAGAUAAUCACGGCAAGACAUACAUCAAGUGUUCUCUUAAAAGACUCAAUCCGAUAAGAUAACUUCAAAGGGGAAACUCAAUUCAUCACAAGAGAGUAGUGGGGGAGAAACAUCAUAAGAUCCAACUACAAUAGCAAAGCUCGGGAUACAUCAAGAUCGUGCCAUAGAGGGAACACGAGAGAGAGAUCAAACACAUAGCUACUGGUACAUACCCUCAGCCCCGAGGAUGAACUACUCCCUCCUCGUCAUGGAUAGCACCGGGAUGAUGAAGAUGGCCACCGGUGAUGGGACCCCCUCCGGCAGGGUGCCGGAAUGGGCUCCCGAGAGGUUUUUGGUGGCUACAGAGGCUUGCGGCGGCGGAACUCCCGAUCUAUCUUCUGUUCUGGAAGUUUUAGGGUACGUAGGUAUAUAUGGGUGCAGGGGGUUCAUCGGUGGACCUCCGGGGUGCUCACGAGGUUGGGGGGGCGCGCCCAGGGGGGCGCUCCCCCACCCUCAUGGGCAGCCCGGGACUCCCCUGACGUGCCCUCCAAGCCCAUCAGGUUGGUUUCCUUCCAAAAUUAACUUCUCCAGUUGAUUUCGUUCCGUUUUGACUCCGUCUGAUAUUCCUUUUCCUCGAAACACUGAAAUAGGCAUAAAACAACAAAUCUGGGCUGGGCCUCCGGUUAAUAGGUUAGUCCCAAAAAUAAUAUAAAAGUGGAUAAUAAAGCCCAAUAUUGCCUAAAACAGUAGAUAAAGUAGCAUGGAGCAAUCAAAAAUUAUAGAUACGUUGGAGACGUAUCAAGCAUCCCCAAGCUUAAUUCCUGCUCAUCCUCGAGUAGGCAAAUGAUAAAAAGGAAUUUUUGAUGUGGAGUGAUACUUUGGCAUAAUUUCAAUGUAAAUCUUCUUAAUUGUGAUAUGAAUAUUCAGAUCCGAAAGAUUCAAGACAAAAGUUCAUAUUGACACAAAAAUAAUAAUACUUCAAGCAUACUAAUAAAGCAAUCAUGUCUUCUCAAAAUCACAUGGCAAAAUAAAGUUCAUCCCNNNNNNNNNNNNNNNNNNNNNNNNNNNNNNNNNNNNNNNNNNNNNNNNNNNNNNNNNNNNNNNNNNNNNNNNNNNNNNNNNNNNNNNNNNNNNNNNNNNNNNNNNNNNNNNNNNNNNNNNNNNNNNNNNNNNNNNNNNNNNNNNNNNNNNNNNNNNNNNNNNNNNNNNNNNNNNNNNNNNNNNNNNNNNNNNNNNNNNNNNNNNNNNNNNNNNNNNNNNNNNNNNNNNNNNNNNNNNNNNNNNNNNNNNNNNNNNNNNNNNNNNNNNNNNNNNNNNNNNNNNNNNNNNNNNNNNNNNNNNNNNNNNNNNNNNNNNNNNNNNNNNNNNNNNNNNNNNNNNNNNNNNNNNNNNNNNNNNNNNNNNNNNNNNNNNNNNNNNNNNNNNNNNNNNNNNNNNNNNNNNNNNNNNNNNNNNNNNNNNNNNNNNNNNNNNNNNNNNNNNNNNNNNNNNNNNNNNNNNNNNNNNNNNNNNNNNNNNNNNNNNNNNNNNNNNNNNNNNNNNNNNNNNNNNNNNNNNNNNNNNNNNNNNNNNNNNNNNNNNNNNNNNNNNNNNNNNNNNNNNNNNNNNNNNNNNNNNNNNNNNNNNNNNNNNNNNNNNNNNNNNNNNNNNNNNNNNNNNNNNNNNNNNNNNNNNNNNNNNNNNNNNNNNNNNNNNNNNNNNNNNNNNNNNNNNNNNNNNNNNNNNNNNNNNNNNNNNNNNNNNNNNNNNNNNNNNNNNNNNNNNNNNNNNNNNNNNNNNNNNNNNNNNNNNNNNNNNNNNNNNNNNNNNNNNNNNNNNNNNNNNNNNNNNNNNNNNNNNNNNNNNNNNNNNNNNNNNNNNNNNNNNNNNNNNNNNNNNNNNNNNNNNNNNNNNNNNNNNNNNNNNNNNNNNNNNNNNNNNNNNNNNNNNNNNNNNNNNNNNNNNNNNNNNNNNNNNNNNNNNNNNNNNNNNNNNNNNNNNNNNNNNNNNNNNNNNNNNNNNNNNNNNNNNNNNNNNNNNNNNNNNNNNNNNNNNNNNNNNNNNNNNNNNNNNNNNNNNNNNNNNNNNNNNNNNNNNNNNNNNNNNNNNNNNNNNNNNNNNNNNNNNNNNNNNNNNNNNNNNNNNNNNNNNNNNNNNNNNNNNNNNNNNNNNNNNNNNNNNNNNNNNNNNNNNNNNNNNNNNNNNNNNNNNNNNNNNNNNNNNNNNNNNNNNNNNNNNNNNNNNNNNNNNNNNNNNNNNNNNNNNNNNNNNNNNNNNNNNNNNNNNNNNNNNNNNNNNNNNNNNNNNNNNNNNNNNNNNNNNNNNNNNNNNNNNNNNNNNNNNNNNNNNNNNNNNNNNNNNNNNNNNNNNNNNNNNNNNNNNNNNNNNNNNNNNNNNNNNNNNNNNNNNNNNNNNNNNNNNNNNNNNNNNNNNNNNNNNNNNNNNNNNNNNNNNNNNNNNNNNNNNNNNNNNNNNNNNNNNNNNNNNNNNNNNNNNNNNNNNNNNNNNNNNNNNNNNNNNNNNNNNNNNNNNNNNNNNNNNNNNNNNNNNNNNNNNNNNNNNNNNNNNNNNNNNNNNNNNNNNNNNNNNNNNNNNNNNNNNNNNNNNNNNNNNNNNNNNNNNNNNNNNNNNNNNNNNNNNNNNNNNNNNNNNNNNNNNNNNNNNNNNNNNNNNNNNNNNNNNNNNNNNNNNNNNNNNNNNNNNNNNNNNNNNNNNNNNNNNNNNNNNNNNNNNNNNNNNNNNNNNNNNNNNNNNNNNNNNNNNNNNNNNNNNNNNNNNNNNNNNNNNNNNNNNNNNNNNNNNNNNNNNNNNNNNNNNNNNNNNNNNNNNNNNNNNNNNNNNNNNNNNNNNNNNNNNNNNNNNNNNNNNNNNNNNNNNNNNNNNNNNNNNNNNNNNNNNNNNNNNNNNNNNNNNNNNNNNNNNNNNNNNNNNNNNNNNNNNNNNNNNNNNNNNNNNNNNNNNNNNNNNNNNNNNNNNNNNNNNNNNNNNNNNNNNNNNNNNNNNNNNNNNNNNNNNNNNNNNNNNNNNNNNNNNNNNNNNNNNNNNNNNNNNNNNNNNNNNNNNNNNNNNNNNNNNNNNNNNNNNNNNNNNNNNNNNNNNNNNNNNNNNNNNNNNNNNNNNNNNNNNNNNNNNNNNNNNNNNNNNNNNNNNNNNNNNNNNNNNNNNNNNNNNNNNNNNNNNNNNNNNNNNNNNNNNNNNNNNNNNNNNNNNNNNNNNNNNNNNNNNNNNNNNNNNNNNNNNNNNNNNNNNNNNNNNNNNNNNNNNNNNNNNNNNNNNNNNNNNNNNNNNNNNNNNNNNNNNNNNNNNNNNNNNNNNNNNNNNNNNNNNNNNNNNNNNNNNNNNNNNNNNNNNNNNNNNNNNNNNNNNNNNNNNNNNNNNNNNNNNNNNNNNNNNNNNNNNNNNNNNNNNNNNNNNNNNNNNNNNNNNNNNNNNNNNNNNNNNNNNNNNNNNNNNNNNNNNNNNNNNNNNNNNNNNNNNNNNNNNNNNNNNNNNNNNNNNNNNNNNNNNNNNNNNNNNNNNNNNNNNNNNNNNNNNNNNNNNNNNNNNNNNNNNNNNNNNNNNNNNNNNNNNNNNNNNNNNNNNNNNNNNNNNNNNNNNNNNNNNNNNNNNNNNNNNNNNNNNNNNNNNNNNNNNNNNNNNNNNNNNNNNNNNNNNNNNNNNNNNNNUCUAUAUGAAUGCCUCCGGCAGUGUACCGGGAUGGUGCAAUGAAUCAAGAGUGACAUGUAUGAAAAAUAAUGCAUGGUGGCUUUGCCACAAAUACGAUGUCAACUACAUGAUCAUGCAAUGGCAAUAUGACAAAAGUAAUGUAUGUCAUGAUGAUUGUGGUGGAAGUUGCAUGGCAGUAUAUCUCAGAAUGGCUAUGGAAAUGCCAUGGUAGGUAGGUAUGGUGGCUGUUUUGAGAAAGAUAUAAGGAGGUUUAUGUGUGAUAGAGCGUAUCGUAUCACGGGGUUUGGAUGCACCGGCGAAGUUUGCACCAACUCUCAAGGUGAGAAAGGGCAAUGCACGGUACCGAAGAGGCUAGCAAAGGUGGAAAGGUAAAAGUGCGUAUAAUCCAUGGACUCAACAUUAGUCAAAAGAACUCAUAUACUUAUUGCAAAAAUUUAAAAGUCAUCAAAAACCAAGUACACCGCGCAUGCUCCUAGGGGGAUAGAUUGGUAGGAAAAGACCAUCGCUCGUCCCCGACCGCCACUCAUAAGGAUGCACAAGCCAGGUACACUUCAUGUUUCAAAUUUGUUACACAACUUUAACCAUACGUGCAUGCUACGGGACUUGCUGACUUCAACAAAAGCAUUUCUCAAAUUCACAAUUACUCAACUAGCACAACUUUGAUAUUAUCACCUCCAUAUCUCAAAACAAUUAUCAAGCAUCAAACUUAUCUUAGUAUUCAAUUCACUCAAAAGAAAGUUUCACAUAUCUUGAAUACCAAGUAUAUUAACAUUAAGCAAAUUACCAUGCUAUUUAAGACUCUCAAAAUAAUAUAAGUGAAGUAUGAGAGUUCAUCUAUUUCUUCAAAAUAAAACUACCACCAUGCUCUAAAAGAUAUAAGUGAAGCACUAGAGCAAAUGACAAACUACUCCGAAAGAUAUAAGUGAAGAUCAAUGAGCAACUAUGCGAAGACUCUCUCUCAUUAAAGAAUUUCAGAUCUUGAUACUUUAUUCAAACAGCAAGCAAAGCUAAAGAAAAUGACAUGACGCUCCAAGCAAAACACAUAUCAUGUGGUGAAUAAAAAUAUAGCUCCAAGUAAAGUUACCGAUGAACGAAGACGAAAGAGGGGAUGCCUUCCGGGGAAUCCCCAAGCUUAGGCUCUUGGUUGUCCUUGAAUAUUAUCUUGGGGUUCCUUGGGCAUCCCCAAGCUUAGGCUCUUGCCACUACUUAUUCCAUAGUCCAUCGAGUCUUUACCCAAAACUUGAAAACUCCACAACACAAAACUCAACAGAAAACUCGUAAGCUAUGUUAGUAUAAGAAAAUAAAACAACCACUUAGGUACUGUAAUGAACUCAUUCUAAAUUCAUAUUGGUGUAAUAUCUACUGUACUCCAACUUAUCUAGGGUUCAUACAAUACAAUACUACUCAUAGAUUCAUCAAAAUAAGCAAACAACACAUAGAAAACAGAAUCUGUCAAAAACAUAACAGUCUGUAGUAAUCUGUAUCAAACGUAUACUUAUGGAACUCCAAAAAUUAUAAUAAAUUAGGAAGUCCUAAGAAAUUCGUGUACCAAUCCAGAGCAAAAAGAAUCAGAUCAGAAGCACGUUCGUGUGAAUUAACAAAACUACUUUACUGGGUGCAAAAGUUUCUGAUUUUCAGCAGGAUCAACACAACUAUCACCGUAAGCUAUCCUAAAGGUCUUACUUGGCACUUUAUUGAAACAAAAGCUAUAAAACAUGAUUACUACAGUAGCAUAAUCAUGUGGACACACAAAAACAGGAAGGAUAAAUAUUGGGUUGUCUCCCAACAAGCGCUUUUCUUUAAUGCCUUUCUAGCUAGGCAUGAUGAUGACAAUGAUGCUCACAUAAAAGAUAAGAAUUGAAACAUAACGGGAGCAUCAUGAAGCAUAUGACUAGCACAUUUAAGUCUAACCCACUUCCUAUGCAUAGGGAUUUUGUGAGCAAACAACUUAUGGGAACAAUAAUCAACUUGCAUAGGAAGGUAAAACAAGCAUAACUUCAAGAUUUUAAGCACAUAGAGAGGAAACCUGAUAUUAUUGCAACUCCUACAAGCAUAUGUUCCUCCCUCAUAAUAAUGUUCAGUAGCAUCAUGAAUGAAUUCAACAAUAUAACCAGCACCUAAAGCAUUCUUUUCAUGAUCUACAAACAUAGAAAAUUUACUACUCUCCACAUAAGCAAAAUUCUUCUCAUUCGGAAUAGUGGGAGUAUCAUAAGAGACUUGAACACUAAAAAUUGUUUCUACAUUAAAAGAGUAAUGUUCAGAAAAAGGGUAAUCAUAAUCAUGACAAGAUUUGUAAAUAUAAUCAUCACUACUUUUUAUAGCAUAAGUUUCAUCACAAUAAUCAUCAUAAGUAGCAACUUCGUUCUCAUCAUAAUCGAUUGAAACCUCUCCCAAGAUAGUGGAAUCACUAAAUAAAGUUGACACUCUUCCAAAUCCACUUUCAUAUUCAUCACAAUAAAAUUCAACAUCCUCCAAAAUAGUGGGAUCACUACUUCCUAAAGUUGACUCUCUUCCGAACCCACUUUCAUCGAUAUAAUCAUCAUAGGUAGGAGGCAUGCUAUCAUCAUAACAACUUUGCAUAUCAAAACUUGGGAUGCUAAAAAUAUCAUCUUCAUUAAACAUAGCACCCCCAAGCUUGGGACAAACAUUAAUUCCAGCAAAUAUAUUCUCAAAUAUUUCAUCCCAAUCAAACAUAGCUUCCCCAAGCUUGGGCCCUUUCAUAUCAUAAGCAUAAUCACUCUCAUCAUUAAAAAUAUUGAUAGCACCAAUAGUAUAGCAAUUAUCAUCAUCACAAUGAGUAGUAGGAGCAACAUCAUUUGGGAGGGAUACCUUUUUACCUUUGUUGCUCCUUGUUUUCUUUUUCUUCUUCACAUUAUGUGUAGGUUCAACCUUCCUCUUUGAGCUCCUUAUUGAUGAGAUUGGUUGAAUAGAAAGCUCCUCCUCGUUACCUGAUUCAUCAUAAGAAAUAAUAGGAGGAGAUUGGGAAGUCUCUUCCCUUUCAUUAGUAUUCUCAUCAUCCUCUAUUUGUUUUCUUUUCUUUAUGUAAUUGGCAAUAUAAGGAUUUUCAAUGCAAUUCUCCGCACAAUACAUAUAAAUUUUCUCUAGAUCAAAAUGAAGAACUUUAUCAAGAUUAAAUUUUGGAAUACCCUCAGUUAUACGUUUCAUUUCUUCAUAACCCAAAAGAAGGCUAAGAUCUUUAUGAUGCUCAAGGGUAAUCAAAUUAUCACAAUAUUUGGAAAUGACUUGAUCAUGAAACAAAUAGCAUUGGAGCUUUAAAUGACCAUGUUCAUUGCAAAGUUCACAAGGGGCGCGAAAAAUAUUGAAUCUUUCAGCACAUUCAUCUAGCUCUUCUUGCAACAAUUUGGUUUCUAAGUACUUAUGCCUCUUGCAAUAAAUAUCUUCUCUAUUUGGUGUGUUCAUGCAAACAUGCACUCCACAAAAGUUGACAUGCUCAUAAGAGAUAUUUUCAUCAUAACUAGUGCAAUCAUCAUUAGCAUCAUGGAUAUUCAAAGAAUUCGUACUAAGAACAUUGCAAUCAUGCUCAUCAUUCAAAGAUUUAGUGCCAAACAAUUUAUAGAUUUCUUCUUCUAGCACUUGAGCACAAUUAUCCUUUCCAUCAUACUCACCAAAGAUAUUAAAAAGGUGAAGCGUAUGAGACAAACUUAACUCCAUUUUUUUGUAGUUUUCUUUUAUAAACUAAACUAGUGAUAAAACAAGAAACAAAAAGAUUCGAUUGCAAGAUCUAAAGAUAUACCUUCAAGCACUCACCUCCCCGGCAACGACGCCAGAAAAGAGCUUAGUUGACGGGGUGUGAGUGAGUGCCCUUUACCUAGCCUCCCCGACAAUGGCGCCAGAAAAGAGCUUGAUGUCUACUACACAACCUUCUUCUUGUAGACGUUGUUGGGCCUGCAAGUGCACAGGUUUGUAGGAUAGUAGCAAAUUUCCCUCAAGUGGAUGACCUAAGGUUUAUCAAUCCGUGGGAGGUGUAGGAUGAAGAUGGUCUCUCUCAAACAACCCUGCAACCAAAUAACAAAAAGUCUCUUGUGUCCCCAACACACCCAAUACAAUGGAAAAUUGUAUAGGUGCACUAGUUCGGCGAAGAGAUGGUGAUACAAGUGCAAAAUAGAUAGUAGAUAUAGGUUUUUGUAAUCUGAAAAUAUAAAAACAGGAAGGUAACAAGUGGUAAAAGUGAGCGUAAACGGUAUUGCAAUGAUAGGAAACAAGGCCUAGGGUUCAUACUUUCACUAGUGCAAGUUCUCUCAACAAUAAUAACAUAGAUAGAUAAUAUGACAAGCCCUCAACAUGCAACAAAGAGUCACUCCAAAGCCACUAAUAGCGGAGAACAAAUGUAGAGAUUAUGGUAGGGUACGAAACCACCUCAAAGUUAUUCUUUCGGAUCAAUCUAUAAAAGAGUUCGUACUAGAAUAACACCUUAAGAUACAAAUCAACCAAAACCCUAAUGUCACCUAGAUACUCUAUUGUCACCUCAAGUAUCCGUGGGCAUGAUUAUACGAUAUGCAUCACACAAUCUCAGAUUCAUCAACCAACAUAAAAGUACUUCAAAGAAUGCCCCAAAGUUUCUACCGGAGAGUCAAGAAUGUGUGCCAACCCCUAUGCAUAGGUUCCCAAUGUCACGAAACCCGCAAGUUGAUCACCAAAACAUACAUCAAGUGGCACAUGAUAUCCCAUUGUCACCACAGAUAAUCACGGCAAGACAUACAUCAAGUGUUCUCAUAAAAGACUCAAUCCGAUAAGAUAACUUCAAAGGGGAAACUCAAUUCAUCACAAGAGGGUAGAGGGGGAGAAACAUCAUACGAUCCAACUACAAUAGCAAUGCUCGAGAUACAUCAAGAUCGUGCCAUAGAGGGAACACGAGAGAGAACACGAGAGAGAGAGAGAUCAAACACAUAGCUACUGGUACAUACCCUCAGCCCCGAGGGUGAACUACUCCCUCCUCGUCAUGGAUAGCGCCGGGAUGAUGAAGAUGGCCACCGGUGAUGGGAUCCCCCUCCGGCAGGGUGCCGGAACGGGCUCCUGAGAGGUUUUUGGUGGCUACAGAGGCUUGCGGCGGCGGAACUCCCGAUCUAUCUUCUAUUCUAGAAGUUUUAGGGUACGUAGGUAUAUAUGGGUGUAGGGGGUAUGUCGGUGGAACUCCGGGGUGCUCACGAGGUAGGGGGCACGCCCAGGGGGGCGCGCCCCACACCCUCAUGGGCAGCCCGGGACUCCCCUGACGUGCACUCCAAGCCCAUCAGGUUGGUUUCCUUCCAAAAUUAACUUCUCCAGUUGAUUUUGUUCUGUUUUGACUUCGUCUGAUAUUCCUUUUCCUCGAAACACUAAAAUAGGCAUAAAACAGCAAAUCUGGGCUGGGCCUCUGGUUAAUAGGUUAGUCCCAAAAAUAAUAUAAAAGUGGAUAAUAAAGCCCAAUAUUGCCUAAAACAGUAGAUAAAGUAGCAUGGAGCAAUCAAAAAUUAUAGAUACGUUGGAGACGUAUCAGGGCCAUCCAUGAUGCUUAUCAUCUGGAUCUGAUCUAACGUCUCAUACAACAGCGAGAAGUCAGUCGGAUUCAUCUUCUGACGUCUUUUGGAGUUAACCCCUGCUAUGCCAGCAUAGGGGGUGCAUUCGGCCAGGGCUGACUCCUGGUCCUCGGAUGCUGAAACUGGAUCCGAGCUCAAAGCUAGAUCCGGGAUUGAGGCCGACCCAGAGAUGGGGUCGGGAAGAAGGUCCAAAGUUGAGGCUUCGGAAUUUCUAGGCCCUUUAGGUAAAGUUGAGAACCCAGUAAAGAUUAGAUCGCCCGAGAGUCGGCGACGUACUCCAGGUUGCCAAACCCGAUUUCCUGCUCAGGGGCAAAGCUGUCGACCUGGUCAAGAUGACCAGUCGGGUCGGCGUGUAGAACGAUGCUGCCAAACGUGAAGAGCCCUGGUGCGGAUGCCAUCGCCGAUGACUAAGUGGGCCAUUGAUCCUUUGGCGAUCCUACAAUGGAACCCUCAAUGAAAGCAUUAAUGUUGGUGUCAAAACCGGCAAAUCUCGGUAGGGGUCCCGAGCUGUAGAUCUUGGAUCGAUGGGUAACAAGGAGCGUAGAGACGACGUUUACCCAGGUUUGGGCCCUCUCAAAGAAGUAAAACCAUACGUCCUGCUUAAUUGUAUUGAUGUGUUUGUAUGACAAUUACAUAGUUGAUCUAGCAUGAGAUCAGAUGAACUAAACCCUAGGUGGGUAUGAUGAUGAUGGUUCUCUCCUCUACUGGCUAAACCCUCUAGCUUAUAUAGACACCAGGGGUACCUAGGUUUACAUAUGUUGGUCACCAUCAAGGGAUAAACAUGCCGAUCACGCUAAACCAGGAUUGGAGAAUACGCCAAGUCUCCAGUGGUUUCCUUCUAGAGCAUGGAGUCGCCUAUAGUCCGACCUUCCAAUGAUGGAUCAAGAGCGGCCCACCUGUCCGACCCAUGAGAGAUAGGCUGACAGCCCAAGGACCCCUUAGUCCGGGACACCCUCAAUCAUAGUGAUUGAUCUACACCAACCGUACAUGGAUGACAAAUGUGCAUGGAGAUGGGGAUGGUGUGAUGAAGAUGCUCCCAGUGAUGCCUUGAUGUUGGUGGUGGUGGUGGUGAUGAUGAUGGCGGCGAAUUCCCUCGGCCCAAGGUGCCGAAUAAGAACAAUAAGCUCUUCUGGAGAGAAACCAGGGCUCCAUGGUGGCGUCUGCCUCAAAAAAUAAUGUAAAAACAUGGCAUGUCUUUGAAGGAUGAAAGGGUGCUUCCCUCAAAAAUAGAACAUGAUGCGGAUUUGGUGGCCCCCCAUGUCCUUGCGACAUGAUCCCUUCUUAGGCCAUGCGGGUCCCCUGGGCCUCCCCUACGCGAGUCCCUCAGACUCCCGAUUCAUUUUCCUUCAUCUAUCAAUGAUGUAUUUUCACUGGAUUUCUCCUCGAGCCUAGGAGCGUCAUUUUCUACCUGUUUUCUCCAUUUUCGGCAAUCGGUGUUUUGGUAUCCUCCAGAUGGAAAUAUGAAAAUGCAAUGCAAAUAAUGAUAAAUUGUAGCAAAGAUGAUUGAUGUGCAUAAUAAAUUAGCAAUUCAUCUUAUGAAAAUUAUGAUGCAAAAAGAACAUAUCUUGAGCAUUCGGAUCCUUCUCCCUUGAUAGAAUAUCAUAUCUUUGCAAACUAUGAACCGCCUCAAGACACCUCAUGGCAAUUUUGAUAUAGAGAUGACCUGCUAAUGCCAAUGCCUUGCAACGUGCCAGGGCUAUGAGUGUCACCGGAUCCAAGUUACCCGGGAGCUCCCAUCUCAAAUAUGACACCAUGCACAUUGGUCUUCAUGACACCACCCCUGCUUUGAAACUACCCUCGCAUCCCGACUCUACCUGCUUAAUCUCCUUUUAGCUCGUCCAAAAAUUGGUUACAGAGUAAUGGAUCGGUAUAGAACUCUGAAGAGCCCCCUCGUAGAUGUCCUUGCGCCAUCCAGAUCACCCCAUGUAGCGUUUAUGAACUUCUCUAAUCUUAGUGUGCUCCAUCAUCACAUGAAUUCGUUGUCUCGUAUCAGGUUAUGAGCUCAAGCUCAUAUCUCAAGUGAGCUCCACAUCAGCAAUAGCCUAGAACGUCCUGCAUGCAUCCAUGGUGUGUAGCACUGUAUCGAUGAAUCACCAUCAUGGAUCAACCACACCAUCCUAAGUGACUCAUAAGGCCUAGCAUGUGGAGAAGGUGGCACUAGAACGAAGUCGAUAUUUGCACUCAGCGGUGAGGACCAAGUGUUCUUUUACACUUUCACAACCUAAGUUUGAAAGUUGUAUUGUUUCUUUUCUUUUUUAUUGGCCUCGACAUGUUGGCCGACAACGGUGCAGCCUCGGAAGAGGAGGAGAAGAAGACAGAGAGGGUGAGAAGAGAUCGAUCGACCCCUUCAUCAUGUGAAGCUCGCUGCUCUAGGAGUUACGUUCUUACUUGCUCCACUUGUGUUUGACGAAAUGUGUGUGAGCUGACAUGAUUUUGUUUCUUGUUUUCUUCCUUCCUGGGCUGUAAGCUUGCCAGCCUAUUUGAUAACCCAACAGUAUGGUUGGUGUGGUUGGUGAUACGUCUCUGCUACGUCUUGAGCUUGCGUUGGUUUUCCUUGAAGAGGAUAGGGUGAUGCAACAAGUGUAGAGUAAGUAUUUCCCUCAGUUUUGAGAACCAAGGUAUCAAUCCAGUAGGAGGCUCCUCAAAAGUCCCACGCACCUACACAAACAAACUGAGAACUCGCAACCAACGCAAUAAAGGGGUUGUCAAUCCCUUCACGACCACUUGCAAAAGUGAGAUCUAAUAAAGAUAGUAUAAUAAGAUAAAUAUAUUUUUGGUAUUUUAUAAUAUAGAUGCAAAAAGUAAAGAUGCAAAUAAAAGUAGAAAGUAGAUUGAAAGCAAAUAUGAUAAGAGAUAGACCCGGGGCCAUAGGUUUCACUAGAGGCUUCUCUCAAGAUAGCAUAAGUAUUACGGUGGGUGAACAAAUUACUGUCGAGCAAUUGAUAGAAAAGCACAUAGUUAUGAGAUUAUCUAGGCAUUAUCAUGUAUAUAGGCAUCACGUCCAUAACAAGUAGACCGACUCCUGCCUGCAUCUACUACUAUUACUCCACACAUCGACCGACUCCUGCCUGCAUCUAGAGUAUUAAGUUCAUAAGAACAGAGUAACACAUUAAGCAAGAUGACAUGAUGUAGAGGGAUAAACUCAUGCAAUAUGAUGUAAACCCCAUCUUGUUAUCCUCGAUGGCAACAAUACAAUACGUGCCUUGCAACCCUUUCUGUCACUGGGUAAGGACACCGCAAGAUUGAACCCAAAGCUAAGCACUUCUCCCAUGGCAAGAAAGACCAAUCUAGUAGGCCAAACCAAACUGAUAAUUCGAAGAGGCUUGCAAAGAUAACUCAAUCAUACAUAAAAGAAUUAAGAGAAGAUUCAAAUAUUGUUCAUAGAUAAACUUGAUCAUAAACCCACAAUUCAUCGGAUCUCGACAAACACACCAGAAAAAGAGUUUACAUCGAAUAGAUCUUCACAAGAGAGGGGGAGAACAUUGUAUUGAGAUCCAAAAAGAGAGAAGAAGCCAUCUAGCUAAUAACUAUGGACCCGUAGGUCUGUGGUAAACUACUCACAACUCAUCGGAGGGGCAAGGAUGUUGAUGUAGAAGCCCUCCGUGGUCGAUUCCCCCUCCGGCAGAGUGCCGGCGAAGGCUCCAAGAUGAGAUCUCGCGGAUACAGAAGGUUACGGCGGUGGAAAUUGUGUUUCUUGGUGCCCCUGGAUGUUUUUGGGGUUCGUAGGUAUAUAUAGGAGGAAGAAGUACGUCAGUGGCCGCCCGAGGGGCCCACGAGACAGGGGGCGCGCCCUACAGGGGGGGCCUAUCUCGUGGGGCCCUCGGAAGCUUCUUGACUUGCACUCCAAGCUCUACGGAUCAUGUUUGUUCCAAAAACCACGCUCCCGAAGGUUUCAUUCCGUUUGGACUCCGUUUGAUAUUCCUUUUCUUCGAAAUACUGAAAUAGGCAAAAAAAAAACAGCAAUAUGGGCUGGGCCUCCGGUUAAUAGG
RNAcentral lists this long non-coding RNA (93755 nucleotides) under Triticum aestivum (bread wheat). RNAcentral describes it as "long non-coding RNA (TAES_LNC012537)". The stretch from base 39963 to 40097 matches the Rfam family "MIR1120/MIR1122 microRNA precursor family". Lineage: Eukaryota; Viridiplantae; Streptophyta; Magnoliopsida; Poales; Poaceae. The record is from RNAcentral.